ACAUCGCUAAGAACGGUCUUGGUCUCGCCGUAGUACUUCUCGGCUUCGGCGGGGCUCUUGAUCUUGGCUGCAUGGUCAAGCUGCAAAAACGGAGGAAAAUAAUAAUAAUCUCACACAAGUCAGUCCUGAAAUCCUCGUGAAAACGAUCAGGUUUGCUGUAAAAACGGAGUGGAUGUAUGUGAAUUGGCGAGAUGUUUUACUUACCCCGUCGAGGGUGUCGAAGAGCUUCCCGGUGAGGUCCUUGAGGUCCUUCUUCUCCUCCUUGGUGGCCUUGGAGGAGAUGACGGUCUUGAGGUCGUAGCGCAGGUAGGAGGCCCUGAGGCGGAGGUCGUUCAUGACGUACGGCCAUUGCUUCUUGUCGAUGAGCGGCUUGAGGUUGAGGAUGUCCUGGGCCGACUCCUUGGCCCGGGCCGCCGCCGCCGCCGGAGGCAGCGGCUGCAGGUAGAAGCGGUUCUUCAGGGGGAGCGCGAAGUCCCUCGCCUCGUCCGAGUUCUCCGUCCCGGCUGUACCACAACCCCAAAUCAUCCAUCAUUACACAUCAUUUUUCAAUUGAAAUUCUACAAAAAAAGGUAGUAAUUCGUGCACGAGCAGUAGUUAUCUGGAGGCACUCACGGAGUCCACCGGAGGGAAGCGGCGGCGGGCCAACCUUGAUGGGGUUGACGGCCGCGAGCACCGCCUGUGCGAACGCGCCGCCGGCGACCCCGCUGGCCAUGAGGCCAAGGACCGCGCGGCGGCCGGCGGUCUCGGCCUCCGCCGACGCCCUCACGGUGAGCUUGCUGGCGCCGCGCCGGCCGGCCGGGCCUGGAAGGCGCACGCCCUGCGCCGAGGUCAAGCCGGUCAUGGACGCCAUGGCCUGUGCCAUCUCGAGCUUUGCGUUUUCUCUUGGGGAUCGAGGAGGAGGUAACGAUCGAUCUCUCGCUCCACCAGUGGCGGCCAGCGUGCCGGAAAUAUACGAGGGAGCCUUCGCCGUCGCCAACCUUAUCUGACUGGAUAAGUUGGGGGCCAGUGCGGGGGCGCCAUGUGGCAUGGUGCAUCGCCUGGCCUCCCCAUUUGGAUUGCGCUGUGGCCAAUGGGCGGCUGCGGCUCCUGGCAUGUGUGGUGAGCUCCUCGUCGGUGCUUGGGCUUCAGUUGGCCAGUGACAUUUUCGUGUUUUGUCGGUUUGUUCGUUUUGGAUAAUUUUUCUUCCCAGGAGACACAAUGGACAGCGCCAUUAGUACGAAUUUUUGUGGGGGAAAUUCAUAUUUUCAGCCUGUUACGAGAAUUGGCGGAAUCACAUAGAAACAUUUGAAAGGAACAUAAAAGUUAUCAGAAUAUUCGAAAGCUCCGUAUGGAAGCUCAUCAACAUGAGAGGGCAUUUGAAGUUUAAUCCCUCUUUGAUUCACAUGAUUUCUAAAAUGUGUAAAUAGGAAAACGUAAGCAUUGUAUGUCAUAGCAUGUUGUUUCUCACAUAAUUAAAAAACACACAGAAAUAAGAGCAAGACAAGUUAUUUGAUUACACUAAAAAUACAGAUAAAGUUUCAAUAGGGAUUAGGUCAAUGCCAUACUUGUUUAAGAAAACAAAGAAGAUAUUUCAAGAGGCUUGACUCAAUGAGAAUUUUCUUUCAGAAUUGGUGCAAGUGAACCAUACAACAGAUUCCUAUAGAUUCUAAUCCUACAAGUCAUAUAAUCCACAUAUCGAGAGGUGUAAGAGCCGGUUCCUAUCAUAGAAUCCGAAAAUUUAGCUUGAAUUUAAUUGAGUAUAUGAACUCAAUCGACAUUCCGUGGAAUCACUUCUGUACUCAAACCCCAAUUUUGUUAUAAAAGACACCAUUCCUCUCUGGAUUUGUCUCGAUUUUUACGAAUCCAUGUCACUGACAAACAUGCCUUUUGAAUUCAAAAUUUAAAUUUAGCAAAAAAAAAUGAUUUUCGGAGGGCUACCAAACAAGCUGAACCGUGAGAAAGAGAGAAAAAAAUACUCUCAGUUGAUUAAUCCCACAAAGUGAGAAAGAGGAAUCAUGCAAUAGCCGCAGGAUUAGAUUGCAAUGAACUCGCGUUCAUUUUUCAGAAACACGGAGGCGGUGCCCUCUGUAUCAUUUGCACCCACGGUGCUAGCCACAAGUUUGCCUUUUUGUCUCAUUCUUUCUCUCUCUCCACUUUAAAUUAGAGAGGUUAAACAGUCUGACCACUGACAACCUUUUGCUCUUCUCUUUUUCUUUCUCUCUCCCAUUUUAAGUAUAUUAUGGUACAUGACAUAUUUUUGAAUUACAUAUUUAUAUUUAGUAAAUUAUGAUAUAUGUAUUGUACCUUAAUAGUUUUUAAAUAUCUCCUGUACAUGAAUUUAUGAUACGGGUACAUCGUAUGGUACAUCACAUUACCUUAACAAUUUGUGAGUACCUCGUGCACAUGACGAGUACAUGAAGGUAUAUGAUGAUUACGUGAAGGUACAUCACAAAUACAAUUAACAAGUACCACAUCAACGAUAAAUUACAUCAUGUACCGGGACAAAAUUAGAACACAAACAUUCAUAAAUAACUACUACCUCGUCAUGUACCAUGGGUACAUGAUGGUACUCAAAUAAACAUUUAAAUAGGAAACCACAAAGAUUCAAAAAUCACAUGGUACAUGAUGGUGCUCCAAAAUCACAUGAUACAUGAUGGUACUUCAAAAUCACAACACAAAAUCAUGGUACAAGAUGGAUCCAAAAUAAAAAUUCACAUGGUACACCAAAAAUCAAAAUAAAAAAUCACAGCAAAAUCACCGGAACAGGAGCUCUCCGCGGAGAAGCCCAGGACAGAGCUCUCCGUGGUGGCGGGGACGGGAGCGGGGGCGGACACGGACGCGGGACGAUGUCGUCGCCGGAGUUGAGGACGGCGGCGGCCAAACCCACUGCCAGCCAGGAAGAGAUGAACAGGUUUCUGGAAAGAGGAUCGAUUGGAGGGACCGUACGGAGGAGAGAGGGAAGCUGGGACCGACUGCUAAUUAGAUGGGAUGGGCAGAGAAUUAAGGAAAAGAAAAGGAGAAUUAAGGAAAGGGGAGGACAGGUGGUUGGUAUAUACGGUAGGUGCAAAUGCCAUGCAGCGUACCGGGAGGUUUGGCUGCCAGACUUGCCAAGAUCGUGCCAAAAGGUUGCAACUGCGCGACCGCGGAAGCGCCCAAAAUCAAACCCUCUCGCUCGCCAGUCGCCACCAUCAAUGGCGGUUCGCCGCGGCCGGCGGCGACCACGCCCUCCCUCCUCGACCCAACCGCUCCCUCCGCGGCACCCCGUUCGUUAAGCGCUUGCGCAAGGCCGACCCCUGCGUUCAGCAGACGAGCCUCUCUCCCUUACUGACGGCGGCCUCACAUGCAGGGUCUUUCCGCAGCUCCACUCCCACGGGCCACGGGAUCUGAUGCGAUGGCUGUGCGCGCGUUCCCGCGACCCGCGGCGCGGUUACGCUCUCCGGCAGGCACCCUUACCUGAGCCUCCCCGCCCGGCUGCCUCGCCCGACAACUUCAUCCUCACUCCUCAGCGAGCGCCCUCUGUGAGCAAAAUCCCUACUUCAGUUUAACCGCCAUUGCCAGACGAAUCUGUAGCAACUUGAGACCUAACAACAAUUGAGUAAUGUAUUACGACAGUCAACUAUGUUACCUGACGAGUGUGACGAAGUUACGUGUAAUUUAGCAGCAGGUAGAAAUUUGUAGUGUCGAAGUAUGAGUUUUAUACUUUUGUAUUGGUUCCCUGUAUUUGAUUUGGUUAAACACUUAGUUCUAUCCGCAGUAGUCCACUUACUAGUUGACCAAUAAUAGUCGAGUAGGAACUCCCGUUUUGUUAACUCCUUAGGAGGAUUCAAAGAAUUUCUAGGUUUGGUUUCCUCUUGGGGUCUCUGUAUGUAACUAACAAGAUGAAAUCGUGUGUUACUGCAGAAGUGCAGAGGCGGACCUUUGAAAAGACUGAAAAUUGUCUGCAGUGGAACUCCCGUUUUGUUAAAGUAGUUUUCGAGAUUGCAUGGCGUGGUUAACUCUAUGAUAUUACAGGAUAUGUAUGGAAGGUAAGACUCUUCUGUAUUCCAUAAGUUUCCGCUACUAGAUACAUUUCUUACAGCUGUAGUCUUUUAGGAGAGUGAGGUUCAUCUUUGAUGGGGCUUCUCAUCACUGGUUUCUUAUUUGAGAGCACAACUACAUGAGAGACAUGAUAAUCAACAUACAUGGUACACACCUUGGGCCACCAUGCCUGGUGGUUGGUUCUGAUGGGAAACAACCUAGUUUGUCAGUUACCUAAAAGGUUUCCAUUGUGUACUAUUAACUAUUGUAAUUAUGAGCCAUUAAUUCUUACUUUGCACCAGAGAAAUACGAAGAAAACAAUCAUAGUCCAAAUCAUUUUUCAUUAGGACGCUCUUUGCUUCACCCCUCUGAUUUUAGUCUGUCAUUGCAUCAUCCAAUCAAACUCUGUUUAGCUGGAUAGUCAUCUUGAUUCCUUUCAUUAAUUAUGACCAAUUCACGAUAUCACUUUCUAUUUUCAUCGAUCACCCAGUGGAUCAAAUCCAGUUCUAGCAGUAGCAGCAGAAGCCUGGGUAGCAGUUAAAUUUAUGCUGUUAAAAAGCCACACAAUAAAUAAACCAUACACACAAACUGUUUUAUUCGUUCACUCAAACACAUACAGCGACAUGGGGGCCAAGGUCACAUGUAUCACAGCAUAUCAGAGAGGCAUCAAGCCUCAUGAUUUUAUUAUUGUCACACCAUAUGAUUAUAACCUCUUAACACAUCAGUUUAUUUAUUCUCGGCCUACUUCCACACAGUAGCCUUAUUUCUGUUUACCAGCACCUCUUGGCCCUUCUUGUACACUGCAUGGGGAGAUUUUAAACUGGCAGGUCGGUGUUCUCAUCAAAGGGGAACGGGUCCAACUUUGGUUGCGCUGCUUGUAAGAUCUUUUGAAUUGGCAUUUCUGGCGUUGAUCUUUCCAGAGGUGCAAUUGGAUCAACACUUGGGUCAUGAUCCUGAAAAUUAAGAAUUAAAGAUUAUUAUAAUAGAUAGGUGCAAAUGAUGCUUUUCUUUAGUUUUUGAGAUGUCUUGAUUUGCAUGAGUGGCACUGACCUGGUUAGCAUGCAUUCUCUUGACAAAAGUUUGGAAAGUGACAUAGUUCUGUCCCUGUAGCAGCUCAUCUGAUAACCGGAGGUAGGUGAAUCCAUGCAGCUUGUGCUCCGGAGGGCCACUCUUGUUGACACCUUUUGGUCUCGCAUUUCUGAGUAUAGUGUUGUACCCCGUUGCAUCAUAUCGACCAAGCGCGUUUUCGCAGGCCACAUCUAAGCCCUCUCUCCAUCCAGCACUCAGCACCUGGGAAUUUUGAUAAGAAGUGAUUCAGUGAUUCCGUAAAAGAGAAGUGCAGAAGCCCUAGUCAUAAAUCACUGGGCAGUGGCUAAUGGUGUAGUUACCUGUUGGACUAGUUCUUCUGGUGCACUCUUCGCCUCUGAGCUCUGCUCGGAGUCCCUCAUCUCUGCACAAGUGAAGUUGAGGCUAGCAUGAUGCCUCUUGAGCAUGCGUGCUAUGGUUCUGUAGCCGUCUCUGUCAUCUAAGUUGUAGUACCCGGCAGUGAGCUCGGCUGCAUGGUUUGGAACCCUGUACCACCAGUGAAUGCCAGAUAUCUGCAACCAAACAUCGGAUCAUGUCUCAUUUACGUUCGAGAUUAAGUAAUGGAGUUGCCUAUACAUCCUCGAUCUGUCCUUUAACCUCAAGUCUAAUGUUAAUAGCAAACAUUGUGCAAUCCUUGUUGUUUAUUUAGAUUAUCUUUCUGACCUUAUCAAAUGAUCUACCAUAAUAAGCACAGAUCUUGAGAAAGGUACUUACUUUUUUUUUGAAAAGUAAAAAGAAGGUACUUACUUUGAUUGCCAGCUGCACUGUAUAUCCCACGAAGACCUUGUUUGCUUCAUCCAGGAUCUUGUCACCGUGCUUGAUCAGUUUGUUGGAGUACCAUGAGAGGAAAAAAUCCCCCUUCUCGGUGACGUAUGUUCCGUUGUCCUUGAAGAAUUGGGUCUUCUCGGGAGUGUCAUUGUACUCCCCAGCAUCAUCAGGCAAUUCCCACUCAGGAUGACCAGCCUUCGCUGCUGCUGCUUUGAAGUCUGCUACCAGGUACUUAUCGUAGCACUGCAGAUUAUUUUUGUUAUAGUAUAAUACCAGUCAGUUAGAACAGUUCACUGAAGUCCUUUUGUCUGGUAGUGGUGAUAUAUUUUUUAACAUUUUUUUAUUUCAUCUUGUGGUAUUGUCUGUUUUUAGAUGUACGUUUGAUUCCAUCUGCUUUUGCCGCUUAACCGUGUGACUGUGGUCUCACGUUUGCGUCUGGUACAUUCCUCAAAAGAAUAGUGUGGCCGUUUUAUCCAAACGUCUCUUUUGAUCAGAAUCACUUUGACGUUAGCUGUUUCUUUUGUAAAGGAGCUUUCUCAAUGGAUAUCGUCACUUGGACAAAAAUUAAAUUGACCUCGGUCAGGUUUUCUGUUAGUUAGUAUGGCAGAAAGCACUCACGAUGAAUUCUCCGAUGCCUGGAAACACCCAUCCCUGGCUCUGGGGAUAGGAGGGGUACCUCAUCUCUCCAGCCGGGCCGAGCCCCACCUCAAUGUCCACAAUGACACCAGCAUUCAAGAACUCUUUCAUGUUCUCCCUGAAGCUCGCCAUGUAAUCAGUAUACAUCUAUCACACCCACAAAGGAGAACCAAAUUAAAGCUUCCCACCAUGAGCGUACAUUCGCAUCAAAAUCGCAACUAUAUAUGCCGUUGCCCAGAUUCAUCUGACCAGACCACCGUAUAUAUAUAUGCAAGUAGAGGUGGCUUACCUGAAUUGCAGUUCUUCCGUGGAAGAGAGGCUGGUCGUCCACUCCAAGAGUGAGGUACUCGAUGUUCCUCUUCCCGCUCCGGUUGGUGCAGAAAAUGUCGGGAUCGGUCGCGCCGAUGUCCCGCACCCACUGUGGGAUCGGGAUGUUGACGACGUCGCCGACGUUGCCACCGCACUGGUGGAACGACAUGAUGGCCUGCAGCUUCAGCCCGGCCUCCUGCACCAGCUCGAACACCUGCUUGUAAGCGCUCCAGUCGUAGGCCUUGGGGCCCUUGCCCUCCACCAGGCCCCACCAGACGUCUAUCAUGACGCCAUCGACGCCGGCUUCCGUCAGCUUCUUCAGCUGCGCCCUUAGCUUGUCGCCCUUCUCGAACUUGUUGUCUACGCUCACAACAUCCAGCUGUUUUUUUUUUUCGCCGGGACAAUCAAAUCAGGGUUAGUACAGAAUUCCGUCCAUUCAUGGCUCUAGUCGACUUGUCUAUGAUUUCACGCAUGAACUAGAGUUUAUACAUAUCGCUAAUGUACUACAAUAUGCAUUAGAUCCUUGAAACGGUGUAUCAGUGAAUGGAUGAGCUUAGCUUACAGGGAGCAUGACGUUGACUUGGACAUAGUUGGCUAGCAAGCUCCCCGCCAUUGUGGCUUCUGGCUAUGCAGUACUAUGCUUUGGAAACACUGCGCUGAACUUGGUUUGAUGGAUGCUGCAGGGAGCCUAGGGGGUCUAUUUAUACUGCGAAAGGGUGGUGGGUGGCAGCUGAGAAAAUAUAUUUUCCUCUCAUUGAGUGACGUUUUUUUUUUGGGGGAAAUGUAUUGAGUGAAGGUUGGGUAACUCAUACGUCCGUUUGGAGCGGCGAUGUUUAUCAAGUAUACUAGAAAAAGGUUUCUGAAGUAUAUCCGUUCAGGUUAUUUGAAGCCCCACUUCUGACACCAUGUUCUUUGUGAUCUAGAAACCCGUAGUGUUUCUAGAGAAAAGGCUUUUCAGUUCAGCUUUAUUAGAAAGCCGAACAAGAUUCAGCUGGGAGUUACAGCGUUACAGGAUAGGAUCACCACCAACGUAGCUAAAGUAUCAAAAGGGAUAACAGCACUCCAGCCAGAUGUGCACACAAGCACUACUACCAACAAACUACAAACCUCAACAUAACAGCAUAGACUACACCAGUCCGGAUUUGAUUAACAUUGGCAAGCCGGACCACAUCUUGAAUUUGCUUCAUCAUCGCCUCCAUCGCCAUGCGCCCUUUUUCAUGAAGAGCUAUCCAACGUGUAAGUAACGCCAUGGCUUUGAACACAACCCAUACCGCCAACCUCUUUAGGACGAUAAAGGUCUUCCCACUUCACCGUAUGAUACCUCCUCUUAUCUCCAAUUCCUUCCCAAAUUUUUUCGGCUGAAUAGAGUCUAAUUUCGCAUGAAUUCCCUCAUUCAACUUAUAGAACCCCAUCAUGUAAGUUGGAAUAUUGUCGAAGCAAGCAUCACAAACGGGAGUAAAGUUCUCCAACAACAACUUCUUAGGGGCCACUGGAAUGCCCAGAUAUUUCAAUAGAAAGUGUCCAACUUCACAAUUCAGCAAAGAAGCAAUCCUAUACUGCUCUUGUUCAUCACACCCAACAACAAAGACCUCACUCUUUGUGUAGUUGAUUUUAAGACCCAGCAUCUCCUCAAAACAAUAGAGAAGAAACUUCACCAUCGCAAUUUUUAAGGAACAAAACUGUAUCAUCCGCAUACUGCAAGCGUAAAAUUCCUCAUGGGACAAGAUGCGGCAACAAGCCUCCCAUAUGAUUCUUAUCCUUCGCAGAUUGAAGCAUGAUGGCCAACGCUCACCAAAUUAAAAAGCGGAUCUCUCUGCCGCAAACCCCUAAGAGUCCUAAAAUAUUCAGAAUAUACAGAAACCCGUAGUUUACACGUACGAGUUUUUCACGUACCCAUAAAAUGUGUAAUGCCGAUGGGCUCGAUGCACCGACCACCCAUGCAGGGCCGGCCUACCCGGGCGCGGGGACGGAUGAUGAUGAUUUGACAUGAUGUGAUAUGAACAUGGACGGAUCAUCGUCUCCCCGCCGCGAAUUUUUUUUGCCACCGGUGGAACGGAACCAUCGACGCCAACCGUCCAAUUAAACAACGGUACCAGCGACCGGAAUCGUGAAAUCUCCCUGGCAAACCCGACCCAAAUCCGUCGCACUACGGAACAAAAAAUGUACUACGUAGGCAGGCACUGCCCAAUCAUGGAGCUAAUCUAUGAAGCACGUUCCCAAAAUCGUCCGUGGUUCGGUGCGUGCUGCUUCGUCGAUCUUAUACGUACCACAAAAGCACAUGAGCGCGACGCUUUAUUAAUUCUUGCGGGGUUCACUGUACCUGUCAGACUUAAUUCACGGUCGAUCCACUGAUGGAGCCACUCAUCAAUGCACGUGCCUCUGAGCUGUAGCGUGGAGUCUCACACCACAAUUUCUGUCCAUCUGAUCAGGUCCCCUACGUGGCGAAUCCGUCCAAGAAAAGAAGUGGUAAUUUUCGUGCUUGUUAAGAGUGAUCUGCUGCUACCACUAGACUCGUGUAUGUCGAAGAUUUACUCAUCUGUUGAGUUGUGUUAUCGUGUAAAAACCGUAAGAUGGGAUUAUGUAUGAGGCCAUAGGGGCUUUUCAACCGAAUACCCAUUCGACCUUCUCGAACACCCAGUCGAUGAACUCCGCGAGGUCGCCGCCGACGGUCAUGUCCGUCUCGGGGUCGAACGGGUACGGCGCCUCCGGCGAAGUCGCCUCCAGCAGCUUGUCCACGGGCAUCGCCGGCCUCGACCGCUCCAGGGGCUUCAGCGGCCGGAGGUACCGGGCCGGAUCAGGGCAGUAAUCCUGAAAUCAAACCAACAGCCCAUUGCAUAUUGUCACAAGUAUUGGGCCUAACAGAGCCCAUGUUACGAAACCCAAAGGCGAAUCUUAUGUUGGGGUUUACCUGGUCGGCGUGCAUUUUCCGGACGAAGGUUUUGAAGGCCCGGAACUUGUUCCCGGCCAGGAGCUGCUCCGUCAGCCGGAGGUACGUGACAGCAGCUAGCCGAGGCCGAGCGCCGCCGACGCCGUUGGGCCGCGCGUUCUUGAGCAUCUGGUUGUAGGCCCGGCGGUCAUACCUGGGCAGCGCGUUCUCACAGGCCACCUCGGUCCCCUCCCUCCACCCGGCGCUCAGCACUUGCUGGACGAGCUCCUCCGGCCCGCUAAGGGCCUCCUGGGCCUGCUCCGAGUUCCUCAUCUCCGCGCAGGUGAAGUUGAGCACGGCGCCGUCGUGCCGCGCCAGCAUGCGCGCCACCGGGCCGUAGCCGUCGCGGCCGCCCACGUUGUAGUACCCGGCGGUGAGCUCCGCCGCGUGGCUCGGGUGCCUGUACCACCAGUGGAUCCCGGACACCUUUGCGGCGAGCUUGACGGUGCAGCCCAGGAAGGCUUUGUUGGCUUCGUCCAUGAUCCUGUCCCCGUGCUCGAGCAGCUUGUUGGAGUACCAUGUCAAGAAGAACUUGCCCUUCUCGGUGAGGUACGUCGGGGUGUCGGGGCCGUCCGCCGUGAAGAAGGCCGUGUCGUCUGGCGUGUCGUUGUACUCUCCGGCGUCGUCCGGGAGCUCCCACUCCGGGUGCCCGGCCUCCGCCGCCGCCGCUCUGAAAUUCUCCUCCAGGUACCUGUCGUAGCACUGCAGCAUAGCAACGCCGUUUAGUUAACAAUCUGAAGCAAGGCUCACCAAACAAUUGCAGAGUACGUAGUGCUUCUUGUUGUUCUGAAAGUCUUGUCAGUUGGGCAGAGAGGGAUAUAUAUAACUAGGAGGCCUACUUGGAACUGUCCGAUGCCGGGGAACGCCCACCCCUGGCUCUCGGGGUAGGAUGGGUACCUCAGCUCGCCGGCAGGGCCAAGCCCGACCUCGAUGUCCACGAUCAGUCCAGACUCCAGGAAGUCCGCCAUGUUCUCUCUGAAGCUCUUCAUGAAAUCGGCGUACAGCUGCAGUACACGUCGUCCGCGAUCAAAUUAACUGUCUUUGAUGGUUAUAUCCUGCAAUUUUCAACGGACAGAGCAUCCGUGUAUACAUACCUGGAUGGCAGUUCUGCCGUGGAACAGGGGACGGUCGUCGACGCCGAUGGUGAGGUACUCCUGGUUCCUGGCCCCGCCGGGGCUCGUGUAGAACACGUCCGGGUCCGCCUCCCCGACUUCCCGGACCCACGCCGGGAUCGGGAUGUUGACGGCGUCGCCGACGUUGCCGCCGCAGGCGUGGAACGACAUGAUGACCUGCAGCUUGAGCCCUGCCUCCUGCGCCAGGCGGAACAGCUCCCUGUACGCGCGCCACUCGUACCGCGCCGGCCCGGCGCGCUCCACGAUGCCCCACCACACGUCCGCCAUCACGCCGUCCACGCCGGCCUCGCGCAGCCGCCGCAGCUGCGCCCGGAGCGCCCCCGCGCCCUCCACCUCGUUCUCCGCGGUGAUCACUUCCAGCUGCGUUAAUUACAACGUUGAAUCGCCGACCGUAAGCCAUAAUAGUUGUCGAAACCACAUGGGUUUGCUCUGUUUCUUACUUACGGGGAGCAUGACGAAGACCGGGACGUAGCUGGCCAGCGUCUUGUCCUCGUCGGCGUCCGAUGGCGGGGGCUGUGGUGCAGGAGAAGUCUGCGCGGUCUCGGCGGCGACAGCUCGGACGGAGGCGGCCGCCGCCCUCCCGGAAUGGACGACGAGCCGCCCAGUGCUUGCCGGUGGAAGGGGCGCCGACGCCCUUCUACGGCAGCUUCCCCAUGGCUGCACCUUGACCUGUGAUGACGGUGAGGUCGCGAGCAUGGUGUGUGUGUGUGUGUAUGCAUUUCUUGAUUGCCUUCUCUUCGAGUGUCUGAUGUACCACUGCGAUUUUGCCUUGUUCGGUCGACGAUAUUUUGGCGUGUCUGUGCUGUGUAUGUAAGUGGCCGGCCGGUCGCCGUUGCCAUGGGAUCCGCGUGACACACGAAUCUGCUCCCUUUCUUCGCGAUGUGUAGCCAUGGGAGGAGGAGCCUGCCCGGACCUUCCUGCGGGUGUCCAUCUGAAGGUGUGGUUUGCGUGAGCCGUGUGUUUUCUGCGGGUGUGCAUCGCUCGUUUUUGUCCGUAGCUUUUCCUGUUUUCGUCGUGAACGUUUGGUGUUGGAGAGAGGCUUGAGGUUGUUUGUAUCUUUGGAGCUAGCUCUAGCAAGGUUGCAGAUUCUUAGGGCCUCCGCAAUGUGCGGCAAAUUGGGAUGUCAAAUUGUCAAUCUAGACUUUGAUACCGGUGUACACACUGUAGAGGUGGUGCCAAAUCAGAAAAAAAUGGGUACGAGCACCUUCCGGCUUCGAUGCUGUCAACCCCGGGAAUACCAGAGUAUCCCGCCCGGGAGUGUGGCUCGCAGGAACUAUCCAAAGACUUGGCACAUCUCCGAAAAGAGUUCGACUGGGGCUCCGCGAAGGCGUCUGCCACCACCCGCGGGAAGGAAUGUGUCUGCCGUGGCAUCAGCUAGUCACGAGCGAACUCUUUGGCGUCCCGUCGAUUGGUAGUUUCGCGUCCAUGGACUCCGACGAAGUCAACAGGGCCUGCGAACCGUGGGCAUGACGAUCCUCACGCAUGGCUAGAGGCUGGAUGCAGCGAGCUCAUCCCUUACUUUUGAUCAGGUAAAGUCCUUUGUGCAGAGUUUCACCUCACCGGACUCGACAAGUCCUGAAGACCCCCCGCGCCACGGACGUGGCGCAGUACGCAUGUACAUAACCACACAGCACACAGGGCAGCCGACCAGCUUCAGAUUCAUGUUGCAGUGCGGAAAUCCCCUUGCAGUAAAACCCUAGCCGCCACUGUGGUGACCCCUUACCACUGUAAAAGAAGGGCCAUGGCUUCCAUAGCAAGGAUCGGAUCAUACUGCGGCCAAUUGAGCCGCCCUCCAAGGUUGAGAGCUCACCCUUGUAAUCAAGAAACAACCACCAUUUCAACAAAGCAGGACCUAAGUUUUACACCUCCAGGUAAGCUGGACAUGGGUAAAUAUCCCCGUGUCUUGAGAUUGAAGAAGAGGCUUGUGUCACUCUCGCAUUCCAACACCAAACCACAAAGAUUGGUUUUUGUUUGAGGGAAAAGAAAUAGUAGAUCAAUUGAUCUACUGUAACAGAGAAUAUGUACAAUGAUUAUCUAAAGUUUCUAAGCCAGUCAAUCAUGUCCGGAAUAGAUUUUCUCUUAGCACGACGGAAAACAAGAUUCAUUUCAUCUCUGAAGAUGGUGUCCUGACUCCCGGUAUCAGUGUGCAAAAUUGUGUCGUGCUACAUUUUUUUGUGAUGAGUCGAGAGAGUUACAUAAUGUUUUUAUUUUGAGUUGGGUCCUACUCCGCCGGUAAAACUGCGGACAUUGGAGACCAACAUUGCUUUUGCUAAACUUUAGCUAUUUUCUCCGACACAUAUUACUUGUCUGAAAUUUGUCAAAUAUGAAUAUAUCUAUGUUUAAGAUGGAUAGUAGGGAGUAGUUGAUUUUUUUUUCAGCGUCAGUCGCUUUGAUUUUGGCGCACGAAUUCUUUACUCCACGUCGGGCUGCUGCGUGUCCCGGCUCUCCGCGUCCGGCUGUUGCCCUUGGGCUGCUGUUGGUCUUUUUCGUUUUCGGCUGGACUGGAUAUUUAGGCCGAGCCCGUGCCGGGGCUGAGUUCUCUGAGUUGUCCCCCUUUUAUUUCAUUUAGCAGUGUUCUUUUCUUUUUUUACGAGGAAUUUAACAGUGUUCUUCGGAGAGCUCUAGAGAGAAGAGGGGGAGAAGAGAAGAAAGGGACAGCUUCGAGGGAAUUCGGCAAUGCUGCGGCGGUUGUUGGGAAACGGGAUGCUGCAACAGGAAGCGGCCUCGUCUAGCUCGGUAUGGAUUUUGCUCUUCAAAUCCCACGCUCGUUCAUGCUAAAAUGUCCCCGUGUGUUUUGUUUUACUGUCUUUUUCUAGACCACCGUGUGAUGAAUUCAGCUUUGUCAUUGGAUUUUUUUUCUGUAGCACAAAGUGGUGUUGGUAAGCAUUUAAUUUGAUGGCAAAUGACUGAUAGAGAUUUCUCGCAAAAAAAAAAGACUGAUAGAGAUGCACAAAGAGAGAGCAGUAGUAUAAGAUUUACUUAUGUCGGCAACUAUUGAGAUUUUUCUUUUUCUUUCGAGUCUCUGUCUGAACCGAUAUUUCUAUUCUAAGCAUUUGUUUCUGAGUUUAUGUCCAUGUAUUUUUGCCAAUUGGUUAGUGCUUCUAUGCACUCCGUACGUGUAUUUAACACCUAGUUUGGUUUACUAAUAGAAACCAAAAUUUGAUGCUGCGGCUAUUUGGGCACUUAACGGAGGAAUGUGCGUGUAAGAGAAAAUAGAUAGUUCUGAAUACCGUGAGUCAUCCAUUUCUCUACUCCCUCCGUCUCAUAUUAAGUGAUUCAAAAUUGUUCAAAUAUGAAUGUAUCUAUACCUAAAAAAGUCUAACGUCUAGAUACAUGUAAGAAAUCACUUAAUAUGAGACGGAGUGAGUAUGUAAUAGUGACCACGUUCUUUAUGUUAUUCAUUUUGUUCGCAGAGUUGAGGGCUGUGAAAAUAGAUUCUUAACUGGUUUGCCAACAUUGUCUAUUGUUUGUAGAAGGCAAAUUUCUAUUGUAUUAAAAUUCACAUUUCUUAGCAUUUAAUUAAUUACCUUUAUUCAUCUAUGCAUUAAUUGUAAGAUAUUACACUAAGAGAUGAUUUGGUGUACAACAUGUUUUGUUGUCUUUUCUAAAUGAGGUGAAACGCACAAGAGAAUACAGUCUUAUCAACCAUUGUAUAUGUACUUAUGUGUUUCAUGUCAUUUAAAAAAUAUAACAAAAUAUGUUGUACAAUAGCUUAUCUUUUAGUGUCAUGUCUUACCAUUAAUGCUUACAUGAAUAAAAUUAACUAAAUAAAUAUGCUAAGAAAAUGUAAAAUCUAGAGUACAAUGAAAACUUGCUUUAUCCUUCUUGUGAAAAUCAUCUCUUAAUUAAGAAAAGACUCGUGCCUUUUGUUCAGUUCUCUCACUUACACGCCAGAUUUUAUCCUACGUGAUAUUGUUAAGAAAAAGCUGAUGUCACCCCAUUGUACUUGUCCUUAUUCGAUUUGUAACUUCACGUCACAUAAUUACAUACUCUCUCCGUCACACAAUUCUUGUCUCAAAUUUGCCCAAAUAUGAAUAUAUCUAUUCCUAAAAGGCGUCUAGAUACAUGUAAUAUUUUAACAAGUAUGAAAUGGAAGGAGUAUUGGUAAGUUAUGAUUGGUCAAAUCUUUUCUUAACGAAAUUAAAUACGUCAAUCUUUAUAAGAAAUGAGAAGAGAAUGAUGAUAAAAGAUGUAUCCUGCCCAACUGGGCGAGAAACUAUGCUAGGAGUGUACCGAAGCGCACACAAAGAAAUCUCAGAAGGAAUAGGAAGCAGUUUAUUGGAACGCAAAAAAAAAAAUCAGUUUAUUGGUACACUGACCAAUACGUAGGCCGUGACGUGGUGAAGCUACGUCAGGAAAGCACAUCCGGCAACAGUCAGUCAUCCUCACGGUCCCGAAAGUUUUCAAUGUUUAUUAUUUGCAGAGCAGCAGGACAAGACAAUCAUGCACUAGUCUAGUGAUCUUCACCGGAUGCACUAGCACGCUGCAGUAGAAUAAGAGAUUUAGAGCGAGAGUGAAGGCCGGCACAACCUGCGUCCUGGACUCCUGGUGCUCCGCCAUGGCUUCAAGCGGCGAGCAGCGAGAACACACGGUGGCGCUGCUCGACAGCCCUGCAGCAGAGGUCUGCCUCUCUCCUGUUGAUUUAUUCAGCGAGGAUAUAUGCUCUUUGAUUUCUUCUCUAGUCACUCGGCUACUCGCUUUUCUCCGGCAUAUAGAGGACAAAUGGAUGUUUAGCUUCUAAAUUUGGCUGGGGAUUUCCUUGCGGCAGGUAGAAGGAGAAUACACCAUUGACCAAUCGCUCGACUUCGAUGGGAACCCCGCGCUGAAGCAUCAUACAGGCGGAUGGCGCGCGUGCCGCUCGGUUCUCGGUAAUCCUCCUCCUCUGAUUGAUAUCUGCCGAAGAUCUGUUGCUAGUUUGCCUGCAAUGGGUAGUAAUAUUCGGUGUUCCUUCCUGGUUCUUAUUCUGUCCGGCCGCCGGCUGCUUGUUGUUGGAUGGCACUACCACUGUACACACGGCAGCCACGGAGUUCUGCUACUGCCUGGCGUACAGCGGGGUCUCGCAGAACCUCGUCACCUACCUGACCACCGUUCUGCGGGAGAGCAAUGUCGCCGCCGCGAAGAACGUGUCCACCUGGCAGGCCACCUGCUUCCUCACACCGAUCGCCGGCGCCGUCGUGGCCGACUCCUAUUGGGGAAGGUACCGCACCAUGGUGGUCUCCUGCUCCAUGGGCGUCGCGGUCAGUUCCCUCGCUACUCUGCACUUCCAUUAAUCACUGGAUUUUGCUUUGCCCCGACCCAUUCGAUGAUCUCUGUUUUAUUUUGCAGGGCUUGGUCGUGAUAGCGCUCUCGGCGAACCUGCCGCUGCUCACCAAGAACGCCGAGCUGUUCACAGGCUUCCCUACCCUGGUCUCAAACCUGGCGUCAGCUCAGGAGUCGGUCCUGUUCCUCGGCCUCUACAUGACGGCCUUCGGGCUAGGCGGCCUGCGUCCAUGCCUCAUGUCCUUCGGCGCCGACCAGUUCGACCACAACGACCCGCCGGAGCGCGCCAGCAAAGGCUCCUUCUUCAACUGGUACGUCUUCACCAUGAGCUGCGCGUCGGUGGUGUCCAGCACCUGCGUCGUGUGGGCGCAGGAUCACUUCGGCUGGCCGCUGGGCCUGGCGAUCCCCGCGGCGGUGCUGGCCGUCGGGCUGGCCUGUCUGGUGUCGGCGUCACGGAGGUACAGGUUCCAGCGAACCCAAGGCAGCCCCCUCACCAGAGUCUGCCAGGUCCUUGUCGCGGCUGUCUGCAAGUUCAACGCUCAGCAGCCGGCCGAUCGCUCUCUCCUCUACGAGCUUCCGGAAGACGGCUCCAUGAAAGGGAUCCAGCGGAUAGAGCACACCAAUGACCUCCAGUUUGUUGUUCCUUCCUACCAACUCACUGCGAUUAUCAAUUCCAUCUAGUCCAAGUUCUUGAGAUACACAUUGCGCGCUUAUACUCGAUCCAUAUCAGGUUCUUUGACAAGGCUGCCAUUGUGCUCGCUUCUGAGGCGGCAGAGGAGGAGGCAACCUUGCCGCCGGCGCGCAACCCGUGGAGACUAUGCAUCGUGACGCAGGUGGAGGAGCUUAAGAUUCUCGUGAGGAUGGUCCCGGUGUGGGCGAGCAUCGUCUUCUACUACGCCGUCUCGGCGCAGGUCUCGUCGACGUUCGUCGAGCAGGGCAUGGCGAUGGACACCAAUGUCGGCCCCGUCCGCGUCCCCCCGGCUUCGAUGUCCGCCUUCGACCUGCUCACCGUCGUCGUCCUGGUCCCGCUCUACGACCGACUGCUGGUCCCGGCUGCCAGGCGGCUCACGGGCAGGGCAAAGGGCAUCUCGGACCUGCAGAGGAUCGGCGCCGGCCUCGCCAUGCCAGCGCUCGCCAUGGCCGCCGCCGCGCUCGUCGAGACGGAGCGCCUCCGCCGCGCGCCCUCGGGGCCGGCGAUGAGCGUGCUGUGGCAGGCGCCGCAGUACGUGCUGAUGGGCGUGGGCGACGUGCUCGCCACCGUCGGGCAGCUCGACUUCUUCUACAGCCAGGCGCCGGCAUCGAUGAAGACCGUGUGCACGGCGCUCGGAUUCCUCGUGAUGGCGGCCGGGAGCUACCUGAGCUCCUUCCUCCUCGCGGCUGUCGAAUGGGCGACGGCGGCCGGUGGCCGGCCUGGGUGGAUCCCGGACGAUCUUGACCAGGGGCACCUGGAUCGCUUCUUCUGGAUGAUGUCUGGGCUGGCUUGCCUGAAUCUAGUUGCGUUUGGGAGCUGCGCCGUGCGGUACAACUCUAGAAAAGCUUCCUGAGCUUCACACUUUCACGGUGGACAGUGAUUCCUUCCUUGAAGUGUGAAGGCCGAGAUCUACAUAUCAUUCACCGAGUGUGAUGACUUAUUGCUGAGAUUGGAUCGAGUUCUUCUUUUUUCUGUUUGACACAUUGGAUCAAGUAAAUCUCCAGUGGCGGAGGUCCCCGUAGGGCAAGGUGGGGGCCGCAGACUUGCAUUUGGAUUGUGAGAGCACAAGCCUCCGAGCGAGGAGCUGCCCACCUCCAGCUUCUUGGAGGAGAAGUCGCCACCUAAAUUUAAUUAGGCUAUCAAAUUAGUUUGGACUAAACUAUUUUGGAUGUUUAACUAAAUCUGAGAUACGGCUUCUCCAGGAAGCUACGUGAGAGCAGUUUUUAGGAGAAACCGGUUCUAAAAUCCGAAAAAAACGCACCCCUAUUCCACCAUAUCUUAUUCUCGCCCUUUUUUUUUAACUUUUGCGAAAAGCAUCUUCUCACCCUUAGGCUGACAUGCAUACGUAAUAACCAACAUGUGUAUAUGCCAUCUCUAUCGAUAGGUCAUGUAACUACUGACCACAUGUCUGGCCGUGAGUUGAAUUAUACUCCUUCCAACUCACAUUAAACUCAAAAUUGCCCAAAUAUGAAUGUAUCUGUACCCAGAAAACGUCUAGAUACAUGUAAUAUUUCAUCACCUAAUAUGGGACGGAGGGAGUAGAAUGUUUGUUUGUCGAUAAAAAUACUAUCCGCCAGCGAAAAAACUCGUUUUGUUAUAUUUAAGUUGACUGAUUUUAGUUAGAGAUAAGUUGAUUCCUCAACCAUGUAUAUGAUUUGUGUUUUAAGAUACGAAAUGGAUGCUGAAAAAAAAAGAUAACGAAACCUACGUACUAAUCCAACGGAUCUGAUUCGUCAAUUUAGAUUUAAUCAUUUUCUUAAAAAUAAGACAACUUAGAUAUAGCCACACACAAAAAAAGUUAGCUGAAUCAGCUCAAUCGAUGGCAUAUGUCCAUGGACAAAACUAUCUAGUCACAAACACAUAGCCGUACAAGGCCAGUUUUACCAAUAGACUAUGUGGCACCUAAGAUAGGACGUGGCAGUGUUAUAUGAAAAAAAAAGUUGUCGUGGAGGGACAACGCUUGAAUUAGAAGGUGUUAAUGGACGAUAAUGUAAGCAUCGAUGUAAAAAUUAGUUGCAAAUUGGAGGUGUACGACGACUUUAUAAAAAAGUGUCAUCAUACGCUCAACAAUAUUUUUUUUUGUAAAAUACACAUAAUCGGGACUUCGUUAAAUAGGUUCGACUCUCUUGUGGAGUGCAAACCUACCUACUCCUAUGUUAGGAGAAGCGGCUUUUCAAAAAAAAAAUGUUAGGAGAAGCGGUGACUGUCGUGCUUGGGGAGUUUGGUCGGUUCGUCACACUGACUUCGUAACUCUACAUACUUGGGUCACUCGGUCGGUUCAUCCCUUGUCUCCUUCCCUUGAGUUCAUUCUUUUUUUCAAGUGAUAAAUGAAAUGAGAUACAAGUCCGAACCAUAGGUACCUUGAGGGAUGAGAAAUGUUAGGAUAAAAGUGCAAGUUAGAAACUAGAGUAGGAUCAUCCUAUUCUUCUUAUCAUGCUCUAGCGCUUUAAGUCCAUUUCUUCCGCGCGUGCAUCCUUUUGUGCCAUUUUAGCUCUUAUUGGCUUAUUAUCUUACUCUAGGUGGCUUGGCUAAUCCUCGUUGGCACCUUGACCAGACAAUUUUUUUAUUGCCCUUGUCUUGUGCCAUGUAGGAUUACCGGUCUAGCCCAUAUAAGAAAACUAUUAUUCCCCAUCAUAUUUAAACUACUCAAGUAUUGGUAGAGGCACACUUUAUCUCCAAUCUCCUUUUCAGGAUAUUUAACAUCUUUAGAGUAACAAAACCAUAUCAAAUAUUAGUAAAAUAAAAAUAGAUUUUUUUCUGAAGUUGAUACAAAUGAAAAAGGGGAAAUAAGAAAUUAUAAAAUAUUAAAUAUGAUAAGUAUUUUUGAAAAUAGAUCCUCACUAAUCGUAAAUCCUCUAACAAAAUUAGAAAAAAACACUAAAAAACUCUUUAAAAUUCUGGAAAUUUGUCAAAUUUUGUGUCAAACAGGCUAAGCUAACCUUGAGGCCCAUAAUACACUACCACUUUCUGUAUCCAAGCCCAGCAUCUUUAGGCCCAGUAGUUCUAGACGGCUAGACCCAUUUGUCCGUACUCGUUAACCUCGUGCUCCCCCUCUUGGCUUGAUCCUUAUCUCGGCGUCGGAGCCCACAACCGCUUCCCAUCCUCCUCCUUCCCCGGACCGCCCACCACCCCGAAUAUCCCCCAAAUCCCGACGCGACCGCGAAACCCUAGGCCACCGUCGCCGGCCACGGCGAGCCUCUCCGCCGCCAUGGCAUCUCCGGAAGGCUCCAACUGGGUCUUCGACUGCCCCCUCAUGGACGACCUCGCUGUCGCCGACUUCGCCGCCGGACCUGCAGGAGCAUUCUACUGGACGCCGCCGAUGCAGCCGCAGAUGCACACUCAGGCGCAGGCCGUCUCCGCCGCGUCGCUUCCCAACCCCUGGUAAUUGCGGCUUCCCGCCUUCUCGGCCUCGAUCGCGCUCAUCCGCGGCUGGCUUGGUGGUUCUAUGGUUUGGGCUAUACAUUCCGUUCCCUGAUUUGCUGCCUCUGUGUACGUAUGUUACCACCUGUAGCGUAAAUUGUGAUCGUUAUAACAUAACUGCUGUUAGCAGGCGUGCGAUUGUAGAUUGGUAAAGCCUAUUAAUGGAAUUUUGAUCACAACUAGAAUUACAUGCAUGUGAAAAGAUUGAGAACGUACGGAACUCCUUACAUGUGGGUUCUUCGUUUUCAAAAUUAUUUUCGCGUGUUAGUACUUAGGACUGGUGUUAGUUCUGACAAGGGUAUUACUAUUUGAGGAUAUGGUUCUGUACAUGGAUGUUACAUGGGCCUUUUCUGGAAGGUGUGUGCAGGAAGGGCUAUUUGCAAUCUGUAUUGCUCAUUUGGUUUCCGCACACAUACAUAUAUAUGCAACAUAGAAGGCAUACACAGCGCCAUGCUUCUUCUGAGUGAGAUGAACAAGGGAAGAGUUCAAAUGAAAAUGGUUAACAUGGUCAUCAGCGAUUUUAGGGAUGCAGCUGCUUCUUCUAUCUGUGGGUCGGAUUCAUGUUGAGUAUCAAGCUGAUGGUAUCAGAUUUAUAUGGCGGAAGUUUGUCUUUCAUCUGUGAUCUAUAUUUCCAGAUCAAGAGUUUGUAAAAUCAAUUGCAUUACAUGUUUCGAGUUAGAUAGUGUAGUGAGAAAUGCCAUAAUUUUUCCCAUUAACAGCUGUAUUAAUGAUCAGAAAAUGGGUGAGGUUGGGGUUGUUAGAAAGGCCCAUCUUUGCGGAUCCCUGCAUGAAGCCUAGCAUGCAAUUUAAAUUAUUUAAAAUGUUUCCAAGUUGAGAACUAUUUAUAGUUACACUUUGGCAUAUGAGGCUAUGCUUUGAUUUAUCGACUUAUCAUAGUAUUUAGCUGUCAUAUUCGGUGCAUGAACAGAGGUGACCCUGUGUGCUGUUUAAUGUAGACCUUCUUUUUUCUCGAAAUGGUAUUUCACCUAUUGUAGGUUAUUAUAUACUAAAUUUGUGAGAGUUUGGUAUUGUCGUUGAUAUGCUAAUUUUGUGCGCUGCUUAUUAUUGUGCACUAUAUUGUGAAUUUUACAUUCUUAACUGCAAAUUUACCUUUUCACUAGUGCUGAAAUCAAUAGCCCUGUCUCUCUGGACUGUGAGCAUGCCAAAGGACAUCCAACAAAUAAACGGUUUGUUUGUGUCUAUGCCUUUUGAAUUCCAUAUUUCAACCAUACUUUUCAUACCUUUUUCUGUUGAAUGUUGCCAACUUAGUACGAAAAUGCUUCAGUCCCAGGUCAGAAAGUAGUGCCCAACCUAGCUCCAAAGCGUGCAGGGAGAAAGUGAGAAGGGACAAGCUAAACGAGAGGUAUGUCCCUGCCAGCAAUUGUUCUUUCAAGCUGUUUUUCUUGCUGCAGCAUUCUAUCUGAAAGCAACAGUGGAGCUUAUGGUCUUCUUUUGUUAGGUUCUUGGAACUGGGUGCUGUCUUGGAUCCAGGGAAGACGCCUAAAAUAGACAAAUGUGCUAUAUUGAAUGAUGCUAUUCGUGUGGUAACUGAACUGCGUAGCGAAGCAGAGAAGUUGAAGGAUUCAAAUGAGAGUCUCCAAGACAAGAUCAAAGAACUUAAGGUCAGUCCUGCUCACAUGGCUUAGAUGUUUAAGCAGUACCAUCCGGCAUCUCUCUCUCGUGAUUUUAUUUGCGUUAUCUACAUACAAUAGAUCUGAUAUUCCACAAGAUUUUCUCAACCUGCUUUGCUGUAUAUGGCCUAAAGACCACUGUUUGUUGACUACACAGGCUUUUGGAUUUCCAGCGAUCUGUCAAAUCUUCUGCCUCUAUAUAUAUAUACUUGUUUUAAGUUCUUUGUUUAGACACUGCUUAUUCUCCAUUAAAUUAUUGUCUAGAGGUCUUGUCUUUCAACAUAUUCAUGAGAUAAUUUGUGGUAAAGCGAUCAUCUGACAAAUAAAAUGAUUUUGAGAUCCUUUGAUUUUUCAGUCUGAGAAGAAUGAGCUGCGGGAUGAGAAGCAAAAGCUGAAGGCGGAGAAGGAAAGCCUGGAGCAGCAGAUUAAGUUCAUGAAUGCCCGUCAGAGCCUCGUACCACACCCUUCGGUUAUUCCGGCUACUGCAUUCGCUGCCGCCCAAGGGCAAGCAGCUGGACAGAAGCUGAUGAUGCCUGUCAUUGGCUACCCAGGAUUUCCCAUGUGGCAAUUCAUGCCACCUUCUGACGUUGAUACCUCUGAUGAUCCGAAGUCAUGCCCUCCUGUUGCAUAGGCCAGCAAAAAUCAUUUGCCUCAUCUAUCUUGAGGGGAAGGGGGCAAAACUGCCUUCCAUUCAAGUUUAUUUUGGCCGCCGUCAGUGUUACUAUUGUAGUCACACCCAGAACAGAACUGAACUGAAGCCUCUUCUUCGUAUCAGCCGGUGACAUGUGAUGUCCUGUGACACCGUUGUAUAUGUUAGUAAAUAAAUACCAUCCGUUGAAGCAAAUGCGAUUAGACGUUGUAGAGUUAUUGUCGUUGAACCUUUUCUUUUUAUUUUCAUUGUUGCCCUGUAGCCUUGUUUGCUUGUCGCCCGUGAUUUGGUAUAACACAAGUAGGUUGUAGCUGGUUGGUUCAUCUUGGAUUGAGUUGGCCUCGCGAUUCUUCCAUGCGAAAACGAAGUAACCAGGGAUCUGAGGGAUGGAUGCAUCUGUGGUCUAUCAUGAAUUGUUGGCAAAUGGGUACGACGUGAUGACCUCUCCUAGCUUAGCAAGACGUGCCCUCCACUGAUGCCGUACUAAUUUACUUUCUCCAGCAAUAUCUUACAAAAAUAACUCCUUUUGUUUUGUACUUUCUUGCCAGUUUCAUCGCCUUUGCUUACCUGCAACCGAGGCAUCUGUCGCGUCUAUUCCUUGUUCCUAGUGUUUCCAGGAGCAAAUGUGCGAGGAAAACAAUAAAUUCACAGCAAGAUGCACAAAAGAGAUGAAACCAGGCAAUGAUUGAUCUGUUUAUAAUUUACCUCUGGUUUCAUCUUAAUUUGGAAACGUGGAGCUUCGGCUCCCUGUCUAUCUAAAGAAAAUCGACUAUGUACAUCGAUCGAUAUAGAGACCGGGUUUGCCUUCUUUUUCAAAAAAAAAAAUCUGACAACAUAAUUUAUCAGAUGAGAAUUGUGGAUAAUAGACGUGUGUACAAAAGCAGAUUUGCACAAGAGUGCCUUUGCACAAAUCGAAAUGUAGUAUCAAAGACCUGUUUCAAAAUGUAGUUACAGAGUAGGAAGUCGUGUCCAUGCACGAAAUGAACAAGGAAUCAACACAUGAAAAAUAAAAUAAAUGAAAACAAGUACAGAAAAAAAAAAGGGAAAGCCUCUGGUAAGACUUUAGUACAAACUCUUUGUACCAAACGUACGUGUAGAGAUCGUGCAAUUGCUCAAAUUAAUCCAAUUAAUUACGCGGCCAUGGCCACGAGGGCGGCCAGCGCCAGCAGACCGGCGACGUGAUACCGCGGCGGCGCGGACGUCAGGGACACGGAGCCGGAGGUUCCGGGGGCGGGGAUGGUGGCCUUCGUCGGGCCGCCCGCCGGCGCGCUCCUGGCGGCGGCGUCCGCGAAGGUGUCCGCGGGCGGGGAGGGGAGCGGCGAAGGAGAAGGAGCGGCGGCUGCGGCUGCGUCUGCUUUGAUCUUGGCGGCGAGGGCGGCGUCGUAGGGCACGGUGGUGACCUGGAGGUGCAUGGUGCCGUUGGCGCAGUGGCGCGGGAUGCCGCAGAUGAAGUAGCGCGUGCCGGCCUCGGCGAGCUCGAACACGGUCUCGCCGCCCGAGUGCGUGGAGAUGGGCUUCCCCGUCGCGCAGCUGCCGUAGUCCGCCUCCGUCACCUCCAGCACGUUGUGGUACGCCUCGUACUUGAAUGCUGCGGUUAAUUAUAUUGUUACCUUUUUGACAUGGGCACAUACAUGGCCUGAUCAUAGUGAGAAGAUUAUCGAGAAGAAGAAGCAGCAGGAGGAAGAGAUAUGUCCGUACUAAGGGUGUCGCCGAUCAUGAAGGUCUUGCCGGCCGUCCACUUGUCGUAGUCGACGUACGUGUCCCAGCCGAUGGAGUCGUCCACGGUGUAGUCCACCGCCAGCGCCGUCGUGGCCAACGCCGCCGCGACCGCCAUGGCUGCGAGAAAUGCUCCGCAGCUGGACUUCAUGACUCCCGAUCGAUGGAGGAGGAUUAGUCGUUUGGUUCUGUGAUCUCUCGUCUGAGCGAUGUAUUGCUACGUUGGGGGUAUAUAUACCGGGAGCUAGCUAGAGCAAGCAAAAUAAGACUUUCCUCUUCUUUGCCCUCUGUUCAUGGCCUGCCAUGAAACAUGCGUCUGAGUAGCUAGCUAGGCUAGGUUACAUUCGAUCAGUUGGCAUAUUUGGAAUUAAUUGAAAUUAUUAACACGUGAGUACAUCGCACCUGGUUGAUUUUUGGAGCGCCAAGUUGACUUUUUCUUUAAUUUGCUAGGCUUUGUAUUGUAUUUUGAGUUGCAGUCACUAUUAUUUAUUUAUUACUCGAAUAUGAAAUUACUUGAACGGUAUUGACGAUACGUGCUUGUAUCACUUUGACAUGCGAGAUUCUUUCAGUAUAAAUAAUUGAUGAAUCAUGAAUGAUGAUUAGCUCCUCUACGUGAGCACACGUCCCUUGCUUCGUCCGUACCGAUCGAGAAUAGCUAGCGUGUUCGUGGCUUCGUGCUUCGCAUGAUCGAUCAAACAUUAAUUUCAUUAUAGGUGGUUUCAGAACGAGUUGUCAUUAAUUAUACAGUUCUCUUUUCUUGUUUUUUCUUCUUAGAAGCAGAAGUCGUCAACCUAUUCUGAAUCCGUAGUGGUGUGGAACAGCCCUUCUCCUCCCCCGCGUCGUCACUCCCGCGGGCGGCACGGGGGCAAACCCUAGCGCCGCCGCCACCACUCUUCCCUCCCCUUCUCCUCCCUCGCUGCCGCCUCUGAGGCUGCCGCCGGCUAAGCCCGGGUCGUGGUCGAGGACGGUGGCGGGGAGGGCUCCUGUCUUGGCGGCGUUUGCGGUGGCAGGGAGCGCUGCAGGGGUCGGCUUGGCAGCAGCUGGGCGCGGCUUCGGCGGCGUGUGCGAGGGCGUCCCCAGCCUGCUGCGCGGCAGAUCCGGCGGUGGAGCGGCGUUUCCGGCGGCUCGCGAUGGUGUGGGCGCGGGCCGAGCCCGGGUUGGGCGGCCGGUGCUGGUGGCUUGGCACGGCGUCGUGGCUGAGUGCGGCUCCCCAGCGGCAUGGCAGGACCUCCCGACGGUGUGCGGCCUCUUUUGUGGCGCCGUGGUGACGCGGCUUUUGGGCCGCGACGUUCGUCUUGGUGGGGCUCCCUGCUCGGGGUUGGCAUCACGGAUGGCCAACGUCGAGUGGAAGGCGUGGUGGAAUAGCCGGAUCUGGGCGGGGUUGUGUUUGAGCUGCACUGGGCGAAAGCCAUGGCUCCGUUUGUUACCUUCCUAAAGGCGUCGAUUUGGUGCAGAUCUCCUCCCCUCGACCAGACCCCAUGCUCCAGGGGAAACCCUAGAUCCAGGUCUUCUCGGAUCGGGCGAUGUCGAUGCUUGGCAUCAUUUCCCUCUUGGGGGCACCGCUUUGGAGCAGGAACCGGCUAGAGGGAUCAGUGGCUUGGUGGAAGGUGGUGGCUGCCCCAGUGUUCGUGGGCGACUUCAGUGGCAGCGACGAUGGUGUUGGGCAGAGGUUAGGCUGCGGCGUCGGUUCUAGUAGUCGGUCUUUCCGACCUAUCCGUUGGCUUUCCAGGAGUGGUUGCUUUCAUUGUUGGAGAGUCAGAGUCGCCAGCUCAGGAGGAGUAAUGCGUGAUGACGAUGACUUGGUGGGAGGUGGUCCGAUUUUUGGGGUUCCUUUUUGGCGCAGGCCUUGCAUAGUGCCCCUCUGAAGCUCGCCAUCAGAAUCGGCGUCUUUUGUUCGCCUGCGAGGAUGACCGACUGUUUGGCAUGGGCCGGUACGAGCUUGCGUGCCAUUGGAGGCGGAGUCCCCGUUCUUGGACGCUAGUGGGGGAAGUCGAAGUCGCCAGCUCAGGAGGAGUGUUUGUGUGAUGACGAUGACUUCUGCGUGCAAUCUUCCUUCAUUUGCGUGCGUUGAGUGAAUGUGGGUGGCCAGGUCGGUUAGUUAGGGUGGUCCAUGGUGCGGUCAUGUUACAUGACGGUAUUAUGGACGUUUUGUUACGGUUUUUGUCCGGUUUUCCGUUAAUUAACUGAGCAAUUCUAUUUUUUUUAAUUAAUAGAUCGAGUCCUUCCGACUCCGGUUCGAAAAAUAAGAAGAAGUCGUCAACCUAAUGUAUGUCUGUUGUGCGAAAAGAGUUAUUUCUAGUCUUCCAAUUUCGGUGUUCUUGAUUGUAUCUUUCUCUUCUUCUUCUUUCUUUUCUUUUUCUUGAAGCGGUUUUUUGUUGAAAUUUGCAAAAAAAGAAUGCAUUUUUUACACUUGAGGAAAUAUAUAUUUUUUUGAGAAAAAUUUAUGCACAUAGAGAAUAGGUAAAAACAUUUAAUUCUAAAUUUUCAUUAAAAACAGAGAUCAUUUACGUUCUUUGAAAAAAAAACAAAAUGACACAAUGAAUUUCCGGCCUGCCUAAGCCGACCUGCAGCGUUCCUAGUGACAGCGACAAUCAGGAUGUUCUAAAAAACGUACGGAAACAAGCGAUCGAUCACUAUUUCAAAAACAAAAAAGCUCACCGAGCAGGUAUAGAAAAACCCUUAUCCAGGACAACUCCAUCGAACUUAGAAAAAGUAUCAUCCGUCCAUCAGUGAAUCUGGAAUAUUUAAUUUCACAUUGUUGAUAAUCUACUCUUUUUACAGAAAACUGUAGGAUACAAAGAGCCAAAUAAGGCACAAAGGAGACCGAGACAAGCCACUAAAGCAGGCUGCCUUGGCACCAUCCCCGAAUCUAUGACACUUUGGAUCAAGAGGUCAUCUUGACCUUGAGGCUACUAAGCCAGGAAGCACCACUUGAUAAUCUACUUACUGCUAGCCACUACUACUACUUGCAGUCCCCAAGCAUAGAUAGCAGAUCAACAAAUCCACUUACACCCAGAGCCACAGUGCAAGAUCCGAUUAAAAUCGAUACAGCAGGGCCUGUUCCUCUAUCAAGAUCAUUUCCAGAAGUCAAUACCGCACAGAGAUGGCUCCGUUCAGCAAAUUGCUUCCAAAGAUUCAGGACUCAUCUUGGCAAAAGUUCUGUGAUCGAUACUUGGUUCGAAGACAUAACCGUUGAGUUUUCAGUGUAUGGAUAGGCGUCCGAAUACGCGUUGGAGCUCUCACUGGUACUGACCUCCUGGAUGCAGAACGCUGGCCUCGACAAAGAAGGCAGACGAACAGUGUGGCUGCUGAACAUGAUGUUCACCGACGACAUAGCCGGCCUGCUCCCGGGUUUUCUCUGCACGCACAGGAGUCCGACGUGAAUGCACUUGAGCAUCUGGUCGAUGGGAGGAUGGUUGCCCAAAGAUGGAUCGAUCAACUCGAUGACAUUGCCCCGGGUCCAGUGCUCCCAUACCUGCAACAAAUUGUUAAGAGUAUUCGUACACUGUUGCAGGAGUUGCAGAGCUUAUGAAAAGGCUUCAGGUGCUCACAUUAUUCAAGAGAUCCACGUCUUGCUCGGUCUUAUCUGAACCACUGUUUCUUCUCCCUGUGACAAUCUCUAAGACCAAAACACCAAAGCUGAAAACGUCCGACUUGAUGGAAUAAUGACCUCCCAUGGCGUAUUCUGGGGCCAUAUAUCCGCUGCAACAAAAUAAGUAAUUCAGAACCCGAUAUAUGUUGAUGUCUUCUUAUGGAUGUUCUUGACGUGCUUACUAUGUGCCGGCAAUACGACGAGUGACAUCUUCUGAUUGAUCCCCUCCAAAUAUCUUCGCUAGGCCGAAGUCAGAUAUUUUAGGAUUGUAAUCAGAAUCCAGUAGUAUAUUGCUCGCUUUGAGGUCUCGGUGAACUAUCUUCAAUUGUGAAUCUUCGUGAAGGUAUUGUAAGCCUCGAGCUAUUCCAUUGAUAACCUUGAACCUCUUUCCCCAAUCUAGCUCUUUGUUUUUCUCAGAAUCUGUCAUUCAAACAAAACAUAUCAUUGUAGUGUAAAUUUUGUGUCACAGCAUUACUCUGAAGAAAAUUUCAAUAAGGGAAACAAAAAAACGCUAUAAUAAGAAAGUCUUACCAAAUAGAAUGGUAUCAAGGCUUCUAUUUGGCAUAUAUUCAUACACAAGUAUUUUCUCAUGUUCUUCCAAGCAAACACCAAGAAGUCUCACAAGAUUCUUGUGGUGAAGCUUGGCAACUAGAACCAGCUCACUCUUCAGCUCUCCUAUUCCUUGUCUGGAACUCUGACAGAGUCUUUUGACGGCUAUUUCUUGACCAUCAGGUAGGUCGCCCUGUCCAAGUAAAGAUACUUAACUGUCGGCAGAAAAACAUAACUGACAAAGGUGUUAUGAUUCUGUACCUUAUAAACCAUACCAAACCCUCCUUUACCAAGCAUUCUACAUUCGUCAAAGUCAUCUGUGGCACCUCUUAGUAUCGCUAGAUCGAGAAGAAGCGAGUCGAUGUUUCGAUCAUCUGAGGUAGCUGAAUCUGUUAGUGGAUAAGUACACAAUGUGUCAAUGAUGAGAAUCAAGACUAUAUGAGCUUUUCAGGAAAUAUGAUUUUGCUGCAAGCUAUGGAAAUUCACGGUAUUAGCUAGAAUUAAGAUUUAAGAAAAUGAAAAUUGACUAAACAAAGUCCAUAUUCUGAACUAAUCAAAUCACCAUGUUCUGGACAAUAAAUUGAUUCAUACUUGAAUUGCUAUUAUUCCAAAAUUCAAAAUGGUUAAGAGGUCUUACAAGGCAGAAACGCAUUUGCUUUUGGUCUUCUCCUCCAGCAGAAAAAGUAUACCAUGACAAUGACCAAUAUGACAGCAAUUGUAGCCAUUACAAUAGCUAGAACUAUACCUGCACUAUUUCUCGUUUUCUCUGCAAGUAAGUAUAUACCAUCAAAAUGAGAAUGUAAUUAAUUUUAUUUUAUUUUUUAAUGAAAACCUGAAUAAAACAAAUACUUCCUCCGUUUCUAAAUUAUUGUCGUUGUUUUAGUACAAAUUUGAACUAAAACAACGACAAGAAAUUUAGGAACGGAGGGAGUACAUUGCUUACAAGUAGCACAUAUAUUUUGCAGGAAAACUUUCCAGGACCUUUCAUAAGAAAACCUUGUGAGUUCAGAGCACAACCAUUUGCAAUAUUGUCUGUUGUUCUGUUCUGAAGGCUCAUGUUUGCAUUACUCUGACAAAUGGUAGCCAGCUUCUACAAUCUACAUGCAUAUAAGUUUCGUUCUUUCUGGUCAAGCAACUAGUGAUUUUUCAACGGAUAUGGAGAGGUCAUGACCCUUGAGCAGGAGAGUGAACAAGCUGUUACUGCUAAUUGUUUCGAAAUCUGUACCAGGAUCAUUUCUUGGCUAGCCAACUGUUUUACAUAAAAUCGAAAUGGAUUCCACCCUUCACCCUUGUAUAGUUGUACGCAAUUUCAGAUCAAACGACCAACUAAACAAGUAAACAUGCCAUCAUAUUGCACAAUUGCAGAACAACAAACUACUCACCUCCUCCUCCGGUGGUCGCCGGUGGCGCAGGAGCGGGCGGCGUGCCGACAAACUGCGGAAGCUGCAGCAGCGGGCGGCCGGAGAAGAAAGGGAACACCUCGUACCGGAAGUUGCACCACACCCCGAAAAUCCCCCCGCCAGUCCUCCCGCUGAACAAUUUGGGCAGCUCCGCAGUUAUGGUGCCAAGGCAGGUCCGGCAGACCUCCACCGUCGUGUCCGGCGCGCACUGCGACAGCGCAUAGAUCUUUGGGUUGCUCCUGUCGUCGAAGCCCUCUGUCCCCGUGCCGAACCGCCUGGAGGAAGACGAAGAGUCCCCCGCCGCCGCGUAGCCGGCCGUGGCGUUGACGAGCAGCCCUACGGCGGCGUCGAACGCCGGCGCGGCUCCGCCCGCGACGCGGCGGGAGCGCUGGAGCGUGUACGUGGUGACGUAGUAGUCGUCGUCGAGGAGGAAAUCCCGGUUGGAGAAGCGGAGCUGGCAGAGGUCGUAGAAGAUCAUCACGUCCUUGUAGAGCGGGCACGCGCGCGUCGCGCCGCGGAAGGCGGCGGCCACGCAGCUCUCGCAGGCGGAGGCGUUGGCGACGUCGCCGCGGCAGAGGGCCUGGCCGUAGACGGCGUCCGGCACGUCUCCGACGCUGCCGGUGGCGUAGAGCUCCGGGGAUGAGGAGGCGUUCCUGGGGAGGGUGGCGGCGAGGCGGUUGAUGUUGGAUUGGUAGGUGCUGUUGGCUGUGUAGUUGCCGCUGGGGGGAUAGGGGCCGCAGGUUGGCCACGGAGGCGGUUCGUCUUCGGCGGCGAUGAGUGGCGCGUAGAGGACGGCGAAGAGGAAGGUCGCGGUGACGCCGGUGAGGCAUGGGGAGAAGCGGCGGCGGGGCUUGGCCAUGGCAACCUGUGACGUGGGGGGGCUUGUGAGGAGAGCAGGUUCGGGUGUCUGUCCGUGUAUCACUGGCAUGUGUGGUCAGUGAGGUUGACUGGAGUAAAGUGACUUCAGGUUUAGUGAACAAAAAGCUUAACCAAAAAACCCUCAAAUUGAUCCCAGGAGGUGCUGGCUAUUUUGAACCAAACUAGUAUCCCCUUGGUACAACACGGGUAACAAAAAAAUACUAACCAAUGUGUACUACACGGUAACAAGAAAGACAAAUGCUAGACGUCGGGCGGGCGAUUUUGGGAAAAAUCCGUCUCCUCACAAACCGUCCGAUUGGAACGCCACGGCUGUUGCAUCCCGCACACAAGAAAGAAAUCAAUCUCCUCCUAUUCCCGUCCCCCCCCCCCACCCCCACACACACCCAACCCAACACGACCAGCCCAAACGGCGCUUGCAGCAUACCGCCAUCGCCUUGCAGCAGCGCCGGUGGUCUGCAGCGGUGCAACACCUCCGGCAAGAAGCGAGGCGGCUUGGUAGCAACGCCAGUGGGAGGCACCACCUCCUUGUAGCAUGGACGUCAAUAGCCUGCCUCAACGCCAGCGGGAGGCGGCGCUGCCUUUCAGCAUUGCUUCGCAACAUCCAGUCUCGCGCCUCGCCAUUUGCAGCACCGCCGACAGGAGGCGGCGUCUCCUUGCAGCUGUGGUGCCUGCAGGUCUCCACACCGCACAGGGCCUAUCAGCACCGCCGCAUAAUGGACGCAAUAUCACCGGUCGCCGAUCGAAGUACUUCCGGUCGUCGUUUGAAGCAUCGAAGCCUCCCGUUCCAGGCUUCCAGCACCCUAAGCCGCCGUUCGUAGCACCCCCGGUCGCCGUCUCCACUUGCAGCACCUUCGGCCACCAGUCGAAGCACCGAUAGCGGCGCUUCCCACACGGCCGCGGGUCGCCGCAUCGCUUCCCUUUCGAGCACCAUCGUCGCAGCACCUUCGGCUUCUGAGUCACAGCGCCUCCGACCGCUUGUUGCAGCACCCUCGCCCGUCGGUCGUAGCACCGCAACCUCCGCUUGUGGCACCGACGGCCGCACUCGCAGCAACGCCCUGGCCAUCACAGCAGCAGCGUCUCCAAUAGGCUUGGACAUUUUACUCGGUACUCGGAGAGUAGCUCGACUCGUUAAGAGCUCGGCUUGUUAGACUAAAGAACCAAGUAGAGCACCUCCAGAAACUCGUUAACACUAAAGAGCUUAACGAGCCGAGCUAGCGAGACUCGCAAGCAUACUCGUUAGCUCGUUAUCUGGCGUCUGGCGGUCGAACCAAACACAGUAACCCACGACUUGUUAGACCCAGCACACCCUCUCGAACAGCCCAACUGCCUGAAUGCGGCCCAAGCCCAAGAUUCGUUAGGUCAGUCGGGUCUCCAGUCUCCUCGUCUUGUACUCUCGUCAAGCUAAUAUUAGUCUUAUUAGUGCUUCUGUAUUGUACUGUAUGAGGACACCGAAGCUGUGUAAUGGCUGCUAGUCUUAUGAGUAUUUGUGUUGUAGCCUGUAAUGGUUAUUAGUCUUAUUUGUUAUGGACUUAUUAUAUAAUGUUGUACACAUGCUUUGCUUGUCAUUUUUUCUGCAUAGAUGCUGCCCAUUUUUUUCACCGCUAACGCGUUUAACGAGCGCUCGCGAGCAGUAAACGAACCAAGCCGAACAGGCUUUGAUGUUCGUUAAGGUUGACAAGCAUAACGAGCCGAGCUCUUAACGAGCCGAGUUCUUAAAAAAGCAAGCUCUUAACGAGUCGAGCAUGCUCGUUAGCCAGGCCUAGUCUCCAACUCGCAAAGCCGCUGGCAGCCUAGCCUCGCAGUCAUGCGCGCGGCUGCAGCCAUGGAAACGCAUCCAAGAGAUUGGAACGAGGGAGAGGAUGAGGGAGAAGGGGAAAGUAAGAGAGAGAGGAUGAGGGAGAAGUGUAACGAGAGAAGAGGGAAAAAGAGAACGUGGUGCUUGGUCGUUUCCUCCUUGUCACGUGUCACGCACGGAAGGCAGUCGACACGGGCCGUGUCAUCGGUCGGGUGAUAACUAUCUUUUCCCAACAAGAAAGUACUAGCCAAGUGGAGGAAGCAUGCAUAUCACAAGUAAGUAAAAACAUAUUGAGAAGGAAAGAGAAGAAAAUUAGUAUCGACUACCAUUGGAGAUGCCCUUUAAUACUCCUCGGCCGUGAAGAUUGCAUGCGGAAGAACUACAAAACUUUUGAAAGAGAGUUACUAACUUCUGCCAGUGAAUAAACUAAUGAACAUUUUGUAGUUCAGGAACUCAAAAAACACACAAAUAAAUCAAUAAACCGAAUUACUGAUACAGAUUAGUCUCAAAAUGGUUUACAAAAGCUAAAAAGGACAUGUGUCAUGAUCCUGAACAAUGGGUUGUAACUAGGUUUGUGUCAUGCAUCCACUUUUAGCCUUGACGAACGUUUUUUUACUAAUCUUAUUACUAACUCAAGUUCAUGGAUUUAUUUGGGUUUUUUAGUUCGUGGAAUAAAAUAUUUUUCAGUUCCAUUUUAGGUUUCUUUUCCUUUCUGUACUUUUCUCUUAACUGAUGCCAUUCGUAUUUUCUCUCCUAUCUAACUAAUGAAAAUGCAGGGCCGUUGCUUAAAAGAAGAAGAAGAAGAAGAAACACAUUUUUGACCGGACGUAUUGAAAAUGAAUGAUUUUCAAAUUAUCCUGGUACAGCUCAUAGUACAUCAUUUGCUGUACGUGUCUCCAUGUUUUCUCUGUUCCUUGUCGCUAUCCAUCACUUGACGUUGAAAAGACCAGAGAAAUGAAUGCAGAAACAGAAGAAGCCUCCUUACUUGACCAAUUCCAUGUGCCACGUGAAUACGUACAUGAUAGAGACCCUGCACUCUCGAUACCUCGAUCGUCGUACACUCGCAGGUAUAGUCCAUUCGCCGUCAGCUGCUGUCCGACGGCAACAGCAGUUCAGUCCUGUCAGUUUCUUGAUUUCUUCCUCGCUGUCGGGCGUCAAUUGUGUAUUACUACUGCGUGUCCAACAUUUUAUCAGCACAGCAGCAGCGCAGCUCGCCGCCAUGGCGAUAGGCACGCGUCGCCGUCUGGGUCUGGCUCCUCUCUCCUUCUACCUCGCUCCAGCCACAGCCUCGCUCCUCCUAACGUUAUUCCUCCACGCGCCGCCGCUCGCCGGCGCGCAGCCGCUGCCGUGGCAGCUCUGCGACGACCCCGCCGGGAACUACACGGAGGGCGGCGCGUACCAGGCCAACAUACGCGCCCUCGCAAGCGGCAUCCCCAAGAACGCCUCCUCCUCCCCGGCCCUCUUCGCCAAGGGCGCGGCCGGCAGGGCCCCGGACGCCGUCUACGCGCUCGCGCUCUGCCGCGGCGACACCGCCAGCGCCAACGCCUCCUCCUCCUGCGCGUCCUGCGUCGCCGCCGCCUUCCGGAACGCGCAGCAGCUCUGCGCCUACAGCCGGAUCGCCACCAUGUACGACGACCCCUGCAUCCUCCGCUACUCCGACCGGGAGGACUUCCUCGCCAACGUCACCGACAACGGCGGGAAGAUGCUCGCGUGGAACGCCAACAACGUCAGCGCGGACGUAGCGCCAGCGUUCGACGCCGCUUCCGGCCGGCUCGUGAACGCCACCGCCGACUACGCGGCGGCGGACCCGAGACGGCGGUUCGGCACGGGGGAGUUGGACGGGUUCGACGAGACUUACCCCAAGAUUUACUCGCUGGCGCAGUGCACGCCGGACAUGACGGCGGCUGAGUGCCGGGCCUGUCUCGGCGACAUGAUUGGGCGGUUCACUCCCCGGUAUUUCGUGGGGAAGCCGGGCGGGCGAGUCUUCGGCGUGCGCUGCAAUUUCCGGUUCGAGACCUACUCUUUCUUCUCUGGGCGCCCGCUGCUGCAGCUCCCAGGCGCGCUGCCGCCUGCACCGGCGCCGGCAGCGGCCGGAGAAGGUGAGUUUCUGAAACAGAAAUCACCCCUGGGAACGUACAGCUCUGAACUUACGCGUGCCCCGGCCUUCUUGAUUGCUUUGCAAAACUGAAAACAAUUUUCUGCAGCUGAAUUUAAGAUGCGUUCCAUCUGAAAUCAACACAAUUUUUUUUGCAGGAACAACAAGACGUGGUGCAGGACCAGUCUUGGCAAUUACACUGCCUAUAGCUGCUGCAGCAUUACUUCUCAUUGCAACGUGCGUUUGCUUCUGGAAGAGGAGAAAACAUACGGAAAGAAAGGCGUCAGUACCAUGUAAGUCCUCUCAAUUAAGGAAAGAGGAACGGCGAUUCACCGAUUACUUCGAUUUAUUCAUGGUUUACACUUUCUGAAAUACUAACAAAUCUUAGUUACUGGAAUUACUCAUGCUCACUCAGAUUGUGAUUUUUUUUUCCGAAAAGAAGGUUCAAACCUCAGGCCUCCGCAUCAAUAUGAUGCUCACUCCAUUGUGAUUAGAUUCUCAUUUGUUUUGCUUUUUGUCCGGGUCUAGAAUCCUACUUAUAUUGCUGAUCAUGGCACACAUGUUUCUUCCAACAGAUUCAACUAAUCAAGAUGACAUUCAGAGCAUCGAUUCCCUCCUCCUUGACCUAUCGACGCUGCGGGCUGCAACAGAUAACUUCGCCGAAAGCAACAAGCUUGGCGAAGGAGGCUUCGGCGCGGUCUACAAGGUACCAAUCGUACCAUUUAGUAAUGUAAAUCUGUUGGUUGCAUACAGCAUUACAGAUUACAGACAUAUAUCUAAACUUGUUGACACACAGGGCGUCCUUUCUGAAGGCGAGGAGAUAGCAGUGAAGAGGCUGUCGCAGAGCUCCCGGCAAGGAACAGAGGAGCUGAAAACAGAGCUAGUCCUGGUCGCCAAUCUCCAGCACAAGAACCUCGUCAGGCUCGUCGGCGUCUGCUUGGAAGAGCAGGAGAAGCUGCUCGUGUACGAGUACAUGCCGAACCGGAGCCUCGACACCAUUCUUUUCGGUACCAUUCAUCCGAUAGAUUCUAUCCCUAGCCGGGCAUACAUAGUUACAUACUGUCACUGGCUCAGCUGUCUGACCGUCUCUCUUAUGUUUGUGUAUUGGUUUCGAUGGAUGAAAGAUCCUGAGAAAAGCAGAGACCUGGAUUGGGGGAAGAGGCUGAAGAUCGUGGGCGGGGUGGCUCGAGGCCUGCAGUACCUCCACGAAGACUCCCAGCUGAGGAUCAUCCACCGGGACCUCAAGGCGAGCAACGUGCUGCUGGACAUGGACUUCAGCCCCAAGAUUUCCGACUUCGGCCUGGCCAAGCUGUUUGGGUGGGACGAGUCGCAGGCCGUCACUAGCCACAUUGCCGGAACGUAGUAAGUUCUUCCGGUACACGUUGGCACGCACAAAUACAUCGGAACAACAAGAGAUUUUAUUUCCUCGUGCUCUAUGGAUGCAGCGGAUACAUGGCGCCGGAGUACGCGAUGCGCGGGCAGUACUCGGCCAAGUCGGACGCCUACAGCUUCGGCGUCCUGGUCUUGGAGAUCCUCACCGGAAGGCGGAACAGCAGCUUCGCUAACUCGGAGCAAUCCGUUGACCUCUUAAGCCUCGUGAGUAAUUCUACAUGUCCAAGUUCCAUCUGAUCUGCUCCCCAUGAAGGCAAUUUACAAAACCGUCUUCACGAAACAAUGUUAAAUUCUGGCGCGUACGUGCAGGUAUGGGAGCACUGGACGAGGGGAACAGUGGAGGAGCUGGUGGACCCGUCGCUGGGCGGCCGUGCUCCGGGAGGCCCGAUGCUGCUGAAGCUGGUCAACGUGGGGCUGCUGUGCGUGCAGGACAGCCCCGCGGACAGGCCGGCCAUGUCGGCCGUGAACGUCAUGCUCAGCAGCAGCACGGUGUCUCUGCAGGCGCCGUCGAGGCCCACGUUCUGCAUCGAGGAGAUGGAGGGCUACUCCGACAUGUACUCGGCGACGUAUCCAAGGGGAUCCCGGCCCACCAAGGUGCAGACGGCCAUGUCGCCGAACGAGGUCUCCAUCACGGAGCUCGAACCAAGAUGAGGGCUGUGAAGCAAUUUGCUUGCUACUAUACGUAUACUACGUACUAUACUACUGAAUCUCCUGUAUUUAUGUUGUUGUGACCUUUUAAUAUGCUGAAAGUACUCAGCAAGUUCUGUGCUACUGUAGUAUACUAAGCACUAAAGUAAAGUAAUUAAGGUUUGUUGCACAUCUUCGCACACGAGUCAAGAUGGCCGAGUUGGUCUAAGGCGCCAGUUUCAGGUACUGGUCCGAAAGGGCGUGGGUUCAAAUCCCACUCUUGACAUUAAUUUUUCGUACACAGCACUACUCCGUUCAUUUUUCGUACACAGCACUAAACAAUCCUUUCUGAAACAGAAGAAAGAAAAGAAAACCCCAACCCGCCAGAGGCUUUCAUCGCAUCCGAUGCGCUAGCAACUCUAGACUGGCAAUGGCGUGCAAGCUAGGUUUAACAGUGGCCACCUCGCCAUACCGGAACUACGCUACGCUGGAUGGUUGGCCACCCCGCGAUCCUUCAAUGCGCCGCAGUUCCACGGCCGUGCCCUGGUGGCCUGGUUCUUUCCACUCCUCUCUCGUGUUUGAACUUCCUACACGGUGAGUCCAUGCAUAUGUGGUACGUCGUCGCCACCUGCUCCAACAUCGUUCUAAUUAAUCCAAGUGUUCCAAAGCUAGAUUUAAAACAAAAUAACAAACUGCUUGUUUCCCCGCAAAAAAGCUUCCAACUUCCUGAUCUUUAAGGAGCAAAUGUCCCACCAGCCUUUUUCCUCCGCCAAUCCAACUGACAGUACCGACGUUUCUUCCGAUCUUCUCCCACUCCUCUUUCCCAGACAAUCCAUCAGUCUCUUCACAUUUGAUCACUUAGAGCAUCUGCCUAUCAAGUUUCCUAAAAAUUCUCCCGAAAAGGGCUCAAAUCCGGUACUUUACAUGUGCAAUUUCACGUUUUUCUCUUCAUGUAAAUAUAUAUCAUCAAACUGAGAAUGCACUUAUUUUUAAGUCUUAACUUUAUGAAAACAUGAAUAAAACAAAUACAUGCAUGUUCACAAGUACUCCCUCCGUUUCAAAAUAAGUGACGUGGAUUUGUAUAAAUUCUUAUACAAUCUACACCGCUUAUUUCGGGAUGGAAAAAGUAACACAUAUAACUCUUCUAAAGCUUUGUGACGCUUCUUCAGGGCAAGUGCGAAAGAAAAUUUUACUGACAGUUUUCGAGUUGUGAUCUGUGACCCGACUAUGUUUGACGCAUCAACGGUGUUAGACUGUACUGACACUUUUCUUCGUUGUGUCAGUGUUAAACUUGUAGGAGUAAUGUGUUUUGGUAGUAGUGAUUAUAAAUUUCGCAACGGGCCUUCUAAUUUUUUGUUACGGCUUAAUAGACCAAGAAAAUAACAAUCUGUCCAGUCACUAAGAAAUAAAUUCCGUAAAAAAGUUCAUACUCCUACAAAGAUCUGUUAAAUCGAAGACGUGCUACAAUUUGCGAGGCAAAGGGUCGCGGUGUGCAGAAUGUGAGCUAACUGCCAGCCUGCCAGGAUACAAAUGGCGUGGCAAAGGGUCUUAAUUUAUCUAGGCAGCACAUGACACUUUCUAGUACACAAGAAAUUCAGAAAGCAUUGCAUACGGAAGCUAGCUUUCUUUAAUCCUUCUUUGCAUCGUCAGUAUUCAGUUUGACAUUGGAGCAUUCGAGUGCAUCCAGAUCUCAGCCGAUUCCGUCCUCAUCAAACAGGCGGGGCAUGGCGUCCGAGGCAGCCAGCGUCGCCGUGGUCUCGGCCGCCGUGGCCGCGGCCAUGGUUUAUGCGCGCCUCGCCGCCUCGCGUUCGCACCCCGGCCUCCCCCGCCUCGCCGCGCUCCUCCCGGUGCUCCUCCUCCUCCCCGUCCUCCCCUUCACGUUCUCCUCCAUCCACCUCCGCACCAUCUCCGCCUUCUUCCUCGUCUGGCUCUGCGGCUUCAAGCUCCUCCUCCUCGCCGCCGGCCAGGGCCCUCUCCACCCGGCGCUCCCGGUCGUCCGCUUCGUCGCCUGCGCGGCGCUUCCCAUCAAGGUAGUAGUAGAAGUCCAGGACAGAGCAGCAGCGCAUCAGCCGUCCCGGCGGUCUCUCCCUCCCGCGUUCUUGCUCUCCUACGCGGCCAAGGCGGCUCUGUUCGCGGCGCUCGUCUCGCUCCGGGGCAUCCGGGCUCGGAUGCCCGCGUACGGCGUGGUCGCGUUCGACGGUGUGCACGUCUACCUCUUGCUCGAGCUGUUCAUGGCGUCCGCCGCGUUCUUCGCCCGGGCCCUGCUCGGGGCCGACCUGGAGCCACAGUUCGACCGGCCGUACCUGGCCUCCUCCCUCCGCGAUUUCUGGGGCCGCCGGUGGAACCUCAUGGUGCCCGGCGCGCUCCGCCCCACCGUGUACCGCCCCGUGCGCAGCCGCCUCGGCGUGCCGGCCGGCAUGCUCGCCACGUUCGUGGUGUCGGGGCUCAUGCACGAGGUCAUGUUCUACUACAUCACGCUCCGGGCCGGCACCGGGGAGGUGACCGCGUUCUUCGUGCUCCACGGCGUGUGCGUGGUCGCGGAGCGGUGGUGGGCGAUCCGGAGCCGGAGCGGGCUGUGGAGCCCGCCGCGGCCCGUGGCGACGGCGCUCACGCUGGCGUUCGUCGCGGGCACCGCGUCCUGGCUCUUCUUCGCGCCCGUCAUACGCGGCGGGCUGGACAAGGCCAUCGUCGCCGAGUGCGAGGGGAUGCUGGCAUUUUUGGAGGCGGCUGCGCGUGCUCUGGCUGACGCGGCGGCACGUUUGGUCUGGUCAUGAUUCCGGUUGGCAUUCGCGGUGUGUAUGUCAUGUAAUUGUAGUUCCGUGGUUUGCCCAUGGCGAUUCCGGUUGAAUUUGAUUUCAGGGGAACAAUAAGGUCUUCAGCGUAUUUCCCCAGAACAGAAUCUGGUAUCACCGCGCUAUGCGUGGGCACUGGAUCAUGGGAUUGUCGUGUCACGAAGGUGUAGUGUACACGCUGCAUACAAGAGCAUCAGACAACUGAAACUGGAAGAGCACAUUUUCCGUGAUGUCAAACGAUGAUGGAAAAUUCCAGAAAAGCUUUGUGAAAUAGGCAUGAUAUCUAGGACACCGACAAGUGGCCACAAGGGCUCACAGAGCGACGUGGCCUGAUCCGGGCUGUUGUUCCUCAAUCGGAUGGUCAAGAUCACCACUUCGGUUCCUCCAAAAGACAGAGUCUUGGUACCGGUUUCAGCACGGACGAGAGCAUCUCUAGAAGAUAACGCAAAAUCUUGAUAGAAAAAACACGUAUUCGGUAAAACUGAAUCCGUUUUUUAGUUACUAAUUUGGUCCGGACAGAACAUAUACCGCAUACCUGAACCGUAUCAUCGAAUAUUCCCAUCUACUACAGCCAGCCCACCUCGUGGUCGUUUUCCUCCUCGUGAACGACACGAGCACCAGAAACAUCUGUUUUCUCAAUGUUCUCUCGGCGCAUCUGCUUUCUCGGUGUGCUCUCCGUGCUCGAAGACCACGGAUCUGCGUUGGGGCAUCCAUGGUGUGGCCGCGUGAGGGCUGCAGAGGAGGGCCGCACGGGGCUCCAGCACAGGCUCGAUGCGGAGGCAGGGGAAGUACCGAAGCAGUGGCGCAAGCGCGGGUGACGCUUGGCCAGAGACGGGGAAGAAGGUCGCGGGCAUGGCGGUGAGCGCACGCGUAGGGUCCAAGUUGUGGUGGAUCUCGUGCGGGGCGAUGCCGCGGUGUGUGAGGCGUCAUCUCGGACAGGCGGAGCGGCAUGAGAGCUGCUAGAGAUGCUCUGAUGUCCACUUCGAGGUCUUCUUCUGUUUCUCGUUGUAAAAACUCUCUCUUCAGCUAAAAUUAAUCUCCCUUUUGUACAUUCGUACAAUAGAGAGAUGGAGCAUUUGCACAAUAAAAAAAAAUCCUAAUCAAUUUCGGCUGCUUCCCUUGACCCUUUAAAAAAAAUUCUUCGACAGUCGAAGGUUCAAAAAUUGGCCGCGAGCAAUGGUCAGGGUGACAGGCGAAGAAACGGAACUGUGGAGACUCCAGACGAAGAAACGGGGAGGAGGGGUGCGAUCUGCCGAGUUCAAUCUUUUUUCUGCGAGUAAAGUCUAUUUUUACAGUGGUUGGCGUCGACAUCAAACCUUGACCUUGAAAUCCCUGAAUUCAGCACUUUGUACUCAAUAAUUCCGGUCAUCAAGUGCCGGUCAUUAGGUGUUGAAACAUGCUUUACAUACUGGGAUUGCUGACGUGGCUGGGAUCUUUCACUGACCAAGUCAACAUUUCGCAAACACAAGUCAAGACGUCUACGUGGCACGGUCAAUCCUACGUGGCAAAAAAAGAUUAGUCAACGAGUCAAGCCUCUCAUGCCAUAGUCAAAGGGUCAAAUGAGUUAGAGUAGAGGGCAAGAAAGGUGUGAGGAGAGAGCCCUUAGUCCAUGGUGGACCAUGGACCAAGCCCCUCUUUUCCCCCGUGGUGCACACAAAAUCUAUGGACCAAAGGAGCUACUUUUACCACUUUGCCCCCAUUUUUCUCUUUUCCUCAAGGAUAGCCAUGGUCUUUUGUCAUGGACCCCUAGGAUAUAAAUACCCCCCAUGAGGACAUGUAUCAUUGACUCUCAACUUGAAUAAACUCAAGGAGAGAGGGCUAAAGCCUCUUGCAAAGAGCUCUAGUUUCGAGAUUCGGGAAGACGCGUUCGGCCCGGACUCGAAGGAGAAGGGGUUGGGUUAGAGUUCCGAGGGUAUCCUAACCUCGAUACUUGGAAAGACGCGUUCGGUCCAAGUACGAGGCGGCCCCGACGAACCUCUCGCCAAAAGGUGUCUUGGGAAGAUCCGCUCGGUCCAAGCCCUUGGCUAACAACCCCUCGAAGCUUUUCCUAACAUAGGAUUAAGUCGCACCCGCAGGGUCGACCGAACCUAUUCAAAAAAUAUCGACGUGUCAACUUGUCCAAGUGUACGGCGACCUUCGCUAUAAGGCCGGCGUAUAUGCCCUACUUUUAUACCCGCACUUGUGUCAUCGAUCAUUGGCACCCCUUACUCUAAUUGUUGUCGAGAACAACAACAGUAGCGCCGACCGUGGGGAACCCUCGCCGCAAUUGAAGAUCUAAUGGCCCCGACGAAGCCUACUUCAUUGGGUCCCCAACUUGCCGCGAAGUCUACACGGUUGCAAACGAAGAAAGCAAGUGCCUCGGGGGCUCCCGAGGAAGAAGGAAACAUCACCAUUCCGGACGCCGCCGCAAGCAUGGUCGCCACGACGGAAGUCACAGACGCCCCUCCGGUACCGGCCGUCCCGAAAGGAACCGAGGUGUUCGAAACCGUCAUAGGCGGUCCUCGACACUUACCAACGUAGUGGCAAGGAUCGGCGAGCUGCCUACGGUUGCCGCCCCCGCAGGGGACACGGAACUCGGCAUGCCUCGCUCGAUGGGCUUCGCGCCACCUUCCCUACAACCGGUGGUAACCCUGCCCUCGGAACCUACAAGAGGAAACCAUGUGGUGUCGGGAGGAUCCGUCCAGAAAACCAAGGAGUCCCGGCCUACGACCCCUCCAACCCGGGAUUAUCUCCACUGUCGCUCGCCGCGAUCGCCCAAGGAGCUCCUUGCUAUCAUCCUUAUUGGGGGCUUCCGCCGCAAGGUGCUCUCCAAAUCACACACCCUCAACAUCAACCUCGCUUUGCGAAUGCCCCGCAAGCGCCCCUUGCUCCCCCCGCCGGGGUCGAAUAAGGCGCCCACCAGGUACCACCUCAAGCUGCGCCUCGCGAGGAACGAGACCCUAGAGUGCAUGGAAACGAGCAAGUGGUGGAAUCCGGAGCCCGUGCCGACGGCGAAAGGAAUGCCCGGCGACGCUCCGACCCUCCCAGAAAACGUCGAGAUCAUUCUCCAAGCGACCCCUCUAGCGACGAGAGCGACGAGGGAGGACCUCGCCACCGAAGGAACCAAAAGAAUCGGCCGACUUGCAACCCGCUCACUCGAGAGAUCCAAGACGCGCCUUUUUCGCCAAGGUUCAAGCCGCCCACGAUACGACCAUAUGACGGGGAGUCAAAUCCUCUUCAAUUCUUGGAUGUCUACUCCACCGCCAUACGGGCCGCCGGGGGAGGUCCCGUCGAGAUGUGCAACCUCUUUCCACUCGCGCUCACCGGAAUGGCGCAAACUUGGUUUUACAACCCGCGGAGGAACUCCGUGCACUCAUGGGAAUGCCUCCAAGAGGUCUUCAUCGCCAACUUUCAAGGAAACUUUAAGGAGCCCGUGCAGGCUCACGAGCUAUACACCGUGAAACAAAACCCGAGGGAAUCCCUCCGAAGCUUCUUCCAUUGCUUUGCGAAGGUGCAAAACCAAACGCCAACCCGCCGUCGACCACCAUGAUCGACGCAUGCAUGUAAGGUCUUCUCCAAGGAGAAGUGAAUCGGGCCCUAAGUCGAAACCCACCGAAGACGACCGAAGAGCUUUAUCGAAUCACGCCCGGGGCGAAGACGGGGACAUCACCAAGGACGUGCCACGCGCUGCUCCCGAAGGAACUCCCUCGUCCGACAAACCUCCUGCACCCGCUUCGUCUUCCAAGAAGAAGAGGAGGUGGGGGAAAAAGGGCGUCGGUGACCAAGCCCGGAAAAUCUUCGCCGUCGUAGGCCAAGCACCACCUCAAAAGGCUUGGCAAGCCAAGAAACCACCUCGUCCGACCGAGGGAGUGGCUGGAAGGUGCCUCAUCCACAACUCGGCAAGCCAUAGCACCGAAGAGUGCAACACACUCAUCGCAGCCCGCGAAGAGUUCCAGGCGCGGAUGCAAGCCCGACGCAAGGAUGAGAAGACAGCUGAGGCUCCGCGCCUCGCCAUCGUCCUUGUCGCUGACCCGGCACCCAAGGAAGAUAACCUCCCGUUCCAGGAACCUGCACAUCACGUAGGAGUGAUACUCAGGGGCUCCGCAACGGGACAAGGAUCAAAGCGACAACGCAAGGAGUAUGCUCGCGAAGUCAAUGUCGUGGGAACCUUCACCCCGACACCCCCACCUAAGUGGGCAAGCGUGCCAAUUGCCUUCACCGAAGAAGACGCUAAGGGGAUACGCUUCCCACAUGAUGACGCUCUCUUUGUGAUGGCGAUCGUCGCCAAUUGCGAGCUGAAGAAGAUUCUUGUGGACGGCGGAAGCUCCGCUGACAUCAUAUAUCUAAGCACAUUAAAGAAGCUGAUGGAGCCCAAGGGGGGGAUACAAGAACGGCUCGCUUCAGCCAUCCCUUUAUCCCCUCACAGGUUUCGUACCAGGGAAGUCCAUUCAGCCGCUCGGACAAAUUGAGCUCCUCACGACCUUCGAAGAUGCCACAAAUCACCGAACCGAGCUCGUACGCUUCGAUGUGGUGGAUAUGGAGGCCUCCUUCAACGCCAUCCUCGGGAGGACAACGCUAAACCGUCUUUGUGCCGCCAUCAACCACAAUUUCUUAUGCAUGAAGAUCCCAGGCCCGAAGGGCGUGAUAACGGUCCGCAGCGAGCAAUCUUCCGACAGGAAGACACUUUACCGCCACGAGACCAAGUGCGCCGAAAGGGAGAAUCAUCCAAGAGUAUUAACUUGCUUUCAAGCACGGGAGCAUCCGAAACCAAUUCUCAGGAGCGCUACAUCCCCAAGCCUCUCCCUGAGGGAGAACUCAAGGAAGUACGCAUCUCCCAAGAUGACGCCACGCGCACGGUGAAAAUUGGAGCCGACCUCCCGAGUAAACUCGAGGAAGAACUUGUCGGCCUGCUCCGGAAGAAUUCCGACCUCUUCGCUUGGUCACCUCCGAAAUGGGAGGAGUCCCGCGUGACGUCAUGGAACAUCGCCUCGCCGUGCGACCGGACAAAGCUUCCGUGAAGCAGAAGCUUCGGAAACUCUCCACCGAGAGAAGCGAAGUCAUCAAACAAGAAAUCGCUAAACUCUCCGACGCCGGGCUUAUCCGAGAAGUUUGGCAUCCCGAGUGGCUAGCCAAUCCUGUCUUGGUGAAAAAGGCCAGCGGCAAGUGAUGAAUGCGUGUCGACUUCAUCGACCUGAACAAGGCAUGCCCCAAGGACGACUACCCACUCCCUCGGAUUGACUAACUGGUCGACCCCACGGCGGGAUGCAAGAGGUUGAGCUUCUUGGACGCCUAUUCGGGAUAUCACCAAGUCCACAUGGCCAAGGAAGACGAGGAAAAGACCAGCUUCAUCACUCCCGUCGGCACCUUCUGCUAACGCAGAAUGCCCAUUGGAUUGAGGAACACCGGCGCGACCUUCCAACGCCUCGUUAGCCUCAUCCUCAAAGAACUAUUGGGGAGAAACGCCAAAGUAUACGUGGAUGAUGCCGUCAUCAAAAGUCAAAUUGCAGGAACUCAUCCCAAGGACCUGCAGGAAACCUUCGACAAUCUUCGCAAGUACGGCGUAAAGCUCAAUCCGGAGAAGUGCGCAUUCGGAGUUCGAGGAGGAAAACUCCUGGGCUUUCUCGUCUCUCAACGAGGGAUCGAGGCUAACCCGGAGAAAAUCCGGGCCAUCAUGGAAAUGGAGCCUCCUCGCUCCGUCAAAGAUGUGCAGCGCCUAGCGGGAAGAAUGACGGCCUUGUGACGAUUCGUCGCCCGAUCGGCCGAGAAGGGUCUUCCUUUUUUCAAAGCCUUGAGAAGCCUCGACAACUUUGAGUGGACCGACGAAGCUCAAAGGGCCUUCAAAGAACUCAAGACCUAUUUGUCGACCCCUCCGCUUCUCACGAGCCCAAAGCAGGGGGAGCCCUUUCUCCUUUACCUUGCCGCGACCCCGGUCGCCGUGAGCGCAGCACUCGUGAAGGAGGAAGACGGGUCACAACGCCCGGUAUAUUACGUGAGUGAAGCCUUGGGAGGAGCAAAAGGUCGAUACACCCAGAUCGAGAAGAUCGCUUACGCCCUCCUCAUGGCCUCUAGAAAACUCCGUCAUUACUUCAUGGGCCAUACCAUCUUGGUGCCAACCACUUUCCCACUCAAGGAAGUCUUCUGCAAUAAGGAAGCCACCGGAAGAAUCACCAAAUGGGCAACGGAAUUGGCCCCUUUCUCGCUAGAGCUCACGGCGAGAACGGCCAUAAAAUCCCAAGUCCUGGCUGACUUUGUGGCCGAGUGGAAUGCUCCGCUAGCCCCACCCGAAGAAAUCACAUCCAAAACCAAGCCCCCCGAACCACAUUGGAUAAUGAGGUUCGAUGGCUCCAAGCGUCUCGACGGCGCCGGGGCUGGAGUCAUACUCAUCAGCCCCGAAGGAAAAAUCCUGGAGUACGCCGCCCACCUGGACUUCAACGCCACCAACAGUAUGACGGAGUAUGAGGCGCUACUUCUCGGACUUCGACUGGCCAAGGCCAUGGGAGUCUGACGCCUUCUCAUCCAAGGAGACUCCCAACUGGUGAUAAAUCAAAUGGACAAGUCAUAUCAAUGGCUUGAUGAAAGGAUGAAGAAAUAUAUCGAAGAAGUUUGCAAGAUGGAACAGUAUUUCCUGGGCAUGGAGGUGCGACGCAUUCCACAAGGAGAAAAUCACCUGGCCAACAGGUUAGCCCGAACGGCGGGUCCUAAAGAACCGCUGCCGCCCGGUGCAUUUUUCGAAGUAAUCCGCGCUCCAUCCAUAAAGGAAGAAGCCGAUGCCGUUGACGAAGCUUCAAAGACCAGCAUGGUCAUCGACACUCCACCCUCUUGGAUGACAUCGAUUAUCCGCGCCUUGAAAGGCGAGGUGGACGAAGAAGCGGAAGGCCCGAGCGCCAAAACUCUGCUCGCAAUAGCCAAGAUGUACGUCCUCCUCUACGGCGCCCCACACAAGAAGGGUGUCGCCGCUUUGCUUAAAUGCAUGCCCUCGACCAAGGAGCCAAACUCCUACCCAAGGUCUAUUCGGGAAUAUGCGGCAACCAUCUUGCGCCAAACGCAACCAUGACAAAAGCCUUGCACUAGAGGUCCUAUCGGCCAACGAUGGUGCAAAGCUCAAACCCAAGGGGAGAGGGCUAGAGCAUCCCAAGGGGCCUGCUCUCGAGUGCUUGGGUCGAGCCUAGCCUCGACUUGACCUCAGGGACGCACCUUGGGAGGCCUAGUUUCGAGGUUCCGGGCCGUCUAGUACGGUCUGGACUCGAAGUAGAGGGGUCGAGUUAAAGUCUUGAGGGUAUCCUAACCUCGCUACUUGGGAAGACGAGUUCGGCCCAGGUCCAAGACGGCCCCGAAAGAUCUCUCGCUAUAAGUGACUUGGGAAGACGAGCUCGGCCCAAGCACUUGGCUAACGACCCCCUCAAAGCCUCUCCUAACAUAGGACUAAGUCAUGCCCGCAGGGUCGACCGAACCUAUUCAAAAAAUAUAGCCCGACGAAAUGGCUAUUUUCUCGCAAGGGAACGGACCUUCUCGGGCCCUCCCCUCGCAUGCAACGGGGGCUGGAGACAUGCCAUGGUGACAGGAUAAUCAAUUGCCACUUCUCCGAGAAGGUCAAGGCAUAAAUGCUUCCCUGAGGGAUUUGUGUCGCAAGUCAUCCAAAAGUUCCGGGAAAAACGUCAUUUUGCCAAAAUGAUGUCCCGCAAGAACUAAACUCCAAGGAAUUCAUAAAAUUCUGCGACCAUCUGGAAGAUAAAAGUACACUUCACCUCCAUGACUUAUCUAAAGACAAACGGCAUAGUCAAUAGAGCCAACGGACUCGCCCUCUAGGGGGCUUCGCCAAGCAGUCAAAAGUAUGAUAAGCAAGGAGGAAUGCGAGCCAAUAGGCUCGUCAAGGGUGUGGUGUGAGGAAUACGCACCUUUGCAAGCCACUCUAUAGGGCCGAACACCGUAAUUUUUGGUGCAUAGGAGCAAAAGCAAUGCUCUCGGUCAAAGUCAAGCGCCACGCGCUCACUUCAAGAGGAAAGGGCUCCAAAAAACCACCGCCCUCGCCUUCGCGAAAAAUGAAGAGCAUCAAAUUGAGGAAACUGCCGACAGAGACCUCAUGAAGCAUGCCACUUAUAAGCAGACUGCAACUCGCUUAUACAAAACAAGGGUACGAGAAUGAUUCUCCUCCGAGAAGACCUCGACCCGAAGCUCUAGCACGAGCUCGGCCCUAAGUGGGAAGUACCUUGCCGCAUCGCAGCCAAGAGGGACAUAAAGAGAGCACACGUGUCAUCCUGAAAGCAUAAAGGGAUAACUCCUCAUCAAUGCCUGGAGCCGGCAACGAGCUGCCACUUCUAUGCCUAUAAUGGCCGAAGUAACCAAGGGUGCGCCUCCGACCCUUCGGGCGAGUAUAAGUGCCAAGCCAGCCAUCUUCGCCAAGGGAUUAUAAGCGCCCUCGAGGCCAUCUCGUCAAAAAGGAAGGGAAAGGGAUGUGAGCACAAUCAUCCUUGGAAAAAUUAAGGUAGCACAUUGUCAUGUGUGUUACCUUGGCAUGUGUGGGCACUCAAAAGAGGCUCACCGUCAUCGAAAGGGAAAACCUUGUCAUGUGGCAUCGCCGCGAAAGGUUAAUCCUCCUCGUGGGGAGUUGCUGCCUAAGUGCCACUCUCCAAACUUAUCAUGGGAAGCCUACACCGGCCUAGGUAUUUCCCAUGCAGCAUCACCGCAGAGGAGAACCUUAUCAAGCGGCACCCCCGCGAAAGGAAAAUCAUCCUCGAAAAGAGUUGCUGCCCCAGUGCCGCUCGCCAAGGAAUGCUAGGAGGCCUACGUUGGCCCAAAGCAUCUCCCGAAAUGUCUCCGGACAUAAUUGUCUCAUCGGCAACCCGUUCCUUGGUGGAUCCUAGUGUGCCCCGAGGCCAUCCACCAAGCAGAACCAAGUCCCCCGAGGGCCGGAAGCUCCUUAAAACGCAUUUAAGGAGAACCGUAAAUAAGCGAGUUAUGCAUGAGCUUACUUACCUCGGAGAACCAUGCUAUCCGUGUGCGAGACGUCACGCACGGGCCUGUGUGAUAGUAACCGAAUUAAGGCUCCAUAAUAAUCGCGGAAAAGCAUAGCUUCCUGAAGUCCGAAGAGGGAAAAUUCCGCAUGAAAUUUCCCGAACGGCAGGUCGAAAUGUCCGGAUCACUACCGGCAUAUCGAUAGCGACCCUCGCAAGGGUACCAGGAUUCAUGGCUCGUAACCAUGACCUAAGGCACCGAAGCCGAGUCAUAUCCCAACGGCAACAUCAAUUGAAAGCACAAUGUGCGAGUAAUAGCGAUUGAUCGCGAGCUGUAUAAACUCGAGGAAACAUAAUAUUCCACAAAGGAAGAAAUGUAGUACUCACAACCACAUGUUGAGCUAAAGUUGACAUUUCCUUAAUGUUAAUAACAUAGCGAUACAUGGAACGAAACAAAUGGAUGCAUUGCAGGCAUAUGGCAAGCUACACGCAAGUCAUAAGGCUAUGUCAGAAGGACAAUGUGCAAAGCACAUAUGCAAGCAUUAGAGGUGACUUGUCGACUCCAAGGACGACGUAAGCUCAUACCUCCCAAAUACCCUCCGGAAGGGUGAGGUCGGAAACUCAUCACAAAGUGAGGAAUUUUGGACCAUUGAGUACCACCGUACUCCCGAGGAACUUCCUCGCCCAACAAGGUCGUCACAACCUUAGGGCUCGAAAGUGCGACGAGGUUACAACCUCCAGCAAGCCUCAAACCUUCCAAAGGUUAAAGGCGCAUGCUAAGACUUCAUGGCUCAACAAAAAGAGUUUGAAGCAAGAAAGCCACUCACCAAGUCUCGAUCUUGGUGUGAGUAGCCCACGGCACCCUACAUGGCUUGGAGAGAGCCCGAGGCCUCCUCCUUUUUUCGUUCGCGCCAAUGUCAACUCCAGAAACACCGGAUACAACUAUCACGGUACCUGGAAAAGAAGACAAGUAUGGUGUCAAAAUAUUCACCAAAGGUGGGCGGAGCAAGAAAAUGCAGAAAAGCUCACCAAAGAUAGGCAAACGAGCUCAAGCUUUGUGCUCGAGAGCGUGAAUGACUCGAACGCCACAAAGGGCAUUGCCUUGUUGCAAAAGCUCCGGUGACAUGGUUGAAACGCCAUCUUUGACUGGGUUGCCAAGCGCAAACACAACCUGUCACAUGGUGCCUAACCAAGUCGCGAUGUCAACAUACAAAACAAGAGAAUCUCGCCAAAAUUCGCUAGGGGGGCUCACCUCCAAGGUUGCCAGACAAUCAAGGUCCUUGCUUCGAUGCGAUUGGACUCCGUUGAACAAAUACCUCGGCAAACAAGACCUCGAUUCCUUUAGGGCGAGAUACCACCAAGAUUGUGGUCAACAAAAGUCUGCAUCCCGAGAGGAUUGGACUAUAUCGAGAUGGUCCUUGAACAAAAGGAAACCCUAACCCCCACCAAGUCGGGGUGCAAUCAUCUCGGUGAUAAAAAAUCCACACCUCUUAUCUUACCUGCAACAUGGGUAACGAAGCGUGUGAGCAACACUGAAGAGCCCAAAGUUCAAGGCUUGUUUCUGCAACAAAAACCUUAACUCCAAGAGUUAGGUUUGAAGGCUCAAGACUCAAAGGCCGUCGCAGAGUAUCAUAGCUCCAAGAGCCAUGGUCGCGGCAAAGAGCCGAAGGUACAAAAAGUACCACUAAAAAGUCUAACUUCAAGAGUUAGCAUUGCGAACCCAAGGUUCGGGGCCGCCGCGAAGUACCAUCGCUCCAAGAGCCAUGGCCGCGGAAAAGAGCCUAUGGUACGAAAGUACCACUUGAAGUCUAGCUCCAAGAGCUAGCACAGCGAACACAAGGUUUGAGGCUGUCAUGAAAUUCCAUCGCUCCAAUGGCCAUGGUUGCGGCAAAGAGCCUAAGGUAUGAAAGGACCACUUAAAGUCUAGCUCCAAGAGCUAGCAUUGCAAACCCAAGGUUCGAGGCCGCCGUGAAAUACCAUCGCUCCAAGAGCCAUGGUUGCAGCAAAGAGCCUACGUAAAAAAGUACCACUUAAAGUCUAGCUCCAAGAGCUAGCGUGUAGAACCCAAGGUUCGGGGCCGUCGCAACGUACCAUGGCUCCGGGAGCUAAGGUCGUGACAAUAACGAGCCCAAGGUUCAAAGGUCCAAAUUAAAGGCGAUUGCCAAAGACCCAUCUCGCCAAGCAAACAUGAAACUCGCCUAGAAAAGAUGACACAAAGAGAUUAGUAUGAGUUGCAAAGAUUCCCAAGGAAGCUACUACGGAAAAUCUACGGCAAAAGACGUCGCCAAGGCAUGCACAACCACUGGUCUAAAAAAAAGGGGAGCCAAGCUGCUGGGCUGAAAGGCCCACAGCCUGCCUACGCGAGCAAAGCUCCUCAGGCUGCAGGCCCACCUCAGGCCAGCCCAUCAAAAAAAAAGGGGAGAGAGAGCCUCACCCCCGGGCCGCAGGCCCAUCUCUCGUCCGGCCUGCCCACGUGGAGAAGAAAGAAGGAGAGACGCCGCCACCUACAGGGUGCUCGAUGAAUCGCCUGACGGGGGCACGCCUCGCGCCUCGGCGCCUUGCCACGCACGCUCGCCCGUGUCCGCGUCGUGCUGUCGUGCCCAUUUAUGUGUCAUGCCGCUCGCAUUUGCGCCGCACCAAGCACGCUCGCGCCAGCUGCGCCCUCGCUGUGCCUCGCGAGCGCGGUCCCGCUCCAAGCUGCGUGUGCCUGCGCCGUGCCGAAUGCGCCUGCCAACACCUUGUCGCGUGUGCCCGUUCCUACUCCAUGCCCGCGCCCGCGCCGUGUCGCCCGCGCUCGUAGUGCCGUGCGCUCCCAUGCGCCUGCCGCGCCCGCACGCGCACCUAGCCGCGCCGCGCCGUGCCGCUCUGUCGCACCAGUGGCACCCGGGGUACCACCGCUGCGCGACGCGUGGGCCCCGUCCUCGAGUUCCCGGGAAGGUUUCAUCGCAGGCAGCGGCUACGAGCAGUCCGGCAAGCUACUAGCCCGGAAGGGCUAGCGGGGCUUCGGGGAAUAUUCCCGCCUGGAUACCUCCCGGGAAGCCGCUUCCCGGGGGGAGGUUCCUGGGUGCGUUGGGCCCGGGCGCUUCCCGGGGAGCGACUUGCCGGGACAGGGAGUUCCCGGGCGCCUGCCCCCGCCUCAAGCGUGGGGCCCAGUAGGCAGAUCAAAAGCGCCACGCGAGUGCGUGGCAGGCGUGGGGUGCGCGGCCCCACCGGGGCAAGGAGUAAGGCGCACGGCUCAUUAAAUGAGCCGACCAACGGGGCGUUACCCGUCCGAUCAAGUGAACAGUGGCUGUCCAAUCCUACCCUAGGGUUUUAGACCCCUAGCGGCGGAGGUGGCAUCCAUGCGUGCCACCAGCUCACCGGGGGGGAGUUGUAUGCCUCUCCGCUCGACACUUGUAGCGCAUGCACCGUGGCACCUGUGGUAUCCCCUUGAGUAUAAAAGGAGGACCCCUGCCAACGGUCAAGGGGUUCGUUCGGUUGGAAUCUCAGUUGGUUCGAGUAGACGGUAGAGUUCGGCUGAGUUCGGUCAUCCCACAGUUAGCCUCUAGCUUGAGCAGAGAAUAGUAAGGAGUACCUUGCCAAAGGGAGAGAGUACCCGGGAACUUUUCCGGCAGCCUGUAAACACUCGAUUCACAACCAAUACCAGCUCAAACAAGCAGGACGUAGGGUUUUACACCUCCGGGUGGCCCGAACCUGGGUAAAAACGUGCAUGUAUCGUUUCCUUGAUUAGCGCGCACUUUCAGUACAUCCUUUCGCCGGCCCCGCAGGGCCUCAUCGGCCGAGCCGGCGAUCGCCGGGGUGAACCCCGACGCCCCUACCGAACCUAAAAGGGGGCCGUGACCGCACGCCCCCGGUGUCGGAGCACCCUGCGACGACAUCUGGCGCGCCAGGUAGGGGGCGCGCCAGAAGAGCCUGCCGGUGGUCGCCGGCAGCAUCGUUUGCGUCGACGUCGGCCUCGCCUUCUUCGCCGACGAGAAUAGUCGCCAUGCCCCCCAAGCGGGCUGGUGAUCCUCGUAUAAACCCGCGUGAAGCCUCAGCGGCGCACACGCGGUCGCAUGACAUGCGACCCGAGUCAGGGGCUCCGGAGAAUCCCGAGCCCUCGAGGGUAUAGCAAACACAGCUGCCUCCCCUGCCUCCUCGGCCGUCUACCGACAAUCGGCCGAGGGGACCGGCUGCCCCCAAUGCCAGGGCCACUCGCGCGAGCACGCACGGUGCCGCCUGCGCCGGGCAGCGGGUUGAGUCGCGGGCCGAGGAUGCUCCGCGACAGCGGCAGCAGGAGCAUACCGCGUCACGGGCGACCCCUGGGGGUUCGCACCCAGCACACCCGGAGGUGUCCGGGGCCAGAGCGGGAAGCAGUCGCUCAGGAAACCGGUUGCCCCCCGCACGAACCCCGGCGGAAGCCAUCAUCGCCGCACGCGUCAUGGUGCGAUACGAACCGCAACAAGGCACACCGGCGCACGAGACGUGGGGCGAGGAGUUAGAAGCACAUCUCGCCCUGGCCGCCCAGCAGCCGCAAGGGGAGGGCGCCCCGGUAGGCUCCGGCCACGGGCAGAACCCAGAGCGCGGGGACGCGCCACCCGCCUCGCGACAGGGGGAGAAUCCUCCCCCUCCGCAGGGAGGCCAAGGAGACAGGGGCCCGGAGGGGUCCUCGAACUCGUCGCUCACCGUUCCGGGGGGCGAUGCACGCGGCAUCUUGAAUGCCCGCCAGCAAGAGGAUUUGCGCCAGCGCUUGGAGUGCCCGCGCAGGCGCGAGGUAGAGCGCCAGCGUCCACAGGAGCAGGAAGACGCUCCCAUGGGCCCCGAGGACGGUUGCACCGCGUUCACGCGCGAGUUGCGACGGGUGACGUGGCCCCGUAAGUUCCGAGCGCCCGCGCUCGGUACAUACGACGGGACCGCCAACCCCAAGGAUUUCCUCCUGACCUACACGUUGGGCAUGCACGCCAUCGGCGCCGUUGACAAGGUCAGGGUCAACUGGUUCCCGAUGGUCCUAAAAGGAUCAGCGCGAACCUGGCUGCUCAACCUGCCCACCGGGUCCAUCGCCACUUGGGCGGACCUGCGCAAGCAGUUCGUGAGCGCGUUCCAGGGCGGCUAUAAGUUCCCGAGAACCAUGGCGGAGCUGCACACUAUCGUGCAGAAGCUGGGAGAGACGUUGUGGGCCUUCGUCAACCGCUUCUCCAACCUCUCCUAUUCCAUCCCAGAGGCGGAGGCGGCUGCUAUCAUCAACACCUUCGCCAUCAACGUCCGUGAUCCCAAGAUGCGCGAGAAGCUGAGCACGCAUCGGAUCCGGACGACGCAGGACCUGUACGCCCUGGUGCACAAAUGCGCCAUGGCCGAGGAAGGGCGCCUAGCGCCCGAGCUUGCAGCUAAGGCUGCCGCGAGCCCUGGCGAGGGUUCGCAGAAGAAGGGUUCCCGCAAGUGCAGCGGAAAGUAAGUUCUCGCUGCAGACUCGGGGGCUCCUGCCGUGAGGCCUGCGAAGAAGGCCUCGUCGGGUGGUGGAUCUGGCGGGAAGCAUGGCAACGCGCCCCGCUGCCCCAUAAACAGCAACUCCACCCGCGACGCGCAGAACUGCCGUGUUCUGCAGGGGAUCAAGCAGCGGCGGGAGGAGCGCCAUGAGGAGCGCCACGCCGCCAGUGGCUGCUUCAACUGUGGCGACAUCGGGCAUCUCUUCCGAGACUGCCCGAACGACCCCAGGGCGGGGCCAAGGCCUGCCGGUGGCGGUGCCGCAGGGAUGAACCCCAAGGGGGGCGCGGUCAGCCCCGCGCUGGGCGGGAACGCCCACCCCGGGGACGCGACAGCGCACGCGCUGAGGAGCAGCGCGAGUCCGACUGUACUGGCGGUGACGAGCCGGGCUUCCAGGAGCCUCGUGGCGUCGCUUGCAUCCAUGGUGGAGCUUACGCUCUCCCAUCCCACGCCGCGGUGAAGCGCCUCACCCGCGACGUGUGCGCACUGUUGCCGGAUGCGGAGCCGCAACAGCCGCUGAGGUGGUCGCAUGUGCCGAUCACCUUCAGCGCCGACGAUCACCCAGCAUGGCAGUUGGGUUCAGGGGUAAUACCUUUUGUCGUCUCGCCGAUCAUUAGCAAUAUGAUGGUGACCAAGGUGCUGGUGGACAACGGAGCGGGGCUUAACCUCCUGUCCGCCAGGCUGGUGGAAAAACUCCAGUUGCCGGUGGAGCAGCUGAAGCCCACCGACCCGUUCCGGGGGGUGAACCCCGGGAUCGUGCGCCCGCUGGGACGCAUCACGUUGCCGGUCACCUUUGGGUCCCGAGAAGCGUUCAGGACCGAACACAUUGUGUUUGACGUGGCGCAUACCCCGUUGCCCUACAACGGGAUCCUUGGUCGGCCAACGCUGAUCAAGUUCAUGGCGGCCACGCAUUGCGCUUAUGGCGUGAUGAAGAUGCCGUCCGUCUAUGGAGUUCUCUCCAUCAGGUGCGACCUCAAGGACGCGGCCUGGUGCGUCGGCGAGGUCAUCAGGCCGCUGCCGCAGCUGACGCCGGCGACGAAGACGCUGCCGGAGACAGUUUGUCGGGCGAUGCCCCGGCAACGAAGAAGGCCCGCGCUACCCCGCAAGAGCUUGUCGGGGGAGGCGCAGGCUCGAGCUCGCGCCCCGGCAAGGGGCAGAAGCUCCGGGAGGAGGCCGCCAAGGUGAAGAACCUGCCCCUCCAAGCCGGCGACAAGGAGGGCACCGUUACUGUCGGUGCGAACCUUGCAGCCGAAUAGGAAAGCACCCUCAUCACCUUUCUCCGGGAUAAUGCCGACGUGUUCGCAUGGGAACCGUCGGAUCUUCCCGGAGUCCCCAGGGAGGUGAUUGAGCAUCGGCUCGCGGCGCGCCCCAUCAAGCAGAACGUCCGCCGGCAAGCACAAGAGCGUAAAGAUUUCAUCAAGCAAGAGGUGGACAAGCUCAAGGCUGCCGGAGCGAUCAGGGAAGUUCUGUACCCUACUUGGCUGGCUAACCCUGUAGUAGUGCCUAAAGCAGGGAAUAUGCUUUGCAUGUGUGUAGAUUUUACUGAUCUUAAUCGCGCAUGCCCCAAGGAACCCUUUCCUGUACCCCGUAUCGAUCAAAUAGUUGAUUCUACCGCUGGUCGUGACUUGCUGAGUUUUCUGGAUGCUUUCUCCGGCUACCAUCAAAUCAAGAUGGCGGUCGAGGAUGAGGAAAAGGCAGCGUUCAUCACCUCGGUUGGCUGUUAUUGUUAUACAUGCAUGCCUUUCGUGUUGAAGAACGCGGGCUCCACAUUUCAGCGCGCCCUGCGCGAAUGUUUGGGGCCCCAGCUAGGCCGCAACACGGAGGCCUACAUGGAUGACAUCAUCAUCAAAUCGAAGCGUGGGGACUCGCUGAUUGAUGACCUGCGGGAGACGUUUGACAACCUCUGCAGGAUCAAGCUCAAGCUGAACCCUGAUAAGUGCACCUUCGGUGUCAACUCCGGGCAGCUUCUGGGUUUCUUGGUUUCACACAGGGGGAUACAGGACAACCCGAGCAAGAUAGAAGCCAUCGAGAAGAUGGAGGACCCCCCGCAAGGUGAAGGAUGUCCAGCGCCUCAACAGCUGUGUUGCCGCGUUGGGAUGUUUCAUCUUUAGGCUGGGCGAGCGUGCCCUGCCUUUCUUCAAGGUGAUGAAGAAGAAGGGUCCAGUCGACUGGACUCCUGAGGCCUAGGCGGCGUUCCGGGAACUCAAACAGUACCUGAGGUCGCCGCCCGUCCUCGUCGCCCCCAAGCCGGGCGAGCCGCUGCUACUCUACCUAGCGGCGAUUGACUAGGUGGUCAGCUCGGUGCUGGUUGCCGAGAGGGAGGAAGAUGUCCCGGGUACUGAGGCUGCGGGGCAGGGGGCUGAGCGGCCCCCGGCAACCGCCUUGGACCCGAGGACCACCCCCGAGUCGGCAACCUCGGCACCGCGGAAGCGGUUGGUGCAGCACCCGGUGUACUUCGUGAGUACGGUGCUGCGCAACGCGCGGACGAGGUACCCGCAAGUACAGAAGCUCCUUCAGGGGAUUCUCCUUACGUCCCGCAAACUGCGCCACUACUUUCAGGCGCACCACGUUACGGUGGUGUCGGCGUUCUGCCUUGAACGGGCCCUCACCAACCGUGAAGCCACCGGGAGGGUGGCCGAAUGGAGGAUGGAGUUGUCGGAGUUCGACCUUCACUUCGCCAACUCUAAAAGCAUUAAGAGCACGGCCUUGGCGGAUUUCGUUGCGGAAUGGACGUCUAUGGGCGUGGAAGAGAAUGAACCAGAGACCAGCCUGCCCGGCAAGCUGGACGAGGACCACUGGGUCCUCUACUUCGACGGCGCGUUCAGUCUCCAAGGAGCAGGCGCCGGAGUCGUCAUCGAGUCACCGACAGGGGACCAGUUGAGGUUCGCUGUCCAACUCGAUUUCGCGAACUCCACCAACAACACUGCGGAGUACGAGGGCUUGCUCGCCGGGUUGCGGGCGGCAGUCGCCCUCGACAUCAAGCGCCUAGUUGUUCGCGGCGAUUCCCAGCUCGUGAUCAACCAGGUGAACAAGGACUACGACUGCCCACAAAUGGCACCGUACGUGUAGGAGGUCCGCAAGCUAGAACGUAAGUUCAAAGGUUUGCGUUUCGAGCACGUCAAGCGAAAGGAUAACUUCGCUGCUGACGAGCUGGCCAAGAUGGCAGCAGAGCGCCGGAAACCUCCGGCGGGGGUGUUCUGUCAGAAGCAAGCGGCUCCUUCAGUCGCCCCCAGCCGGCUGCUGGGGACGCCCCUCCGGCAACCGAAGGAACCCUUGCCGCAGCAGGGGUCCAUCUCGCUAACAUAGCGGCAUGUGUUGGCAGGGAGAUCCCUCUCUGGGCGGAAGAGAUCGCCCACUACUUGAAAGGAGGGGCUCUCCCGGAAGAUAACGUCGCCGCGGAACGAGUAGCGCAGCAAGCCAAAAUGUACACUAUGGUGGAUGGGAACCUCUACCGCAGGCGUGCAAACGGUGUCAAGCUUAUCUGCGUGCCGUAGAAAUAAGGGCACGCACUGUUGGAGGACAUACACCGAGGCACAUGUUCACACCAUGUGGCCUCCCGGGCUUUAGCCGGCAAGGCGUUUCGGCACGGCUUCUACUGGCCCACAGCCAUGGCCGACGCGGAGCGGCUGGUGAGGACGUGCGAAGCAUGCCAGUUCCAUUCGAAGAAAAGCAACCAGCCGGCGCAGGCCCUACAUGUCAUCCCUUCCUCGUGGCCGUUCGCGAUCUGGGGGCUCGACAUCGUCGGUAAGCUACCAAGGGCGGUUGGCGGUUACGAAUAUCUGUUCGUGGCCAUCGACAAGUUCUCUAAGUGGGUGGAGGUGGAACCAGUGCGGAAAGUGACCGCCCAGGCAGUCAUCAAGUUCUUCAGAGGCAUCGUGUGCCGGUUUGGUGUGCCUAACAGCAUCAUCACCGACAACGCCACACAGUUCACGAGCGCGGCGUUUCAAGCCUAUUGUGAAGACAUGGGCACUAAGCUGCGCUUCGCGUCCGUUGCUCAUCCGAGGAGGAACAGACAGGCGGAGCGAGCCAACGCAGAGGUGCUGCGGGGCUCAAGACGAGAACCUUUGACAAGCUCAAAGCCCACGGGAUACACUGGGUCGAAGAACUCCAGCCCGUGCUGUGGUCAAUCAGGACCACACCUAGUCGGGCAACGGGCGAAACUCCUUUCGCCCUUGUCUACGGGGCAGAAGCGGUGCUGCCCCUCGAUCUCAAGCACGGAUCUCCCCGGGUACGAACGUAUGGCGACACCAGCCAACGCGAGCAAAGGGUUGACGAUAUAAACUUCAUCGAAGAGCUUCGAUGCCGGGCUGCUGUGCGAGCCUCGCGCUACCAGCAGGGACUCUGUCAUUAUCACGAUAGGCGAGUCCGUCCCCGGGGGCUCGAGAACGGAGACCUUGUCCUGCGUCAGAUACAAGAAACGAAGGCCGGGAACAAGUUUACUCCGAAAUGAGAGGGGCCCUUCCGGGUAGUGCAGGUGACCAGGCCGGGGGCUGUCCAGCUGGAAACCGAAGACGGCUUGCCGGUGCCCAAUAGUUGGAAUAUUGAGCACUUGCGCAAGUUCUACCCGUGAAGCGGUGGAGCCCGACCCUUAGGUGAUGCCGCCGAUGCAUGCCUCUCGAACUAGUGAAGCCGGGCAGCCCCCGUGUGUAAACCACUAGUUAUUGUGAAUAAAGCUUUAAAUUCGCCUUGUUUAUUUGCAUGUUCCUCCUCCUUCUGUCUCCCGCUUUAAGUGCACAAAAGUGUCUUUCCAUACUUGGUUGUGAGCAGGGGGCUGUUGGAGCCUCGAAAACAUUAACCCGUUGCCGGAUCGUUCCGAUACGGGACAUGCAGUUCCGGGCUUCCCGCAACGUGCAUCCCUGGACAUGCAGUUGCCGGGCUUCCCGCAACGUGCACCGCGCAGUCGCUGUGCCUGGGAAAUGAAAUGCUCACACCCAAGUUUGGCAUCGACCCCUUUGUGCCUGGGGGCUGGGAGGCAGGAGGAGUUUGUCUGUGUUGCUUUGUGUAUUUUCAUGAAUUUCGAAAAAAAAUUGCAGCACCUCGGGCCUGGUAAGAAUCUAACUUGCAGGAAAGGGUGUAAUCUUGUGCACUGUGGUGCCCGUGGGCUGCCCACGGGUCGCGGCAUGCACCGGUGCCUUGUGGUGCGGGACGACCGCAACACAAGAGACUCACCGCACUCCGAGGAUUCUGCCCCACGGUGGGCUCCACCACGUGUACCACAGUUGCUUGGCAUGCAUGGUGGCGGAGACUGUACCGCGUUUCAAGGGAGGGGUGCCACGGGUGCUGGGCGGAUCCGUCGCGCGCGGUGGCAAACCCACCUCCCGCGCCUAUAAAAGGCACGCCCCAGCCACGGAACGGCUCAGAGCGAAGCCGGGUGAGGGGCCGUUAAGGCGGGCGGUGCCACGGAGGCGCGAUGGUGGUGCAUUCCAUCAGCGCUUAGCACCGACGGGUGCGCUACCAUCGCGCCCCUGCCGCAUCACCCCAUCGAGCCCGCCCCGAGGGGCGUCGUAGAGGCACGGUGGUAGUGCAUGCCAUCAGCGUUCUGCGCCGACGGGUGCACUGCCGCCGUGCUCCUGCCGCACCUCCUCAAGCGGGUGGCUCCUGGGCGAGGGUCGCCGCGGAGGCACUAUGGUGGUGCAUUCCGUCAGCGUCCGGCGCUGACGGGGUGCAUUGCCGCAGUGCCCUUGCUGCGUCCCUUCAUAAGACACCUCCGCAAGGAGCAGGGGCUGCCGCAGAGACUCUAUGGUAGUGCAUGCCAUCCGUGCCUUGCGCCGACGGGUGCACGGUCAUAGUGUCCCGGCAGCAUUCCCCUUGAGAGAGCCUUAUUUCGGGCGCGAGUCGUUGCGAGGACGCUGUGAUGGCGCCGGUGUCGGCGCCCGCCGCCCAUUCUGGCCCAUCACCGCGUCCCUGCCACAGCCCUCGAGCAGUUUUGCUCCCGGGCAACGAGGGUUGUUACGCCCCUCAGGACGAGCUCCCCAGAAAAACCAGGUCUUCCCAGUUGCGGGGGCUGUCGCCGGGAGGCUAUAACUUCCUCGCCACCCGUGCCCGCCGCUCGGGGUGGGGCACAGCUGGCGGCGAGGACGUUAUAGCCAUCUUGCGGCUGCUCCCGAGGUGGAGUCCUCCUAGGCCAGGGUCCCUCCCUGAAGGCGAGUGUCGCUGCAUGAGCGUGGUGGUAGCAUCGUCGUCAGCGGUUGCCGCUGGCGGCAAUCCUGCCCCCGCGUUCCUGUCGCAUCCCUCAGAAACAGUUUCCCUUGAACAGGCACCCGAGGUGGAUCCCUACCAAGGCAGUGCUCCAGGUGGUCUUUUCCGCCAAGCGUCACGAGGCAUUGGACUGAACGGAAAAGCUAAGUGCGUGAACAUGAACGCUGAAUUCGCUAAAAACGGAACGAAAUUGAGCGUUAUCUCGUUGGGUGUGGCCCCAGAUCCUGCGCGUAGCCGGAGUGUUAAAAGGAUGCUUGCGGGGGGAGUGCGCUCCCCGUGUGGCUUCGCGGGUCCGUCCCGGAAGGGCACGGCUUGGAGUAGUUACCCCGCAAGUGGAGUGGCUCCCCACUACCGCUUGGCCCCAGGUCAGCACCGCGAGUCCGUCCCGGGUCCCUGGUCUGGUCAAGGGUGAGGCGCGCGAGUCCCCCGCAACACAAGGCAAAAUGCGCAAAGGCUAAAAGGGCCGCCCCGCUAGACAGCACCAGGAACAAUGAACAUGUCGAAAAACUUAAUUGACUAAGAGUCGAACGAUUACAUGGGCUAAUCCGAAGUAUAAUUGUUCAAACAGCGCUAAGCGCCACACUUGCAGGGAAAGCAAACAAAAGAAGAUACAUCGGGGAGCAACAAGCACGGCUGGGGGCUGCGGCAACUAGUUGCCGCCAUCUUCGGCCGGGGGGUCGGUGGGGAGAUCGGGCUCCGGCUUCAUCUGCAUCCGCUCGACCACCUCGUCAACGAACUCGCGCACUGCUUGGGUGUGCAUGGGCUCGUCCUCGCUGUCGGACCAAGCGUCCAGCAGGGACUCGAAGGGAAACUCCGGGUGCCGGAGAUGAAUCCGCGGGAGGAUUGUCCCGGCAACCUUCCGAGCGCAGUUGGCGACUUCGUUGGCGUCGUACUGGGCGAUCCAGACGUCGAGCGCCCCAAGCUUUCCCACCAGAUCGGAGAAGAAGGGGAUCAGCGUCGUGACAUCUAUUCCGUCCACUUCCGUCGCCUGCAGCUCGAACUUGGGCAGCAGGUCGCGCAGCGGAUGGGCGAUCUUCAGCAGCUUCUCCGUCUCGAUCUGCCGCUGCCCGAUCAGCGUGCCGUGAUGGAGUCGAGCGUCGUGCACGGCCUUUUUGGCCUUGUGGACAUUGCCUUCCAUCGCCGCGAGCUCCGCGGUCUUCACCGCGAUCUCGUUGCCGGCCUUGGCAAGCUCCUCUCGGACGGCGGCCAGCUCGGUCUCAAGCCUGGCCGCUGUCCCUGGCGGAGCCGAGCUCGGUCUCGUGCCGAGCCGCUGCUCCCACCGCAUCUUCGGUGGCCUUGACUUGCACCUCCAGCAUGUCGCAGAAGCCUUGGAUUUCGCCGAGGUAGUUAGCGAUCAGGACACUCUUCUCGUCCAGCCGGGUCUGGGCCGCCGCGACCACCUCGGCAUGUUCCUUCCUGGUCGCCUCGAGGGUGGCCGCCAUUGAGUCCAGCUUCCCUUGAAGCUCCGUGCGCUGGGCCUCCAGCUGCCGGUGGAGCUCGGCCUCCGGGACCACCGGCUGCCAGGCGUCCUCCAAGGCUUGCCGGGCCAGCCGCGCCUCCUCCUCGGCGAGGCGCGUCUCCUUGCGCCGCCGGGACAGUUCUCGCCGCUCUCUCUCCACGACCUCCCGCACCUCGCCAAGUUGGUUCUUGGCGGCAGCGUGAUGCUCCCUCACCUCGUUGAAGGAGGUGACGAAGACCUGUUGCUGGUCCCUAACGGCGUCCAGGAACCGGUGCCCCCGUUCGAAGAUGCUCGGAUCCUAGGUGAGGGGGUUCCAAGCGACCCCGGCGAGGGUGCCGAGGUCGGUACCGGGGAGAGCAGCCGAGGACGAUGAAGCCCCCGCUGCCAAUGUGAGGCUGUGCGCGGGGUUGCCAGCCUGCUCCCGGGGGUCCUGUUGUCCUUCCCCGGCAACUUCCCCUGCGCCUGCGCCUAGGGACCCCGGGGCUGGGGAAGCCUCCCUGCUCCCGGCGGGGGCUGUCCCCUACUGGGCGGCAGGUGAGUCCGCGCCAGUCGCGUCCGCAGCUGCGGGCACGUCGCCGGGCGCCGUCAUAGCGGCGGCGAUGUCCACCGCUGCCACUGUCUCUGCCGCGGUGGGGCUUGACGUGAGAGUCGGUUCCGGCUCCACCUCCGCCCCCGCGACCUCGACGACCGGGUCAAGAUCGACCACGGUCGCGCCCGUUCCAGGUGUGGGCGCACUUGUGCCUACGACGAUGAUAAGCAUGAGGAUCGGCGAGUAAUGGGCUGGCGAAAACGGACAAGGGUGACCAAGAUGGUUACCUUGCGCGGCUGUCGGGCUUGCGGGGGGAGCCUCUCCUGCCUUGCCUGUGCCGGCGGGAGCGUCCAAGAGGCUUGCCGCGCGCGGGCUGCCGGUCACUGCGAAAAGAGGUACGUUCAUGAGUUUGGCUAACAAAAAUUGCAGCUGCGGAGAAGUAAUGAAGACAUACUGGUUGCUGGCCCUGCCUCCGUGGGGGCUGGGCCGUCAGGGGGCGCGAUCGCGUCGCUGCCAACCCUUGCGGCGGUGGGGUCGGCGGCGCCACUGGCAUCGGCGCGCGCCCUCUUGCUUGGCGUGACGGGCGGGGAAUCGCUCCUCGCCCUCUUGCUGGCACCCGUCCGCGAGUUGGACUUCAGGAGGUUACGUCGGAGCGCGAAUCCCCGGAAGACCCCCCGAGCAGGUGGCGUCGUAGGCGCCCGCGGGGUCGUCGCGACCCGGAGAGCCCCGGGUGUCGACGGUGAUGCCGCCGCAGUGCCGGGAGCCGAACUUGAGGAGGCUCCCGCUACCGGGGCGAAGGCCGUUGCCGAGACUCCGGCGACCCCUGCGGACGCGGGCGCUGCCGGAGUAUCGGCAGGCGCCCCGGGACCGGCUGCCGCCACGGUGCUGGUGGCUGCCGCUGAGGCGGAGGACGCCGACGAGCGCCCCUGAAGCGGCCGCCAUCGCAAGGUUGGUGGCCGCUGCCGGGGCGGACGUCGCCGUUGAGGAGAUUGCUGCGGCCGCUGCAAAUGCCCUCGAUCUCCUCACGAUCAGGGGCGUGCUGUCGCUGCUUUCGUCGUCAUCGUCCACGGGGACGACCUCCGGGGACGCAACCGCCUGGCCCGCCUCAUCGUGCAGCGACUGGAGGGAGGGCCAGCUGGGCUCAGAUCCGCCCCCGCUCUCCUCGAGCACCUGCUGCUCGCGGGGUGCUUGCGGGGGAGCGUGCGGGACCCGGGUGGGGGUGUCGUCCAUCAACCCCCACUCAUUGCAGGGCGGGAAGGCGCCGACGAUGUCGCUGAGCGCCUUGACGCCGACGUGAAGGCAGGAAACCCCCAGCGAGAACUCCGUUGAUUAGAAGGUCUCGCCGGAGAUCCCCCUCACCCAUGUCCUGAGGGUCUCCAAGUCCACGCCGUCCUGCUAGAGGCGUGUCCUGUCCCCGGGACCCGUGUACAUCCACGCGGGCCGGGAGCGUAGCUGCAGAGGGGCUAUGCGCCGAUGGACGAAGGUGCGUGCCACGUCCAUGUCGGUGAGCCCCGCUAGCCGCAGCGCCUUGAUCUUCUCCACGAUGGGGAAGAGGUCGGCGUCGCGGUGGUACCUGUCUGCCAGCCGUUCUGGGGUUGCGGCAGCUCCGUCGGCGACUGGAUGAACUCCUGGGGGUCCUCCACUCGGACCCAACACCAAUCGCUCCGCCACUCCUUUUUGAUUUUCUUCCCCGACCGGACGAUGAAUUCGGACUUCAUCUGGUCGCGGGCGCGGAAUACCACCCCCGACGACAUUGCCUUCGCGUUGUCAAUGCGGGGGUAGAAGUAGUGGCGGAAGAGCCCCACCGACGGCAUCACCCCCACGAACGCCUCGCAGAGGAACUGGAAGGUGGCGAGGAGGAACAAUGACGUGGGGUGGAGCUGCGCCACCCGCAGCUGGUAGGACUCCAUCAGUGCGUGGAGAAAUAGUGAGAAGGGCGGCACCAGGACGCAGAGGAGGAAGCGCGCGAACACCCAGAAGUCGUUGUCCUGGUGCUCGACGCCCGCCGGGAAGAUCAACGUCUCCCCGUGCUCGUUGAAGUUGGAGGCGACGGCGUGCCGGAGCUUCCCCAGUGCCUCGCCGUUGUAGCCGGGGCGGAAGAAGGCGACCGCGGCCCGCAUCUCCCGCCUCUUCUGGUACUUGGCGGCGGCCGCCUUGGUUGCCGCCUCACUCUUGCUGGCCGCGGUUUUCUUUGAGACCUGGAUCUCCUUCCCCUUUCUGGUGGUGGGGGGCGCCAUGGAAUGCGAGGGCGAAAGCUAGCAGGAGCGCUGGGAUGCGAGAUGCGGAAGGGGAUGAAGACGAAGGCUAUGGGGGCAGAGUGUUUUUCCCCUUUUGGCAACAGUACAGUACGAGCCUUAUAACGCCCGGCCGUUUGGUAAUGGCCGGUUCCGUACCCUACGGGUGCGCUGGGAUAACUCCUAAUCAUUACGAGUAAUACGCGGCGUGGCCUUAACUUCCCUAUUUAGGGGGGGUGUUUGGGGCGGAAAUCACGCGCCCACUACUCCGUUUGUAACGGCGCCGUACACGGGGCAGUGAAGGGACGCGGGCCGCGGCAAAUCGGGGCCCACACGUCGGUUAAGGGCGUAGCCCGGAAACCGACCUGGGGGAGACUCAUCCGGGAACAGGUGAUGCCGGCCCACGCCCGGGGGCUACUGUCGCACCAGUGGCACUCGAGGUACCACCGCUGCGCGACGCGUGGGCCCCGUCCUCGAGUUCCCGGGAAGGUUUCAUCCCGGGCAACGGCUACGAGCAGUCCGGCAAGCUACCAGCCCAGAAGGGCUAGCGGGGCUUCGAGGAAUAUUCCCGCCUGGGCACCUCCCGGGAAGCCGCUUCCCGAGGGGAGGUUCCCGGGUGCGUUGGGCCCAGGCGCUUCCUGGGGAGCGACUUGCCGGGACAGGGAGUUCCCGGGCGCCUGCCCCCGCCUCAAGCGUGGGGCCCAGUAGGCAGAUCAACAGCGCCACGCGGGUGCGUGGCAGGCGUGGGGUGCGCGGCCCCACCGGGGCAAGGAGUAAGGCGCACGGCUCAUUAAAUGAGCCGACCAACGGGGCGUUACCCGUCCGAUCAAGUGAACAGUGGUUGUCCAAUCCUACCCUAGGGUUUUAGACCCCUAGCGGCAGAGGUGGCAUCCAUGCGCGCCACUAGCUCACCGGGGGGGGGGGGAGUUGUAUGCCUCCCCGAUCGACACUUGUAACGCAUGCACCGUGACACCUGUGGUAUCCCCUUGAGUAUAAAAGGAGGACCCCCACCAACGGUCAAGGGGUUCGUUCGGUUGGAAUCUCAGUUGGUCCGAGUAGACGGUAGAGUUCGGCUGAGUUCGGUCAUCCCACAGUUAGCCUCUAGCUUGAGCAGAGAAUAGUAAGGAGUACUUAGCCAAAGGGAGAGAGUACCCGGGAACUUGCCUGGCAGCCUGUAAACACUCGAUUCACAACCAAUACUAGCUCAGACAAGCAAGACGUAGGGUUUUACACCUCCGGGUGGCCCGAACUUGGGUAAAAACGUGCGUGUAUCGUUCCCUUGAUUAGCGCGCACUUUCAGUACAUCCUUUCACCGGCCCCACAGGGCCUCGUCGGCCGAGCUGGCGAUCGCCGGGGCGAACCCCGACGCCCCUACCAAACCUAAAAGGGGGUCGUGCCCGCACGCCCCCGAUGCCGGAGCACCGUGCGACGACACGCCCGCGCCCGCGGGCGCACCACGCUGUGCCGUGUCCGCGCCCCCGCUUUGCCGCUCACACGCGCACCACGCCGCGUUGCGCACCUAGCCGCGUCGCUCCGCGCCGCGCCGCGCCUGCGUUGUGCCACCCGCGCCCACGCGCGCCCCGGGCCGUGCCGUGCCGACGCCCGCGCUCCGUCGCCGACGCCCGCGCACACCCCGGGCCAUGCCGUGCCCUGGCUGCGCUGCGUUCUACCGCCUGCGCCUGUGCGCAUCCUGCUGCGCCAAGGCCGAGCAAGGGCUGAGCCCGCGUCCACAUUGCGCCCCAGCAUGCGUGCGGCCAUGCCGCUCCCUCACCUCACCAAGCCGAGGCCACACUCGUGCGAAGACACGCCCACUUCCACGCCCGGAAGCGACGCCCCGGGAGCGCUCGACAGAAUGCCCACGAAGACUCGGAGAUGGAGAGCUUCCGCGGCAGCACCUCGGCAACCAAUGCGACCUCCGUCAUGAGCAGAAAGUGGCUAAUGCCCCUACGAGGCGCCUACAAUACACCAACCUCUCGAAGAGAUGUCGGGCGCCGCCGAACUCGUCUUCGACGCCGGACAAAUCAAACAAGCAUGGUGUAGGCUUCUCCAGUGGAUGGGGGUUCCAUUUUAUAGGCCACCGGAGUUCCUAGACGUCCGGGUCGGGCCAAUGGGGCGGCGACACCUCGCCGUCCUUCAUCCCAAGGAACAAGACAAGGAGAGGAAGAAAGAAGCAAGGGAAGUUUUGCCUUUUCCCAAAAGGAGGCCGGCCUGGCCGAAGAGGGGCGCCCCCCGCCCGGGCCCCGUGUCCCGGCCGUGCCGGCGACACCUCCGGUGACGGGCGUCGCCUGCAAAGGCGAAAGGCAGCCCCUAACGGUCCCUCCCCCGUACGAGGGAAGAAGAAGGACGGUGGUCGUCCGAUCUAGGGUGCCAGGCCGCUUGCGAACCGUCGGAUCGACAACUUAGUCCUGAACCGGUACCGGGCUCUAACUGGGCCACGGCCCAGUAUUGGCCCAGGAAGUCGGCCGGAAUAAAAAAAAAGGAAAAGGGGGCUGCGCGCCCAGGGACGGCCCAGGUGCCGGCCCGGCGUGAUCCCGCACCCCCGAAAAUGGCCCAGCCGGGGAAAUUGCUAAUAAGACCCUGAAAAUUUCGGGGAGGCCCGCAGGGCCCCUGAUUUUUGCAAAAAAGUCCUCCUGGACACCGGAUUUCUCGCAGAGAGGCCCCUAGGUCCCGGUUUUGCUAAAAAUACCCCCCGAAACUCAAUUUCUCGCAAAGAACAUCGUCAUGGGCAUGGAAUCGCCCCACGGCGCCUCCAAAACUCCCAUUUUUUGUAGGAAAACCAUCGAGUACUUCUGCUUCUCAUAAGGAAGCCAGCCAGGGAAUUCAUCAAGGACACCAUCGCAAAUACAACGACAUGAUUCAAGAGUCUCACCUCAGAGGUUGACCCGAAGGCAUUCUCAAUGCCUCCAGCUCAAGGGGGCUACUGUUGUAGUAAAAUAAAACCCUUAUAUGGGCCGGGUCAUAAAUUCUACGUGGCGACGACCAAGUCAACAUUUCGCAAACACAAGUCAGGACGCCUACGUGGCACGGUCAAUCCUACGUGAUAAAAGAAGACUAGUCAACGAGUCAAGCCUCUCAUGCCAUGGUCAAUGGGUCAAAUGAGCUAGAAUAGGGGGCAAGAAAGGUAUGAGAAGGGGGCCCUUAGUCCAUGGUGGACCAUGGACCAAGCCCCUCUUUUCCCCCAUGGUGCACACAAAAGUUAUGGACCAAAAGAGCUACUUUUACCACUUUGCCCCACUUUUCUCUUUCUCUCAAGGAUAGUCAUGGUCUUUUGUCAUGGACCCCUAGGUUAUAAAUACCCCCCCAUGGAGGCAUGUAUCAUUCACUCUCAACUUGAAUAAACUCAAGGGGAGAGGGCUAGAGCCUCUUGCAAAGAGCUCUAGUUUCGAGAUCCAGGAAGACGUGUUCGGCCCGGACUCGAAGGAGAAGGGGUUGGGUUAGAGUUCUUAGGGUAUCCUAACCUCGAUACUUGGAAAGACGCGUUCGGUCCAAGUACGAGACGGCCUCGACGAAUCUCUCGUCAAAAGGUGUCUUGGGAAGAUCCGCUCGGCCCAAGUCCUUGGCUAACAACCCCCUCGAAGCUUUUUCUAACAUAGGAUUAAGUCGCACCCGCAGGGUUGACCGAACCUAUCCAAAAAAUAUCGACGUGUCAACUUGUUCAAGCGUACGGCGACUUUCGCUAUAAGACCGGCGUACACGUCCUAUUUUUAUACCCGCACUUGUGCCAUCAAUCAGUGGCAUCCCUUACUUUAAUUAUUGUCGAGAACAACAACAGUUAUUAUUGAGUACAACCUUAUAUGAGAUAAACGUGUGAUUGCAUCACAAUUUGACAAGAAUACGGACAUGUGCAUGUAUGUGUCCGGGUGUUUGGAUCAGAGUUGGAUUUGUUCGGGUGUUUGGAUCAGAGUCCAGGAAGGAAGCAGCCUGCGCUGCAUAUCAUAGAAAACCAUCGUUACUUUUUUCUUUGCUCCGUCUUUCUUUGGUAUACGAUCUCCUUGCAUCUCAAUAACGUCCGCAUGCAGCAGGCGGCCGCAUGGCAGCAUUGCAGCGCCUGCCGGUGCCGCUUUCUCGCUAUGUCCUCGGCAUGAUCGCCGCGACCUCUGGUCGAAGCCGCCGAGCGCAUCGGCGCGCCGCUGCUAGCCAGAGCCAUCCCCACCGCAGGCAGAGCCUCCGCUGGCUGCGCGCAUCGCACCGGCCGCAAUCGCUAUUCGUUGUCGCUGCGACCACACUCCCUCCGAUACAACCGCCAUGCCAUGACCCCGCGGCGCUGGAGCCGCCGCUGGCCCUCGACGCCAUUACCAAAGAGGUUAGUGUUUUUCUUUUCGAUGUUGCAAACGUGUCCAGAUUUUUUUUAAGAACUUAGCAGGAGAUCUACUUUUUCAUUAAAGUGGACGAGAAAGUAUACAUGACUUGACAAAAAGAACCAAGCCAAUUAUACAAGCAACUGGCUGGUUUCAAAUAGAAUAAGCUACUCCUAACCCUCCUCCUCUAACAGGAGGGCACAUUCAGAUCUUAUAACCAAAGCCACGUUUUGCGACGAUGAUCUACAAUCCUUGAAUAUUCGCUGAUUUCUUUCUUUCCAAACAUGCCACACCACCAUGCUAGCCCACACAAUGUCAGAAUUUUUCUUCCUUGAAUUAAGUUUCAGCAGACGACUCCACCAACAAAUUAGCGAAGUACUUUGCUUAACGAUCCUACACAUCCUCGGCCUCUCUUAAGAAAGAUCCCCAUAUCUCUUUGGAGAAAGGGUAGUCAAGAAUCAGGUGUCGUGCCGUCUCCAAAACCUGAUCGCAAAAGCAGCAAACGUCUCCAUGAGGCCAGCCCCUCGAAGCCAGCCAAUCCCCAGUCUAAAACCUGUUCUGGAGCAAAAGCCACAGGAAAAAACGAAUUUUGCCCUCACAUCUGACACUCCAAGCUGAGUUUAGAGCCACCUUUGAAGUUCUCCCUAAAAAUUGCACCUCAUAAGCUGAUUUGGCUGUGUAAACACCACUGGCAUCGAAUUUCCAUCUAAUGGAGGCUUCCUCCUCAUUCAGAGUGGUACCCUGUGUGUCCAGAUUUUGCAAAAGUUAACAUAAUCCAAUCCAAUCCGAGUGAAGGAAAACUAAUUAUACACCAAUAGUAAGGGCCGGCGGUCAGUCCAUAUGGGAUGACAAACACCAAUCGGUAAGGGAAGUCAGUAAAAAGGCCGGAACAACCAAUCCCAGUAGGCCACAAUAGCCAUGGUAGGCCACAAUAGCCAUUGAAACUAACAGUCCACCGUAGAGAAUUGCAAAUGAUGCAAAUUAUCAGAUGUACGUAAGAGACCUUAAGGCUAGAGCAAAAACGUCAGGCCCGAAAUAGCAACUCCAACAGUCAAUGACGCCAAAUUGAUAUGAGAUGUUCACUAAAAUGAGUUGAUCUCCAUCGGAGAUAAAGAAAAUAGGAAAUCAAUAGCCAAAAGAAGACCAAUUUUUACACAGAAGCAGCGAAGGAACAAUGUGGCUCACAUUAUCGGAUAGAUGCAUGUGAAUCGGAUGGAAAUAUACGUCCACAGAGUCGCCGAUUCCGUACCUGCGAUACCAACUGUGGACUGGAAGCAACACCCUUGCACAAACGACAAUAGGAAGCCGAUCUACCAUACGUUCACUCCAAUCCACAACCACGACAGCAAAUAGACGAAGCCGAACAACUCUUGCCGCCGUCCGCCGGAAGCCAUAAUUGUACCACAAACAACACGUCAGAACAAACAAGGGAAGUUCGUGUGUUAGGUAAAGUCGUACAGGCCAAUGGUUGAUGGGCGUAAUACAUACAAAAUGCAUUGGAUAAAAAGGAAUGCUUACCGCAUUACCCAUAUAAAACUAUUGAAGAAUAAAAAUCUAUACACACCUAAUAAAUGUCUAAAAAAAAUUUUGAACAUAAUAUCUAAAUGGUAUACAAAAUGAAUCUAUUAGAAAUCAAAAUAUUAAAUACGUAGAGAGAACUGGAUUAAAAAAUAUAUAUAUAACAUAUUAUUUUAUUAUACAAAAUCUAGAUUGCGCGGGUCACCCCGCUAUUAAUAAUAUGAAAAGGAAAAGAAGUUCCGUGGUGCCUGAUGCCGGCAUCGCGGCCACCUGCCUUUACUCGCCCACUCCGCCGACGGAAUCGAUGCGAAUUCCCACACGCACAGGCUAACCGCCCCCAGAUGCUCUGAGAGGACCACCACGUACGCCAUGGCAGACCGGAAGGAUGCAGGUGGGCUCAGUGAAAACAUGGCACGACAGCUCGCAGGCCACGGCCCACGGCAAUGCUGGAGUCGGUCAGGAAGUAAGCCACGGGCUCACCACCAUGGAACGUGACAGAGUAGUGCCCCCGACGCUGUCAUCGUCUUCCUCCGGCGUGUCCAGGGAGCGUCAUUAACGGACGAGGCAUCCGGAGAGAGCGAAAUGGCGUUCUCCAUACGUUAGUGCAGGAAUGGAACACGUCCAUGGACAGCAGGGCCGGAGCUCGCCGACGACGAGGACGACGCCAUAGGGCGAGGAGCUGUACAUGGAGACGGCUUGGAGAUUCGUGUCGGUAGCUCCGGGCGUGGCGGGAGCGCACGGGAGGCGCCGGGAAGUUGGAGUCUAGCGCACGGUAGAGCACGAGCCAGCCUACGACGGCGACCGGCACUGGCGCGGGCCGCGGACUCUGCAUGGCUUCGCACGACCAAGACCCACUCGAGCUGCUAAUUCACGGUACUAAGAGCAAGUCCAGCAAUCCUCCUAAAAUUUCUCCCCUAUAUCUCAAAAUGAGGGAUUCCCUAAAAAUAUUUCCUCCUAAAAAUUGGCCAACUCCAACAGUUUACCUAAAAGAUCUCCCUAAUUCUAUAUUUUAAGAAUUUUUGUAACUACUUUUUGAAACCCAACAACUAACUCUCCAACGACUAGUUUUCGAAUGGUUGGAUUUCUAACGGCUACCUUUUCUGAUCUAUAUAUACAUGAUCAUCUCUCACAAUCUCGAGAGCUCGAUUCGGGCUCGAUCCAAACUUGAGAAACGAGAGCGGGGACGUACCUGUCGGCGGGAGGGAUCGAGCGGUUGCUCCCUGACGUGAGGGGGGAUGCCCCCACCACCUCGAUCUAUAGGAGAGAAGGAGGGGGUGGAGAGGAGAGACUUUUUUUUUUGCCUUUUUCUUCUCCCCUAAAAAUGCUAUUGGGAAGGUGAUAAGGGAACUGCCGGAAUUGUUCUAAGGCUGCUGACUGGGAUCCAACAUUCAAUUGGGCUGCUAAUUUUUGUGUGUGGAUGCUAAUUUUUGUGUGUGGAGAAUUGGGCUGCUAAUUGACUCAAGGUGGACUCACUCGUCCCGGGGCCACAUCAUCGAUCCAUGUUUGAAAAAGCUAUGUCAGUGCCUAAUAAAUGGGAUUAGCGAGUACAAGGUGCUGAAAUCAGGAUUUCAAGUGAGGGUUUGAUCUCAACGACCUCUGUAAAGACAAGAUUGAAAAUAAACUUUUACUCUUUUUUAUGCCAAGUCCCGAUCCUUCUGUUCAGUUUUUGUUUUUUGAGCGAAAUCUUUCUGUUCAGUUGAUUUUUUUUUUUACCGAACUUCUGUUCAGUUGAUGGUUCAAUUAAGCUUGCUGGACUGUUGGGAGUCUGGGCCUGGUUAUUCUAUUAAGGCCUACUGAACUUGAUUUGCACACUAUGCCACUAUGGGCUAUUGGGCUUUGAGCCCCAGCCUUCACAAUAGGAUACGCAUUUGUUGACGGCUAGUGCAAAUGCUUUGGCAUUUCUCAGCCGUAUGAAUUGGCCGAAUCAAAUACCAAGGCCUCAUUGAACACAGAGGACCUAGAUGAGAUGAGGCCGGCCUAUCCACGCUUGUGUGUCCUCUGAAGACUACAUCAAUUGGGUCAAUUCGAGUCCAAGUCUUCCCCUACGACUCGAUCCAGAUUGUGAUGGUCGUUGCCUUGUAAUAUAGCCGAACUCUUGGAAAGGAGAUUGCCCGGCCUUGGCAAAUGGCAGUGGCAUGCAUGCACAUGGAACCAUGCACCAAUUAAUAAGAAAAUGAAAUGAUACAGUAGCAUCCAAUUAUGGUUGGCUGUUACCUCAGCUGGUCUAUGCUUUUUCCACACGGGCUGACAAAAUUUGGCAGGCAUGGAUGCACCCGUACGUGCAAAUUAGUUAGCGAUGUGGUGGAAUUCUAUGUCCCGUACAUCCACAUGAUGUGGAUAUGAGGAUAUCGGUGCAACACGCAUAGAAAGAAGGUGAGGAUACACAUGCAUACAUUGUACAUACAAGCUAGUGGCCGGGGCAAUUGGGCAUACAGGAGCACAGUCGCUACUCGCUAGCGACGUUCUAUGGGCUGCAUGCUUGGUUUCUUCGCUUCUGCCAAACCAAACACUCCGAUUUGUAAGCUUCCCUAUUACAAGUGGGGUAGUUUAUUACGAGUAGUGAUGUGGCGCUAGCGGCUCAAACAUGCCACGAGGCACUGGAUGAUCCAUGUAUGGUACUCUACCUUGAUACUACCGUUAUGAUGAGUGCAUUCUCGUAGUUCCAUUCGUCUUAUCCAGUUUUAGAGGCGAUGUAUUCAGUGAAAACUCUUGUUCAGUGCAAAACUGCAAACUUCUUUAAGAGACCAUUAGAUUUGAAAUAUACGUCUCAGACGAGAGGUAGGAAUCCCUCAAACUACAGCCACUUAAGCACACCUUUAGUACGUAACACCUCGGAAUAGUUCUGUAACAAUUCAGAUAAUAAAAAAAAUAAAAAAACUGUCCGUCUUAUCGAUCGAUCAGAAGCGACAUCAUCUCUUUAUGAAAAAAAGUGCGAUUCAUUGAUCUGGAGUGUCGCCGGCCAGGUCCACCCCCUCGACACGAGGCGACCUGGACCACCUCCGCAACGGCGACCAGGAGCACCAAUGCAACGUUGAACUAGAUCCCCAACAAGACAACGACUUGGAGCUUCGCCCUCGGCCUUCCAUGAUGCGCCGCCCUCUGCCACCAUCAUGCCUUCCAUGGCGACGGCCGACGUGCCCCCAUCGACCGGCCAACGAGGCAACGGGGUCGUCACGGGACAUGGCCGGUGAUAUCGAUGAGGAAGCUCCCCGGAGGAUGCUGUCGUCGGACACGGUGGAGGACACUCCAGGCCGUACUUACCAUAAUAGCAAGUCAGGCGGCUGUUGUAUGAUGCGCAAGGUGGUGACCAACGCGGCGGAGCAGGAGUGGUAGAGGCGGCUGCACGCAAGAGAGGAGAGGACGAGGAUGUGGCCGUGGAGAGGAGGGCCUUCCUGGCCGUCGGUGACCAUGCCCCAGCGGCGGCGAAUGACGAAAGGAGGGGAUAACUCCCAAGUCGCAUGAACAGCUCGAAUUACUUCCACAUAAAAAUAAGGGUUUUCGUAAACAACUGCGUUUAAGUGAGUGGUUUCAAUCCCACCUCCUAUCUAAACCGUAUAUUCAAUGUCGCUGUAAAAAAAACCCCUAUAUUCAGUGUUCCAUGAGAAAAAGUUUGCCAGAUUUCAGUGGAUACGUUGCCAUAUAUUAAUUACACGAGCUUGACAAAAUGAUGGCCUUGAUUUUGUGAAAUGUAGCCGGCCAAUAGAACAAAACUGACUGAUACCGAGAGCAACUAAUUUCUCUGAACCAUGGAUAGAUAUAUAUCAAUAUAAAUAGCAUCAUGCAUCGCCGGCCAUAUGGAAGUAUUGUCUUUGUUUUCUGUUGGGUCUAUGGAAGUUUGUUGGAAGUCUUCAGGCUUUUUCCACACGAAUUGACGGAAUUUGUUGGGAAGCAGCAGCAGGGAGAAAAAGGGCUGCGGCGUCCAAAGGAACGGUGUUGCCACUUUUGUCCGGACCCAUGGCCUGAUGCCCAAGUGACCCAACCCAAGUGGGGUUUGCGCGAGGUUCCAGCCAAACUAUACACUGGCCACUUGUGAGACAUCUUUUUAAUAGGGCCCAUCACGCGCACGGGUACACAUUUAGAGUCAGGUCAUCGGUGUUUGACCUGUCCAGGUCAGAUUCGGCCGAUCGAGCUUGUCGUAAUUGUCAUAAAUUCAUCUUUUUGCAUGCAUGGUACUAGGUUAGUACUCUGGCAGAGUGUUACAGUGGGUGGGAGUAACAACAUAGAUGCUGCCGAUCGUGUCUUUGAAGUGAUACAUAGAUAGCUGCAGUACGUACCAGCCUUUUUAUUCCUCGCGCACAAUUUUCACAGCUCUUGUAGGUAGAAUUUCGUAGUAUAUAUAGUACAACGUUACUCGGUCUGAAUUGCAUAAAAUGGUUCUAGCUAGCCUUAUCGACUUGUAAAGAAAGUACUUACCGUCGGACGUGGGAAAAUGACAAAAGAUCAGUCGUACUACGGCUCGUAAGAGAGGAAACUCAGAAAACAGACUUGGUCGUCGACGAAAACGGCCUUCACGGCGCUGCGCAUGCACCACCCUCAACCCAAAGCGCUGGAUCGGUGAACUCACAAAUGCCGAUCGUCGAGCUAUAAAUUCCUGCCCGCCACUUUGCCUGUUCACCACUCCUCUCAUCGAUCGUCUCGCCCGCCACCUCAGAAAAGCAUAUACAUCAUGGCGCUUACUGGCUCUCUCAUCGUCCUUCUUGGUGCCACAUUGACGCUGCUCUACUUCCUCGGCGCAGGUAAUUAACCGCAACAACGACAUAUAUAAUUCGAUCAUAUGAAAAGGCAGCGGUUCCGAGAGUCCGCAAGCACGUGCACAGUCUCUUCUAACAAUGGGCCGGCAAUAAUGGCUUGUAAUUCAGUCGUUUCUUUGUGGCAUACGAUCGACAUUGCAGUUGCAGAGGCGGGCGAGGUGGGUGUGAGCUACGGGACGAACGGGGACAACCUGAUGGACCCAUCGGCGGUGGUGGAUCUGCUGAAGAAGAACGGCAUCACGAUGGUGAGGGUGUACGACACCGACUCGAAAGUGCUGACCGCGCUGAAGAACACCGGCAUCAAGACGGUUGUCGGGAUACGCAACGACAUGGAGCUGGCGGCCGCCGCCGGUGACCCGAGCUGGGCCGUCCAGUGGGCCAAGAACAACGUGCUGCCGUACUACCCGGCCACGGACAUCCGCGGCGUCACCGUAGGGAACGAGGUGUUCAAGCAGGUAAGCCAGCUGAACCUGCAGCUGGUCCCGGCCAUGAAGAACGUGCAGGCGGCGCUGGUGAGCCUAGGCCUUGCCGACGCCAUUAAGGUCACCACGCCGGUCGCCUUCGACGCUCUCAAGACGUCCUUCCCGCCGUCCCAGGGCGAGUUCAAAGACGACAUCGCCCAGCCGGUGAUGAGCCCCAUGCUCGAUUUCCUGGAACAGACGGGCUCCUACCUCAUGGUGAACAUCUACCCGUACUACACGUACACGUCUCAGCCAGGCACGAUCGACCUCAACUACGCCACGUUCCGGCCCAACGACGGCGUGGUCGACCCGGUGACCGGCCUCAGGUACUCCAGCCUCUUUGACGCCCAGCUCGACGCCGUGUACUCUGCGAUCGACAAUGUGCAGCAGCAGGUGGCCUCUUCCAACGGUGCCGUGGGGACGAUGCUCAGGGGCCGGCGUCGCCACGUGCCCGUGGUGACCGGGGAAUCCGGGUGGUGCUCCUACUGCCCGCAGAGCGUGGGGGCAUCCAUGGAAAACGCUCAGGCGUUCAAUAAUAACCUCGCCAAGCGCGCGCACUUCGGCAGCGCCAGCAGCAGCAGCUCGCUCGCCGUCGUCAGCGACGGCACCCCGGCCCGCCCCGACGCCGACAUCUCCGUGUACAUCUUCGCGCUCUUCAACGAGAAUCAGAAGCCCGCUGACGAGCAGAACUUCGGCCUGUUUUACCCAAGCGGGAAGCCGGUGUACCAGGUCGACUUUAGCGGCGGCGGCGGCGGAGGAGGAACGGCGAGCUGGUGCGUGGCGAGGAGGGAUGUCAGCGACGCGCGGCUGCAGGCGGCGCUGGACUACGCGUGCAACAACGGGGCGGACUGCAGCGCCAUCCAGCCCGGGAAAGUGUGCUACGAGCCCAACACCAAGCUGGCGCACGCGUCCUACGCCUUCAACGACUACUACCAGAGCAAGGGCCGGGCCAGCGGGACUUGUGACUUCUCCGGGGCUGCUUCCAUCGUCUACCAGCAACCAGGUGACUUCUUCCAGCUGACUCCUCCUGAUCAAUUUGUUCAAGCCCUUAUUAGUGGAAACUGUCAGGUGUGAUUAAACGCUGUGGCCUGAAAUAAUUAACAGGCAUCUGCGACCCGAAGGCGGCGAGCUGGUGCGUGGCGAACGCGGCGGUCGGGGACGCGCGGCUGCAGGCGGCGCUGGACUACGCCUGCGGCAAAGGCCGUGCCGACUGCAGCGCCAUCCAGCCAGGCGGGCGGUGCUUCAGUCCUGACACCAAGGUCGCGCACGCGUCCUACGCAUUCAAUGACUACUACCAGCGCAACGGCCGGUCGUCCAAGUCCUGCGACUUCAGCGGCGCUGGCUCCGUCGUUUACCAGCAGCCAAGUAAGUUCGUUCACGCCCGAUCCGUAUGCCCGGCCCAACAUAUCUUCACGGGCCCUAUCUUCACCUUUGCUUACUUUCUCGAGUAAAUCACCCUACCUACUAGCAUAUUUGCGAAAGAACUACGUAGCUUGUACCUAUUUCCACUUUACCAUUGACACGUACUACUUCACAAUUUUGCUGCACCACCCAGUACCGUAGUGUGAUGCUUUCAGUGAUUAAUUAAGUUGUGAUAUUAUUGUGUUUGUUCAUAUUUUACAGAGAUAGGUAACUGCGUGCUCCCAUCAACGGGCUGAAUGAAGAAACGCUAGAGAGCUAAGAUCGAAGGCUACGCGCGCUACCAGCCCAUUGGUAUAUAUGGGAUUCAGGAAUAAAGCCGUGUAAUCUUUUAUUUCGCAAGAGAAAAAUAUGUGAUCAUAUCUGAAGAUAAAUAUGCCCUUUGAAUAAACCUCCACUUUUCAAUCAGUGGAUUUUUAAACCCGGUCUCCUCACGCCCUUUCCACUACUUUGACAUAACGGAAAAACGAUGUCUCUGACUAAACCAGAAUACAAAGGGGAGAUAAAGAAGAGCAACAACGUUUUACUACAUGUGGUAGGAAACCCAUUGACUGGGCUCGUAAGCAAAACACUAACUGCCGAACGAAUACCAAACUAAAGGCACCUCCGAUCAUUGCCUAACUUCUCGCUCUGGAUUGUAAAGACAUUAUUACUUUUAAAUAAAACUCUCCUGUUCCUCGAAAAAAAAAAGUGAAGGCACAUUUCCUUUGGUUACGUGCUGACUAAUUAUUACAGUACUCAUACCAUAUUCUUGCAAGGAAAUUAAUUCCUUGCUGAUUAAUUAAACUAUGUAAUAACCAAGAGCAUACGGCUCCCUACUCUCGCCGUUCUAAAAACAACGGCAUUGGAGGAAGUUGGCACAGGCUUAAAGCCGAGGCUGCAACAGCAUCUCCAAUGUCAUCCCCUAAAACUAUCACAAAUGUUCUAUUUGGGGACAUGGACAUUUUGCCUCCAAAAUCAUCUCCCAAUGUCAUUUUCUAAAUGGACAAAAUGUCAUGUUUGUCCGGACACAUCCUCCAAACUUGCCCCAAAUUUGAAAGAUUUUUGGGGUGUCCAAACAUUGUCCAGUGCUCUCUUUUGUCCGUUUCGGCCCCACAACAAGAGAUUGGGAAAUGAGAAGAAAAAGUGAAAAGGAGAGGAGAAAAGAUAAAGAAAAGAAAAAGCUAAUUUAGGAGAGAAAUUUGAGAGGUGUGGUUUGGAUGACGAGGGCGGACAUGGAACGGACACAUGUCCACUUGCUCCUUAAAUGACCCAAAAAAAGGACAUUUGAGGACGAAAUUUGGGGAUCCAUUGAAGUUGUUCUACUCCCCCGGUAUCUCCCCCAUCGUCCUAGCUGCCGAUCAAACUUUGAGAUCUACGCCAAUCAACUAACUUACCAAUGUCUUGCAUUAGACCAUUGAUGAAUUAGUCUACGAAACGUACUGCUAUUUUUAGCGACAUCUCCCAUUCUCUCUCUGCCUUUUGCGUGUGAGUGCUUUUUCCAUGUGAAUGAUGACACUUUUUUUUUCUUUUUGCAUGUGUGCUGACACCUCUUUUCCUCACAAUUUUUCUUCUGCACAUGACACAAGUGCAUAGUCAAUAUUUAGUAUGGGCUUACAUCCAAGUACAUGCCAAGUACAUCAUCAAUUUAUAGUACAUCCAGGUACAUGCCAAGUACAUCACCAAUUUAUAGUACAUGAAGCAGACCGUGACGGGUACGUCGAAAUACAUGACAGGUACAUCAAACGUACAUUAUGAUACAUGACAUGAACAUUAACAGUUUUUAAGUACCUUGUCAAAUCAAGACUGUGUACUUCAAGUCCUAACGGUACGUCACGUACCAAAGGAAAAAAUUGCAGUACAAACGUUUGUCAAAACUUAAUACCUGAUCGUGUACCAGUGGUACAUCAGAAAAAAAAGUUGACCAUCAAUAGCUGCCUAAAACAUUAAGAAACAAAAUACAAUAGAUAAACCAAAUUGCAGAUAGCCUGCAAUCUCAAUUCAAUGAAAAAACCACGAGAUCCAAAAUCAGAACAACAACAUCUCUUGCCUCCCUCAUGGUACUAGCCAGUACCAGGAUUAUGCACAACCUCAAAGGAGCGCCUGGUGUCCAUGGACCUUGCUGAUGCCGACACUGAGGAGGGCUGGAGGGAUGAGAUGUGAGCGUCGAGGUCAUCGUGGGAUGGGGAUGGGACGAAGACCACGAGGUGGUCGAAGGAGGCCCACGGCCCGCAGCAGCGGCAUCGGAAGUGCAGGACCAUGGUAGGCGGCGGCGGAGGCCGAGACCAGGGCCCGUGGGGCGGCCUUGCGCCUGGAGGUCUCGCGCACGUACACUGCUGUGCCGAUGGCGGCGGCACGGAAAGGUUGGGACGGGCUGGUGUGUGUGUGUGUGAGAGAGAGGAAUCAAGGGAAAGAUGGGCAGCUAAUUACAGAAUAAAUGGCCAAGGAUUAAAGGAAGGGAGAGACACGUGGUUGAUUAACAAGGUGGGGGUAGAUAACGGGGGUGGUACCUGGAGGUGGCACAAGCUGAAGUGUCAUAACAGUAAAAUGUCGUCGGGGGUGGUACCUAGAGGUGGCACAAGCUGAAGUGUCGUAACAGUAAAAUGUCGUCAACUAUCGUCCGGACACUAAAGCUGGAGUACUUCCUAUGCCCCGUGUGCUAAAUACUCAACGGAGAAGUCGUUUUCCCAUGUGAAUACACAUGGUAAAAGAUCCGCCGGACAAAUCACCCUAGGCGCCUUGGACCUAUGUGCUACCCGAGGCGUUGAUAUUUUGGUAUUGUUUUGUUUCGACACAUCUAUCUCCACUCCAAUCCACGAUCUUUAUUCUGAUUUCCUGAAACUUCAUGUGCCAACAAAAUUAACAAGGAAAUUAGCUGUUUUGACAGCCGGUUGAUUAAUAGAUUAGUUCAUUAUAUCUAUUUCAUAUAAAAUACACCCAGUGUCAUUUUGGCAGCAAAAUACUUGAUCAAGCAAUUAAAAAAAACGAUCCUUUAAAAAUAAUGCUUAAUUUGAUUGACUUUUAGUUAAUGACAAUAGGUCAGUUCUUUUCGGCUUUCUGGACUGACUUCUCCAAGAAAACCUAGCUUGGCCUACCAAACUAGUUUGGUCUAAACUAUUUUAAAAACCUAGCUAAAUCUGAGAUGGGGCUUCUCUAGGAAGCUAGAUGGGGACAGAUUUUAGGAGAAGCCGGUCCUAAAAGCCGAAAAGAACGCAGCCAAUGAAGGGUAGUGUAUUUACCCAUCAGUGAUGGCUUUGAAUGCAUUUUUCAAAAUAGCAUCAAUGCAAUUUCUUCAAUAGAUCCAAAGAUGCAUUAUACACAACAUAUUCUAUACAGAGUACAUAACUCAUCCCUGUUUGAAUAUCCUUCGUUCCUAUGUUAAAGCCCAUACAUCACAAUGCCAACAAACCAAACCAGUUUAGAAAAAAAAAAGGUACCUAAUACCGCUCUAGUGAUACCUCAUCAUCCCGUUCAUAUGAUCCUUCUGCCUGCAAUUACCAAAACAUGACUACAUUAUCCCACAGCUAACAUAGUGCUUGAGAACCUCUAAAAGCUACACAAGUGAAAUUUAUCACAGGUAGCAAAAUGGAAUUACCAAAACAUGAGUACAUUAUGCAUGUUGAUUGCUUUCUGAGAGGAGAACCGUUAUGGAGGUCUCGACACAAAUCCUCUACAUCUAAGUAGAGGCAACCCAUUAGCUUAUUUCUCUCAACAUGCAGCCUAUCCACAUCAGCAACCAAUCAUGUCAACAAUUUGUGCCAUGUCAUUUGUGCCAUUGCAGCAGCCCAUUUUUUGGUGGACCAGCUCAUCCUCCUUUUUCCUUUUUCCCUUGGACCUUUGACCGAUCACCUGCUGAGCCCAUCACGCCCGAUGCUUUGCUCGCUUCGUCGUUGUUACUCCAUAUCGAAUCACUGUCCGUCCGUUCAUCUCAUAAGUCGUCGCCGUUAAUGUCAAAUGGCAUGUCCGUCCGUUCCCCUUCAGUUCCAGCUUCCAUUUCCCAUUCAAUACGAGUCCCGUGACUUCUCCACUUCCUCUUCUUUCUCCUCACCACAUCCUAUAUAUCUCCAAGAAUUUCAGUGCGAAUCUGGAAGCCACCACAGACAAACAAAAAAAAAGAUCGACGUCACAGAUCAAUAGAAAACUGAAAACAAAAAACCUGGCAUCACAACAUCAAGAACUGAGCAGGAGGAUGCAGACGGCGACGCACGGUGGCGGGCGGGGUGGGACGGAGCAUAGUGAUGAGCGAGCUGGAGACGGUGCGCAAUCACGGGCGGGCAGAGGCGCUGUAGCAGGCUAGCGGCGACGCAGUUGCAGGCGCUGGCGGCACACCAACGGUAAGGGUUCAGGAGUUUCUGGUUGGGGUGAGGAAUCAGAGGGCGAUUGGCAUGAGAAUCAGGUAUCGGUACAGGGGUAUUGGGGGGGGGGGGGUACGAGAUGGGCCUUUUUCAGAGAUGGGCCUGCUAGAUGGAGUAGGUAUCGGGGGGGAUUUCGGUUCAGGUUAUUUUGGAUGGGCUGCUCGAGACAUACCAACGAUCUAUGAUUAUGUUUCAACACUAGCUAGCCAGCACAACGAUAAGAAAAGUGGAAAUAGAAAAAAUAAAAUCCUCUUUUCUUAUUUAUCAUGUUGUGUUUACAAUACAAAUCAUCUUCAUCAAAUAAUGUAUUAUAUAAUACACUCUUCAUAUUAUUUUAAUUUAGUACGUCCGCUGAAUCGUGAAUCAAAAUAUCAGGUCCGCAAACUACAUAUAUCACAUAUUGUCAUACUAAAUUUAUGAUAUUUAUUACUCCAUUCGAUCCUAAAUUGUUGUCAAAAUAUUACAUGUAUCUAGACGCUUUUUAAUAAUAGAUACAUUCAUAUUUGGGCAAAUUUGAGUCAAGAAUUUAGGAUCAGAUGGAGUAUUAUUUUUUAUGUCUUAUACUCUCAUGAGAAAACUAUUUCUUUGAAAAUUUUGCUCUUAGUUUCCGCAGCAACGCGCGGGAAAUUAUCUAGUUUUAUUAGUAAGAGACACAAUAAUUACAAAGGGAUGGGAUACACAACAAGGGAUGCAGGGAGCAAGCUAGAACAGAGCAGUAAAGCCAUGCUGAUUGUGAUUCAGACUACAGCUCUUGCAACAUCUAAUCUUUUAAAUUUACUACUUAUUAAUAUACUCCUUCCGACACAUAUUACUUGUCUCAGAUUUAGUACAAAGUUGUACUAAACCAGUGACAAGUAAUUUCGACCGGAGGGAGUAAUAAAGUUCUUUAAGAGCAUCUCCACUCGGCCCCUCUAAAGUCCCCCCGAACCGGUUAUGGGGCCGCCGGCGCCAAAAAAAAACGACCCAGCCGUGCCCUCAUUUUGUUUUCUUGUCCGGCACGGCCCCACUUCACAUCCAGCGCCCCUAGGCUGAACAUCAUCGGCACAACCCAAAACAUAAAACCCAUCUCACCCUCUCCUUCUUCCGGUGGCCACCUCCAUCCCAAAUUGCCGUCGGAACCACCCCUCUCACGAGUGACGGUCCGCAGCAAAUGGAAAGGUUGUCUGCCGCAUAGAUCUUCCCGCGCCACCGCAGCAACUGACGAAGGGUUAACUUCGGCGAUGUCCAUAUUAGUCGACUUGUGUUCAGGAAAGCUACGUGUGUGUAUUGGCAAACCCGUCAGCUUACAAGCAACGGGAGGCGAACAUUUACCCAGGUUCAGGGCCCUCGGAAGGUAAUACCCCUACGUCCUGCUUGUCUGAUCUGUAUUGAUGAGUCGAUUACAAAGUUGCCGUCACGAUGAAAAGCUCAGAUUGGAUCUGGCGAGUGCGUCUAGGCGGCUUCUGUGAGAGAUUGGAUGAUCUUGGCUCCCCCUCUUGGUCCUUUAUAUAUGCACGAAGUCAGCUUUUGGGUAGAGUCCAAGUUGAUUACAUCAUAGAGAUAUACUAUAUGUAAGCUUCCUUAUCUUGAGUCGCAAGAUUAGGCAUCUGGACUCCUGAAGUCGCAGUAGGCUUCUACAUGGGCCCGCAGCUGGGCCAUGGCGGGUAUCCUCAAGUCGAGUACGUGGUUAGUCAUAACCACGUCAACGACCCGUUCCGCCGUUGUUGUAAGACUACCGGUAGCUCCAAGCCCACCCCGCAGCCACCUUUUACGGGACGUGUUCGACGAUUUACCAAUGCCAUGAAUUCGGAUGACGAGGAGAUGCUCACCGUGCUGUUUGACGAGGAAGUCGCCGUUGCCGAUGAUGCGGCCUCUGACGGCGAGGAGGAGCAUCAGGUGAUCCUCUCUGCCCUCAUUGGCCUAAUUGCCCAGGAUGCACAGCCGCCGGGCUGGGGAGAUUCGAGGAAGGGCCGCCACAAGGGCAAGGAGGCAGAGGAUGGAGGGCUGUACGCCGACUACUUCGCCGAUGAUCCAUUGACGACGAUGUGGUCCUUCGGAGCCGUUUCAGGAUGUCCCGGAAUUUUUUGUUGAAGAUUGCCGAGUACCUCAAAGAGUUCGACGAUUACUUCAAAUUGAAGAGAGACGUCGUUUGCAUGCUUGGUUUCUCAACUAUUCAAAAAUUCACUAUAUCCCUCCGGUUGCUUGCAUAUGGAAUUCCUUCCGAUACACAGGAUGACUACCUCUGCAUGGCAGAGUACACGGACAUCGAUUGCAUAUACAAAUUUUGUAGGGUAAUUAUGGUAGUGUUUUGGGAUAUUCACUUGAGAUCACCCAAUGCAGAAGACACAGCUCGGAUCCUGGCACAUAACAAAAAAAGAGGAUUCCCAGGUAUGCUUGGAAGCAUCGACUGUAUGCAUUGGUCAUGGAGAAACUGUCCAUUUGCACACCAGCGCAUGUACAAAGGUCAUAAAGGAUCAUGUAGUGUGGUACUUGAGGCAGUGGCCGAUCAAGAUCUUUGGAUUUAGCUUUCUUUCUUCGGUAUGGCAGGAUCGAACAAUGACAUCAAUGUGUUGCAGUGCUUGAAUGUGCUCUCCAAGCUUGUUGAAGGCAUUGCUCCUCCGGUGAACUAUGAGAUAAAUGGACAUGUGUACACCAAGGGCCGGGAUACUACCUGACAAAUGGCAUCUAUCCAGAAUGGUCAACUUUUGUGAAGACAAUCUCAAAAGCACCUUCGGGUGGAGCAAGUUCUUGGUUUGCGAUGCAACAAGAAGCUUGUAGGAAGGAUGUUGAGCAGGCAUUGGGUGUGUUGCAGGCUCGAUUUCCAUUGCCGGUACCCUACUCUUACAUGGUCUAGAGAUCAGACGUGGGAGGUCAUGGUUGUCUGUGUGAUCUUUUAUAGCAUGAUCAUUGAAAACGGAAGGGAAUUUUCAGUGUUUGACACUGAACCUUAUGAACGGAUGGGUCCUCUAGCCAAUGUUGAUCAUCAUUUAUCGGCCGCCUUUGCUGCUUUCCUUGCCAAACGUCAGGAAAUUCGGGACACAAAUACUCAUUAGCAACUUUAAGAUGAUCUGGUGGUACAUUUGCAUGUAGUUCUAAUUUGUUUGCUUGAAUCUGUGAUUCAAAACUUAUUAAAUAAUGUGCUUGUUUAAGUUUUUUUAUUUGCAAAAUUAGGUAUAAGGGAGCCGUUUGGGGUGGGUGGGGGGGUGGGGGGCUGGAACUCUAGCUGGAGCCCUCCCAUACAGCCCAUAGCCGGAUGCCGCAUGGGAGGACGAGUGGACAUGCUCUAAGAUUACCGGCCCUCACGUGGUUGACACAAACGUCAUCAAGAGCAAUCAUUUUUUCUUCUUCUUUUGAAAAAGAGGACGUUCCUCCGGUCUCUGCAUCAAUCGAUGCACACAGCCAUAACAUUAUUGAAGUCACAAAUAGCGACAAAUCACAAUUAUUCAAACUCAAAAUUGGCAAUGAGUUAGGAAACGCUCCUAGCCUGUCGCCCUCGAGCCACAUCAGAACAAAGAGACCGUUUGCCCAACCUGUCUUCAAGCGCAGUCAUGUUGAUCCAAAAGCAUUCGAGUCGAAGUCUUCCCCUGUGACUCGAUCGAGACUGCGAUAUAUACAAUGGUCGUUGGCUUCUACUGCAGCCGGCAGUGUUAAACACUAGUGGACGCCUACGCCUGAAUAAUAAGCAUCUUUCUUUCUCUGAAGUCUGAUAGAAAGGACUCCUGCUUAUUUAUUGGCAUGCAUCCAUACGAACAUGCACCAGUGAUAGUAAGAAAAUGAAUAUUGUAGAAUAGCAUUCAAUUAUUAUUAGUUGUUACUUGACCUGGUCUGGUCUAGGCUUUUUCCACAGGAGCUGACAAAGUUCGGCAGCCAUGCAAAUUAACAAGGUCGAUCAGGAAUUCUCUGCACGUACGCCUAAUGUUCCAUCCACACCAGUAGAGAGCUAGUGGAGGGGUGAAGAAAAUAUGACGUUGUUCAAUGGAAGUCCUAUUUGUCGUUCUCACGAGUUUUUGACAUAUGGAUCAGGUGGACAAAAUGGACUAGUAUUGGACACGUAGUUUUGAUGAUGACCAUAUUUUCAAAUUUGGGAAAGAAAUGAAAAAGAUUGACACAUUUUGAACAAAUAAGAGUUCUCAUUGCGUUGCAUUUUUGUUAAUGAACCGUCAAAUGAACAAAUGAAGAGGAUUUGGAGAGUGCCUUGAAAAUGUCGCAAACACGGUACUUUCAAGAGGCGUAGCUAUGGUUUUUGUUUGGACCACCUGAUCUAAGAUGGCAGGCAUGCAGGAGGACGGUGACGAUCGAUACACAAACGUAUACACAAGUGGAGGGAAAUUGGGCAUAGAGAACGCAAUGUCGCGAGCGUCCUUUUAGCUGUAGAUGACAAGGGUAAUUUUUUGCCCUUAUGUCACCAAAUUUAUGCUGAACAAUUAUGUCAAAUAAAAUACACCAACCCAGCCAAAUUUAGUCUACCAGCAGUUUCAUAUAGUGAGGAAGAAAUUUCUCUCAACCUUGCAUGCGUGGACACCAGUAUAAUGAGUAGCAUGCAUGGCCAGCUAUACUCCCUCGGUGUAGGGUAUUUCCACACGAGUUGACGGAACCUCUGUUAAGAAGUACUCCCACAGGUAUAUAUAAUGAUAAAAAAUAUAUUGUGUAGGGUAUUUCCUCACGAGUUGACAGAACCUUCGUAUAGACUUAUUAUAUUGCAUGAUAAGUCUAUACAAAAAUCUAUUAAAAUCUCUAAUAAAUGAUAAAUAUAUUAUGAAAAUAUAUAUUAUGCCAGAUUUAAUAAAAUCAAUUUGGAGUUAUAGACGUCGACAGAUUUUUCUAUAAACUUGAGCAAAAUUUUAAAAAUUAACUUAGGAUAAAGCUAGGACUUAUGUUUGGUCAAAACAAAAGAGUAGAUUUCAUAAAAUCACGGGUUUUGAGGCAUUGUAGGCGCUCCCGAUGCUGGACUUGCCGGAGCUGGUGCUGGACCGCGUGCUGGAGGAGCUGGUGCUGGACCGCAUGCUGGAGGAGCUGUCCCCGGCAUCGCCGGCGACCAUGGCGUGCAUCUUUACGGGGCUCAGGGCAUGUAGGGGAUGAGGAAAAUAAAUAAAAACAAAUUGGUUUAAUGAAAAAGACGUGACGCAUGACAUACGGGACCCACAUGUAAGAAAAACCGUCAAAUGCGUUUAUACCGUUGUUUUGGAUGAUGUGAGACAAUUGGACACAAAACGUGUCGUUUUGCGAACAAAUUAGUAAAAAUGAGGGCUCGUUGAGAAGACUGCCUUAAAACCUGUGAUUUCGUGAAAUUUACAUAAAACAAAAUGGUGCUGCACUGCUGCCCACUUUUGUCCGAACCUAGGGGCCAGCCAGGGCCAAGUGGGGUUUCCGGUCGGUAUACACUGUCCACUUGUCACUUGAGAGCAAUCGUUGUGCGGCCUAUCGGGCGCGCACACACAAUACAGAGUCUGGUCAUCUGUGUUUGACACUUUGACCUGUCCAAGUCAGAUUCGGCCGAGCAUGCAUGUUGCAGGUGGGAAGAAUGUGGUCAUUUUGGUGACCAGGUCCCGUCUCGAAUUUGGUCCCGGCGAAACAUUUAUUAGGCUUAACGUCGGCGGCCUUCCUGAUGUUACAGCGCCGUUCGAUCAUAUAGGUUUUGGGGUUGUGAAUCGGUGGAUAGAUCGAGCAUUCGAGCCUGCGAGGUGCCAGGCUCCCUUACUCUGUACUAGUAUGACGCUCGAGACAAGGGACCGAUACCAAGAGUUUCUUACGGUACAUAUAUUAUAGUGUAAGGAAAACAUAAUACUUAAUGGGAGUGAUUUUAUUUAAUGGUGUCGAUUUUCUAGGAUCAAAAGUAUUACAGUUAAAAUACGCCAACAACAUGGUCUCGAACAAUACUAGGUGACAAGCUGCGAGCACAAAUGUUGUUCCUAUGUAUACUUGAUUAACAUCAACGGUAUGAUCAAAGAUUCCAUAAAUGUUUCACAUCAUGAUACUUAAUGUGUUUGACAACACUACUUGAUAUGUUGUUACUCGCGAAAACAACGAGUUCAUUAUUACAAUAUAAAUAAUUUUUCAGCAUACAACUUGCCAACUGGUCUCAUAACACGCUAAAAUUAACUUAAUUAGUUGACAUUGUUGAUCAUUUGGUCAGUGUUUGUUUUGAUAUUUUCCAAGGCACAACUCCUUUAGCGAGUUGAAAAUAUAACCUAACAUUGAUUUCUUGUUUGGCUUAAUCAUGAAUUUCUACCAAAUCCUACAAGGGUCUUUUUGGAUUGAAGGAUUUUCAUAAGAAUUUGUUAGGAUUCUAACCAAUAGGGAUUUUUCCUGUAGAGACUCUUAGGUUCAAAGGUAUACAUCCUCCAAAAUAUCAUAUAUUGAUUUUCUACAUUCUAACUUACAAGAAUUCCAGUCAAGACGUUAGACCUUUUGAAAAAAUGUCUUAUGAGUCUAUGACAAUUACGGCCUACACUAGUCUCUAUGCAAAAUUGCCUGCAUUUUUUUACUGUGCAACCAAACAACUUCUAUGCUUCAUGUGUUCUAAAUUCAUGUAGGAUUCUAAGUGCCAUCAGUGGCGGAGGGAGAGUGGGGGCCAGCAGGGGCCAAGGCCCGGGCCAUAUCUAGGAUUAGUUCUGCCUAAAUUUGUGUAUUCUAUAGUUAUGGCCCCCCUCAACAUUCACACACAAAAACAGCAGCCACAGAAAAUCUGCUCUUUGACUAAUUGACUUCUCAUAUUCCAAGCCAAAAGCAGCCUGCUGCCUGCACUCAUCGCUGGAACCGGCCGGCCUCCGGCCAUUCCUGCCCUCGAAUAGCUACAUGCGCCUGGGCUUCUCCUCUUCUUUCAAGAAUUUGUUUUUCUAUUUUUUGUCAUUUUUACUUGGCCCUCACUAUCCAAUUUUCCUGCCUCCGCUCCUGCGUGCCAUGACAUCCUUAUCUUUGUUUUCUAUUCAUGCAUUUUACGAUUCCUGUGAUUAAAAAGGAGCUAAACAUUGUUUGAGCUAAGAAACUUCAAUUUGUCGUCUUCCAUAGCGUGCGGGCCAUUUGGAUGAAUUUUCAGUUACAUCACGUCUCAGGUUACACCGGAUGUUUGCAGACUCGUAGAGGUGCAAAUGUCAAGCGACCUCUGACCCUACUAAUUUCAACCAAAUGAAGUAAAAAUUUAAAAUCACAUCUCUUUUUAAAAAACUAUAGUAGAUUUGUUUGAACUAAAGAGAGUUGCAUGGUAUCUUCUUCGGUUCAUCUUUUUGCACCUGUACUGAGUCGGCAGUUAUUGUAGUAACUGUGCCGUGAAGGUUAGAGCAUGCCAGGGCCCAGGAGGGUACCAUGCGCAGCUGUUUUGAGCCAUCAAACAAUGCGUACCUGUCCUGGAUCAAACACGCGCGACAGGCGGUAGGAGUCAAAAGGCCUUCUCUGGUGGUGCUGCACUACACCGCGCAUGCUUGGUUUCUCUUCGUGUUUUCGAUCCCAACAUCUAUAUCACGUAUUCACGUCCAUCUUCUUAUAUUAGUUUAAUAGAGGAUCAGGAAUGGUGGUGCGUCGGAUUGCAACUCCACGAUGUUUACAAUCCAACAUUGUUCUGUAUCCAACAAACUAGACUCGAAUUGGUGUGCCUAUAGGUUUAAAAAUACAUUUGCAAGAAGAUAGUUGUAUCCAUUACCCAAGUGGACAAAUGGUGUGGCUAUACAACGGCCGAUGUAACGCCAACACUAGUGCUCAACAAGAUAUUUUUCUGAACGAACAUAAGCACCUGCCUUCCAUGAACAAAUAAAAUAAGAAAUAUAGAGUACAUGGCAUGGCCGUGGAGGUAUUUGCUAGUGGUUGUAAGUUCACAUGCCUAGCUAGAUUUAUCCAACACGUGCGAGUUGGCAAUGCCUUUUGGAAAGUAGGAUGAACAAAUCAAAUAAAGGAUAUAUUGGGCAGGAUAGGCAUUAUAUGUGUUUUAUCCACAUGAUCAUGCAUUGCAUGUCUGUCGUUGGUUUUGUGCCGACCGAGCACUACUGCGUGCAAGUUGGGCAUAUGUAGAGGACCAGGAGUGAUGUUUCUGCAGUCUCUCUCUGAUAUGGAGCAUGGCUGAAAGAUCCGUAUAUACUACGCGUUGUACAUUGUGUCAAAUCCCAAAAUGAAAUGGACAGUCUUCGAUGUAACAACUGGCGGGGUGACCCGUGCAAUUUCAGCAUCUAGUUUUUUUUAAUGUAUAGACAUCAUUGCGACUCGGACCUGUUCUGAAAAAAUCGAGACAUUUCAAAUUAUUUGUUGGUACGAACAAAGCAAGAGAAACCUUCUGAAAGAAUUUACCCGCACAUAUGUAUGCGCACUAUAUUUGUUACAUCUUGUUAUUCAUGUUGUUGCAUAUUUAUAUUAAGCAAGUUUGUAGGAACCCUAGGAGCUAGCCAAAUUACAUAAAAAAAAUACUUAGUAUUGGAUUAAGCUGGACAUAGACUUCUCCUGUGGGCAAGUAGUGCAAUUACAAUAUAAUCAAUCGCUUGAUUUUCUCAAUUUUUAACUUCGUAUACAGAGUUCUAUUGUUAAAACCAACUUCUAACUUUUUUUUAAUAAGAUAAAGUUUGUGAGACCGAAAUUUGCGUGUCUUAAAAAAACAUGUGAUUGAAGCUUCUUGCUACUCUAUAUUUUCAAUCAAAUGUAAUACGGAGUAGAUUGUUUCACUAUAAUAUGCUUUUAGUUCAGAUAAACAUACUGCAUCUUCGAUUCUGAAUCCACUUACCAUAAAAAUAACUAUCUUUGAAUAGACCAUGCAGCGUGAGUAUAUAUGAUAGAUUUCCUGAAUUCCGAUUGGCAUCCUCCUGAUACACGUUGCAAGCUCUUUGUAAGUUCCCUUAAGAGCAAAGUUCAUAUUAAACCUUGACUUAGUACUAGAGCAAGUCUGAAAUCAACCAUGACUUUCUAAUCCCUGAAAUCAGCACCCUGUCCUAGCUUGUUAAUCCUGUCUAUUCUCAACCUUCAGGAAUCAAACCCCGUUUGGGAGAACAGGAUCCCUGACAUAACGGUUAAAAUUUGGAAAUUAUUGACUAAUUCAGUUCAGCUUAUUGCUAAAAUUUGACGCCUAUAUUUAUACUAAGUUAUAUAAUGUCAGAUAUAAUAUUAUUUACAAUUUUGCAUUCAUGCAGGGAAUUUGAUCAUAUGUCUAGUUACUUGGAAAAUAAAAAUAAUUAUAUGUCAUAUGAUAUAUAGUCUGUUUUUGAUCAUUUGUCUCAUUUUAUUUGGACACCUGAUGAUUUACCCUUUUCUACUUUUAACUUGAAUUUUUAUUUUUCGAGCACAUGUGAAAUGACACAACACCCAUCCGCUUGCGUAUGUGCAUAGCUGUAUGGACGCCUAUGUGGUUGCGUGUGCGCGGCGUUGAAGAAAAUGAAUGCAUCUUAAUUUUUUGUUUUAAUAUAUGUCUACUAAAAUUGACCCAAUCUAAGUUAUUUUGUAGUUCAAUGUGUUUUUGGAUAAAAAUCCCGAGAUUUGUCUAUCUUGUCAGCAAUCCCGCUCACCCAAACAAGAUUUGGUUCCCAAAGGUCGGGAUCGAACAGGAUUAUUAAGGACAGGGUGCUGAUUUCCGGGAUUGAGACGUCAGGGUUUAUUUUAGACCUUGUCUACACGUUUAAGGUUUACAAUGUACUUUGCUCUUCCCUUAAUUAUGGUUGUAGGUGUGUGCGUAUGCAACGUGACAAUUGUUUUUUUACGUACAUGAGAAUUAUUGUACCACCUCCAAAUCUUGUAAAUCUGAACCGUUUAAUUUACGGUCAACUGUGUAUAUAUUUUAAACCUAAUAUGAGUGGAUGAAUGUGGUGACUUCUCGUUCUUCUGUUUUAACAAUAUGAUAGCUGAUCCAUAUUACUUGUCGAAAUAUUACAUGUAUCUAGACGCUUUUUAAACAUAGAUAUAUCCCUAUUUGGGCAAAUUUGAGACAAAUAAUAUGGGUCAGAGGGAGUAACUUUUUUUCUAAAUGUAAGACGUUUCAAUAAAUUAUAUAACCUAUCAAAACGUCUAUAUAUACAUUUAGUAACAAAGGUAGUAUAUGGGAGUAGAUAGUAAAGAAACGAGGUGGGUGAUUAUGCCCAAAAAAAGACGCCAUAGAAGAUUUGAAUAUCUGUGUACAUAAUUAGUGUAAGGUUUUCUUUCCAUUUUAUGUUUAAGCUUGUGUACAUAACUAUAACCUUACUCUAUCUUAGUCAAUAUAAAAUAGCACUACUAUAUUUUGUUAAAAGUCAAUCAGAAAAUAUAUAAAAAAAUAAAAAAGAUAUAUAAAUCGGGAGCAGUUUUUUGCAACUCGGUUGAAUCGCACUCUAAAUCUGAGCCAUACGAUUUAAUUUAGGGAUUGUGCCCAAAAUUUUCUAUUCCCAAAUACACUAAUAUGAUGGUCCACCUAUCGAAUGAACCUGACCGUUUUCUUUGGAAGCUUACUUCCUCACGGGUUUUUUCCUGACUUUAUGUAUGGUCAGACGGUUUUUAGAGGACUCUGAAAGUUAAAGAUUCCAACAAAAGUUAAGAUAUUUAUGUGGUUUUAGACCAUCAAGUCCUUCUUACUAAAGAUAAUCUUGUCAGGUGGAAUUGAGAGGGGAGUGUGAAGUGUUGUUUUUGCGCGUGACUCUUAUGAGAUUAUACAACAUAUUUUUCUCUCUUGUCCUUUUACUCGCACUGUUUGGCUUAUCAUUUUUAUCUCUUUUUAUUUGCCUCAACCGACUACGAUUAUUUAUUUAUUUGGGAAUUGGCUUAUUGGGGUUCAUAAACAUAUUAAGAUUAUAUGCAUAGACUUGUUAUGCUUGAUUUAAUACGCUGGCUCCUUUUUAAUCCACGAUCGCUGAUCAAUGAAUUGUAUGACCUUAUCAACAAUGCAAUAAAGAUGGUUAUGUGCAUCGAUUGAUGCAGAAGUCAGAGAUCCUUUCCCUUUUCAAAAAAGAAAUAUACUGAAUACAUGGAAGAAUACAAAUGUGCUGGACCCACGUCCCGUCGCCUCUUUCCUCUACUCUCGAUCUCUCCCUGCCAUCUUGUCGCCUCUCUCUCUCUGCCAUCCCGACUGCGCCCCCCACCAGACGAAUACAGAAAAUACCAUUUCCGGACGUGUUCCACGGAAAACGUCGAUUUCAUUUCCCACUUGGUAAACUUUUGUUUGUAAAGUUUCAUUUUAGUUUUCGUCUUCUCACCAUUUCCGUUAUUCCACAGAACGGAGUAAAUGUUUUCGCUAAGUUUGAAAUCCUAGACAAGGUACCCUGUGUUGUCCCCGGUUCUUUGUUUUUUGGUUUUGCCUCGUCCAAUAUGAAGAAAUUGUACUAACUAUCCAGUACUGCCUCUCUUCCUAAAUCUUACAUACUAGUCGUCGAACUGUCCACGAAGACAACCUUUUCAAAUUUUGACCAAAUUUAUAGAAAAAUAUAUCAACAACUAAUAUAUUAAAUAAUUAUAUUAUUAUUUUUUCGAAAGGGUGAUGAAAAUAUAUAUCAUGACAGAUAUAAUAAAACUAAUUUAGAAUCGUGUGAACAAUUUUUCUUAUAAACUUAAUCAAAGUAUAAUAACUUUGACUUAUCUAUUACAUUCAGAAACGGAGGGUAUGUCUUGCCGUAAAAAAAACUGUUAGCAUGUGUGACAUCGUACGUGGGACCCACAGUGAAGCGCCUCGACCAAGAAUUUGUUGGCUGCUAUAAAUUCACGUCCACACUCGGACUCAUCCACACUCCUCAGCUCAUCUCUGCCCCUGUUACACUGUACACAACAGCAUGGCGCUUACUUGCCUCCUCAUCGUCCUCCUCUGCGUCUCACUGUCGCUCCUCUUCGUCAACCAUGCAGGUAAUCGGGGUUGAUGUAUAAAUUAAGGCGGCUGUUUUGGAAAAUACUACGACCGGCCGUUUAUUUUAUUUUAUACUAACUGAGAAAAGCUAAAAUAUCUUAUAUUUAGAAACUUAGAGAAUUCCUACUCCGUAGCCAUGCACGAUAAUUAAACGGCUACGCAUCUGAUUAUUUCUGGAUUUGUAUUGCAAGUUGGUCGUCCAUAGACGUUGAGUGAAUGUGUGCGCGUGGUGGUGUGCGUGCCUCUACGAUGUUUCUAUAAAAAAUAAUACUAGACACUAGAUCGAUAAGGUAAUUAAUCAUAUUACCGACCCAAGAAGGGUCUUUACUUUGUACCCUCUCCUCCCACAAAAUAUAAGUCAGAUUAUUACAAAAGUGGUCAAGAUUUUAGAACUUUCAUCACUAUGCGGGAAGCUAUAUGCAUGGAUUGAAAUGUAAGAAUAAAAUCGUUGUAUUUGUCUUGCAGAAUAGUUUCUGUCGUAUGUUCUUUUACAUAUUAAUUCAAAAUCAUGCAUUAGAGAUGUUGAAAAUUAAGCGCUAGUUAGCAAGGAGGUAACAGGUGAUUUUGGAUCCAUAUGUUGAGUUUGAGUUUGGUUUGAAGCCCAAGCGCGUAGGCUGGUCGAUGUUGGUAAUGACUAGUAGGUUGAUUGGACUUUUUCUUUUUCAAAAAUAAGGAAAUCUCUCGGCCUCUGCAUCGAUCGAUACACACAACCAUUAUAUUAUUAAAAUAUCAAGCAAUCAACGUGCAAGUCUCAAAUAAGCUUAAAAAUAAAAACAAACGAACAAGAGAAACACCACACGCCCUCAAGUUAAAGGUCAGCACACCACCCAAAUUGGCCGAAGAACCCCUGUGCUACCAUCUACAAACGGUGGCACCCAGAGUCCAUACAUCCAUGUCCCUUCGUCGGAAGCAGUACGGAGCCAAUGUGACGCCCGGAAAACAACCUGCAAAAAAUUAGAAUUUUUUUCUGUUUAUAUAGCUAACAUACAAAAAAAUAAAAGUUGAUAUGAUGAGCUAGAUCAUUGUUUGUACCGAUGUUAGGUCAAUCCGCAAGGUUACAAGUUGUAUCGUGAGGCAGGGCGGACCUCGGAAGACAAUCACUUAAUGUCCAUCUUUUCAAAAAAAAAAUAAUGUCCAUCAUUAGAAGAAGUGUUGUCCAGUGCACCCUCUUGCAUGAACAUGGGUGCCGAUUACUUGGAUGGGAUGUUAAUUACAUCAGCAUGUAGAAAUUAACUUCAAACUCAGUGCUCGUUGAGACAAUCUGUUGAAACAUUUUAUAAAUUUGUUUGAACAAACGUGUGUUUGUGUGAAUAUUCACUUUGAUAUAAAUGAACAUUCAAUUUGAUAUACUUGGACAUUUUCCUAGGAGAGUAUUUAAGGUUAACAAGUUUGAAUCAUGAAACUAUUUUUACAAUUUGUGAGAAUCACCAGUACAAAAUUAUACUACAUUUGAAAUAGAUAAAUAUUUUGUCUGGCAUAUAUGGGCAUUUCAUGCAGACGUACAAAGAAUAUCUGAAAUUGCAGAGAACAUUCCAAAAAUAUAUAUUACUCUUGUAGGCCCUAGCGUGCUGCGGAAGUUAUGCUAAUUUCAAGAAUCAGAAGUGAUCCACACAUUUGCGAAAUUAUGAUAUUUUCAUUGAUGAGUCUGUCGAUCCGUAGCAAUGGACGGGCACUGGUGUCGAAAACGAAAUCUACCCAAAUAAUAAAAGGAGGAACGCUUCCUUCGUCGUCGUCGUCGUCGUCCGUCCGUGAAUUUUGCAAUUUGCCCCUUCAAGUUUUUGUUAAUUCAACCCGCCGUCCAAAUAAAGGACGGAACUGGGUUUGUUUUCCAAGGUUUCGGCUAAACUGCAAUUUUGCAUCUCCUUCCACGGAUCUCUCCCCAACUCAUCCCCGAGUCCCCGACCCGCAUCUCGCCCUGCCUCCUGACGGGUUGGGACCCAAGGCGCUGUCCCGUCAUGGCACGGAUCUGGGUUUUUCUGCAAGUUUACCCCCCCCCCCUCCCCGCGCUCCCUCUCCAUCUACCGGCCCAAUAGCUGCAGCGGCGCUCUGGUUGCCACGAUGCUGCUCCACCUUCUACGGCCGAGCGCUCGCCUCCGCCCCGACACCGCGCAGCCGCCGGCCGUCCCCUCAUCCACACCGACCUCCUGCGCUUCACCGCCGCCGUUCACCCACCGCCCCUGAAGCUAGAGCGCCACACAUGGCCUCCUCCACCUCCGUCUCGCCUGCCGCUGCCGCCUUCUCCGGCAACAACCGAUGCCUCCUCCUUCCAUGUUCACUGCGUCACCUCCCUCGCAGCCGCUCGUGCCCGCGCUCAAGCUCCCGCAUCCGCUUCGCUGCCUGCCACGCCAAUACCCUCCUCUCAUCACCCGGGGCCAGGUGCCAUCCGCUACCGCGGCGUGGUCGUCUGCCUCCUCCGCUAGCGGGUUCUCUGUAUAGCUCCUCACGCACGGGCUGCCGCCGGGCAAGGUCGCCAUCCUGGAGCGCCCAGUGGCUAGCUCCGGUGGA
RNAcentral lists this long non-coding RNA (95186 nucleotides) under Brachypodium distachyon (stiff brome). Its description in RNAcentral is "long non-coding RNA (BDIS_LNC000361)". The stretch from base 36755 to 36835 matches the Rfam family "tRNA". The record is from RNAcentral. Lineage: Eukaryota; Viridiplantae; Streptophyta; Magnoliopsida; Poales; Poaceae.